Molecule: long non-coding RNA, 97399 nt
Filed under: Linum usitatissimum (flax)
Lineage: Eukaryota; Viridiplantae; Streptophyta; Magnoliopsida; Malpighiales; Linaceae
Description: long non-coding RNA (LUSI_LNC007106)
Source: RNAcentral
UUUUUUUUUGUGAUUUACGAAUGCCAUAUAUAAUAACGUUUGGUGCAUUUUACUCAUUAUUUAAACCUGCGUAAGUUUCUUUUUUGUUAUUGCUGUCAUAGAUAGCUCCCAUAAGGAGGAACGAGAUAACAACAAACAAUCAAGAUUAAACAUCAGUUCAAGUUUUAUGAGAUCGGUCUCAACACAACCUGAGAGAUAUGAAAGAGCAUAACGGGCCAUUUUAUAGGGGCUCUGGUGGCGGCACAUCUGACCACCUGCAAGCGCUGGCACGCUGUAAAAAAAGCAAGAAUCUCUACACACACUGAAUGCUCUUUCUGGAUAGCUUGGAAAUGACCAUCUUUGCAUCCCCUUCAAUGUGAACCUGUCAAACGUCAAACCGAAUGUACCAAGAAAAUGCGCAACGGGUGAUCAAGAGCUCCAACACAUGAAGAUAAAGGAGUUAAGUGCACGCCGCCCAAUACUCUAUAGGAAAACUUCAUCGACGUUUCAAACAACUAAAUCCACGCAUUACCGGAUGGAUCUACCGCCACCUCAUCCACACUAAUUAAUACGAGGCGAGUGGGGGUACACAAAAUGCCACAAUGACAGUCUUGGAGAUGCUGCGAAACAACAACAUUUAUUCUUAAUAUCUACAAAUUAAAAUUACAAUCUUUAAUUACCAAAGCUUAUUUGAGUUGUAUAAAAGUAAGUGACUCCAAAAAGCUAAAAAAAAGGGUAAAUUAUUAGAAUAAGAAAUAUGCAAUUGUGGUAUGAUUGCUAUAUGACAACUUAGUGAUACUAUUACUUUGUAUUUAUAGGUAAUCACACGCUCUUAAUGUAUGACAAAUUAUUGAUAUCAUUACACUAUUUUUAUUAUAUUAAUUGGGUGAGCUUUACUAGGUGCAUGAAUAAUUUCCCCAUUCAUGAAUAUAAUAGGCCUAACGAAUUAAAUGUGUGAAUAAUUUUCACAUUCACGAAUAAGCCUAAUAGAGGUGAAUAAAUAUCUAAAGAGAACAUAUAAUGAACACAAAUGAAUGUAGUAAACACCUGGGCUACGGACCUGCACCAAUAACGGACCAGAUCCGACGAGAAAGAUCCCAACACCCGAAGGUUAGGUCGCACAAGCAACACGGUGAUAACGACGGUAACGUUAGAACCACAUAAAAUCAUAAUAUUCCAUGAUAGUAUUAGUGUAAAUCAAUAUUUUUUUGAAGCAAGCAAGUGUAAAUAAUAUAUUUAAUGGAAAAAAAAGAGUGAACACCAACAUCUUGAAUAUGAGGAGAUUAGGAGUCGUAACUGACACCAGCAAUAAUUCUAGCUUCGUGAAUAGGGGGGAAUGAGGAGACGUAACCAACACCAGCAACCGAGGAGGCACGGAGGAAGGACCGUUUGAAUUCUCCCGGUCAGAGCGAUUGGAUCUCGGGGCCAACUGGUCGGCGGAGUAAUUCUACGAAGCCGAUACGGACGGAGCCCGGCGGCGGCGAGGAUCAUGAUGAAUUUUUGUGUGGGCGACGGCAACGACAUAAGUCCUAGGGAUAGAGCAACCGUCCCGGAGAAAAAGCAGGAAGAGGAAGGCCCUCUUUAUUGCUUCCCUACAGAGGGCUUCUUCUUGUAAAUCCUGCAGAGGACCGAAUCAUCCAAUCGCAUGGUUCCGUUGCGCUUGAUAAUUUGCUUCCUGGAAUCGGAGAGGCGGUACUCGUGCAUGAUCCAGUCGGUCAACUGGAACUGAAGAUCUCUCUCCAAUUAAAGGGUCGCAACGUUGCGAGGCCUGAGACAUGAAAUGCAAAAGGGUGCGCCGUCGACGGCACUACUUCCCGCACCUGAAGGACUUCCCUCUGUUGCUCUUCUGGACUCGCUGCUUCAGCCUUGACCGUUCACUCGUUAAAAUUUCAAACCAAACAAAGAAUUGCAAUUCCUGAUAAUAUUAAUACCCAGAUUUCGAAUCCCUAGCACUUAGUCACAUAUAACAGUUGCAAAUUGGAAAGAAGGGACAUAGUAAGAAGCACAAUCGGAGAUGAAAAUGGGAAAGCCGUUGGGGACAACAGGAGAAUUCUUCCGGCGAAGGGAUGAAUGGAGGAAGCAUCCCAUGCUCACCAAACCGUUCUAUCUUUUACGAAUCGAAACGUAUAAAAAAAAAACCUACGCAAGUUUCAGUCACUUUUGUAGGGUGAUCAUAAAUCUUAAAUCUAGAGUGAAUUUAAUGUGUGAAAACCUAGUGUUCCUCACUAUUGAAAUGCGUCAUUAACUCAUUAAUUUGUGUUUAAUUUUCAUUAUGUAGUUUUCCAUUUUUCAUAUAUCUAAAAAUAAAUUUUAUCGAAUAUUUAGUGUGCAUUUAGUUCAUAAUCAUAUAUACGUAAUCCCAAUAGAAACAAAAAUACAUUGAUAGAUUGCAUUGAACGUCGAUCCAUAGCAUAAACACUUAAGAGCUACAUACAAAUAACUCUCAACUAUUAUUUCCUUCUCCACCAACAUCAUUAUUCAACCAUCAAGCAUAUACGUCGUCGUUGCAUUCAUCUCCGCGCUCCUCAAUAAACACUGUCAAAAAAACAUAAUCAACAAAAAAAAAUACAUUAGCAAACUGCUUAAUAAAAAGCAAAAAGAAUUAAUAAGAUAUAAUUAUAAGAGUCUCAAUCUAUUCGGACAAAAAAAAGGUAUAGUUACGAGUUGCAAUCGGUGUUGGGGCUGAUCUCGUAAGGAAUGUGGACCCCACAUUGGCCGGGGAGGGCACUGGCAAGCGGGACCUGCAAGCCAGGGACACCGGCGGCGGCAGUCUUCAAGCACUGGCAAGCCUGCCGGCGGUCAGCGGUGGUGACGGCGGCGUUGUUCAGGGCCCUCACGCCGCUGCAGCAAGGAGCAGAGACCUGCCCGCCGCCGACCAAGUAAUAGACGCAAGGGGACAGGCUGCUCAUUACUUGCAUGCACGUGAUGGCGCCGUCGGUCGGCCUUAUCGGUGCAGACAUGACAAGGAUGGAGACGACGAGGAAUGACGUAGUCGGCAUCGUCAUCUUCAGAGCGGCAGCCAUUGUUGGAGGUUUAAUUUGGGGAGGUAAGUGAGUAAGGCGAGGUUAUAAGGUCUGUGCUCUUAUAUAUAUAUAGAGAGAGAGAAUUACGAGAGUAAAAAAGAACUCGAUUAGUUUUGAUUCUAACCAAACCGGUUGAUGAGUGGCUGAUUUCGAUUCGGUGGGGUGGGGUUGUUAAAACGUCACUAAGUUGAUUGGGGUCCAGGCAAUUAUGAAUUUGCCUAUUGAGGGUUGAAAUGCCGGUUUAAUACAUGAUGCCUAAUGUGGGCAAUUCAUGACUGGUACUUGAAAUCGUCUAGAGCGAUGUCGGUUAUAUAUAGUACUCUGACAAGUAAUUCAACUACCAGUCAUAAAUUAACUAUGAAUGAGAAGUAAUUCGAAAUCUAAAAGUGAUUUUCCGUUUAUAUUCUCUUGUAUCUAUAAGAAAAACUCACUAAAAAUUUCUACAAUCAUGCCCUCACCCUCACUCUCUUAAUGUCCAGUUAGCGAACUGAUUUUAUGGAGAGAAUCGAAGACUUUCGAUUAAAUCCAACCAAAUCGUUUUACCUUUGCAUUUUCCAACAAUGUUUGCACAUAAUUGAGUUAAUAAUAAGUAAUAAUCAUAUAUGAUCUGUCAAUAACACGUACAUAAUUUUUCAAUCUAGCGAUUCACAUUCAUUGGUCACACAAACACAUUACUCACUGUUUCACUUUGAAUUGAAUUAAUAAACUGCGAAUUAAGAUUAGUCUAAAUGUUUAAAUUUUUUUUGAAGAUUUUAAAUCAGAAAUUUUUUGGAGAACCCUUUUUUAAAUAUCAAACUCGUUUUCAAAUAGUUUCUAACUCAAACAGAAAAAUUUGGUCCGAUUUUAACAACACAACCCACAAAUGAAAAGACACAUUAUUAUUUAUUCAUUGCAAGAUACGAAAACACCGACAUAACAAUAUAACCAUCAUCAGUCGAUAUUAUUUUGUAUACAUAAGUAAUCAUUUAUUAUUUGUUCGCAUCACUCUCUUAUGUAUAUAGUUCACAUAAGCUAUCGCCACUACUAAUACGGCGCCGCUUCCUUCUUUCCCCGUUGACUACAUUCCUCACUGCACACUGUCCAAAUUCCAAACAAACCAAAAACAGAGUAAUUAGUAGCAAGGUCCAAUAUCUACGAUGCUUCAAUGUACAUACUACAUCGAAAUAUAUUGAAUACGAAAUGUACCAAAUCACAUAUAUCUCUCACUAGCAAAUCACUACCGAAACUAGAGGUAGGCUACUAAUCUAGAUUACGAGCGAUGGAAUUCUACGUAAAUGUCUUGAAAUUUAAAUUUCUAUGGAAUUCUUGGAAUUGACCUUCAAAUUUGAAAUUUUAUGAGAAAUAGUAAUACGUAGGUGUUGCAGUUGGUCCUGGUGCUGACCUUGUACGGGAUGUUGACGCGACAAGCACGCGGCAUGUUAGCGGCGUUGGCCUCACUCAGGCCGGAGAUCCCGGCAGUGGCGGACUUCAGACACUAGCAAGCCUGCCGGCGGUCCGAGGUGGUCCUAGCCUGACCAAUGAGGGUCCUUAUUCCAUUGCAGCAUGCCUGUGGGACAGUCCCACCGGACUUCAGGUAGUUAACGCACGGGGCCAUAUUGUUCGCAACCUGGCCGCACGUGAUCGCACCAUGGCGCAGACCAAGAGCACAGUAACCAGCUUCAUUGCACUCGCAGCCAUUGUUUUGUUAAACGUACGUAGGAAAAGCUUAUAGAAGUUGUGUGUGUAUCGAGAAAUGGGAGUUAAGCUAGGGUUUAUAUAGUGUGGGGAGGAGCUUGGGUGAUGCGCUGGAGGUGAAGACUAAAAGGGGAAGAUGAAAAGUGGAGAUCGUAGGUGGUGGGUCGGUCGACGGUAAGAAAACAGAACCUAGAACACAACCACCCGGAUCGAAAAUGAAGGCAUUCCAGUCGCAGAGCUUUGACGCAGAGAACACUCCGGAAGCCUUCAGCCAGAUCCCCAUUGUCGAGAAACUCUUCCCGCAAACGAACUCAGCCGGUUUUUCCUCGGCCUUAAAUAUUCCCGCAUUCCUUUCAAGUCAAACAAACCACAUAACAACGUGCAUGAUUAGCUUUGUUGCUUCGCCAAACUUGGAGAGGCAGUUCAUUCCUUUCCAAGACGAGAUGACAGCCUCAAUCGACGAAAGCAUCACGUGCAAGGAGAGUUUUGAACUAACUCUGUCCCAAACAACCAUAGCGAAUUUACAUCGUAAGACAAUAUGAUCCACCAUCUCGACAUCUUUCCGGCACAACACACAACAGUUUGCAAGCUGAAACCCGCGCCUCUGAAGGUUGUCCAAAGUGGCAGCCCUGUUAAGGAACACCUUCCAGCAAAAACCUUGAACCUUUGGUGGAGCGCUCUGUUCCCAAAUCAUCGCAAAAGGGAAAUCUGCCCGCCCCGAAAACUUCUCCCGAGUAAGAGCCUGUCGCAUAGAUCUGAUGGAGAACCUCAAAGACGCUUCCAAAGACAAAACAAUCGAGCUUGGCCCUGCUGUAAUAUGGUCUUCAGGGAUACUUGUCAGGCGCUGUAAAAGACGAUGAACCCCCACAAUGGCGCCCCCUCUGAGGGUAGUAGUGAGGGGAAUAUGCCACAACCGCCUGUUAUCAAAAGUACAGAGAUCAGAAACACAAACUUCUAAGGAUUGUGUAGCUGCAUCAAUCUUUGGAUACUCAUCCAACAACCUCACUCCCAAAACCCAAAAGUCAAAUAAAAAAGAACAUAUCCCACCCCCCAAAUCGAUAGAGCAGAAAUUCCAGAACUGUACUUGUAGACACAAUAAUAAUUGUCUUUGAUAACAUUUAUCCAACAUCAUCAAUCAUUAAAGCUUUGUGUUGUUUUUCGAGGUAUCAAAGUAUUUUCCAUAUAUAUAACGUUAGCUUAAUUAUAUAUAACUUAGAUUAAUCAGAUUAUAUAUUGAUUCUCACGUUUGGUUAAAAAAAAAACUUUUGAAAUAUGCAUGGAUUGUUAACAUGUUUUAAAAAAGUAAUGAUAUAUUUUAGUAUAUGGUACUAAAGGAAAAAUAUUAGUAAAAUUUCCAUGAAAAAAUUAUAUAUAAGAAAUUUUUUUCUAUAUUUGAGUGAUCACUUAAACCAAUUUGGUAAAAAUCUAGAUGCUAUAUGUCGCCCUUGCCAAGGGGAGAGAAACUGAGAGCAGUCGUUGUCUCUGUACUCCUCAAUAUUCACUCCUGGAUGCAGGCGGGAUGGAAGUAGUGGUCACAGCUGAGGACUGCGACCAACUCUUCGUCCCCGAAGGGUUCCAGGCAAAACGAACAUACCUUUUCUGCCUCACGGCCAGGGACUAUUUCCCUGGCUUCACGAUACGCCAUAUAUCUGAUCGGUCGCCGUGAUCGUCAUCUACGAGGAAGAGGAGGAGGAGUGAGCUCUAGCUCGAACUCUGGUGGCACAGGAUUAGGUCGAGUCAUCUUCCACGCGAUUGCACUAAAGAUCCCGAGCAUCACGGCUGCGAUCACAACAACCGCCGCCGUUUGGAGGGUGGUUAAAUUGGCAGGGCUUUGCACCGUGGCCCCAUUGCCAUUGAAACUGGGAGCAAUGUUUGACAUGAUCAAGAGUGAACAACUAUAAGAUCUAAUGCAGAGAAGAUUGAAGAGAGUACGUUGCAGUGGGGAAGGUAGGGAAUUUUGCUAACUGACUAGUUUUGGAUGAUAGAUCAAAUCGAACAAUACUCUUGUAAAUUAAUUGGUAAAUUAAUUGGUAGCUUUUGAAAUAUACAAAUAGUACCUAAUAAAAAAUAAACGAAUGGUACCAUUUAAAAUCGAACAGAACUCUUUUAGGAAGAAGAGUUUGAGACGAUGUUUAUAACGUGUUAUAUGCAACAUCGACAAAGUAGACAGAUUGAGGAGGACGGACGACUAAUGUCCAUUCGGAAGAUGUGCAGACGUGAGUAGAAUAGAAAGGUUGCAGGCAGUUUAAUGAAUGUCUCUCGAAUAACCUAUACUGUAUCGAUUAUUGAAUCGACAUAUCGUAGUGCACGACAUGAGUUGCGUUUGGCAUGAACCAAUUGGCCUCCAUAAAUUGGUUUCUCUAAAUUUCAACCAUCUGACAUCCACGAUAGUCAACAACCAAACAAUAAACCUAAACAACAUUGCAUGCUGACUGUGUAUCUAAAUCCCUGGUUCAUUAUCCUACUCAACAAGCCGUCAUCCACGUCAUUAAUACUUACGAUUCCAUCAAAUCUUAGUUAACGGACCAGACGGAGACUGAAAAAACUGUGCUAUAAAAUGUAUUUUCAAUAAAAUCGAGUCAUUUUCUGUAAUAUUGUUAUAGGUUAGGCUUCUUAAGUAAGAUUAUUAAAAGCCAAAUUAAAAUUAACAGGGAAAAGAUGGUAUCAUCGAGGAAGAAUUGCAAAACCACAGAACCAAAGGGAGAGAAAGGUAAAUUUCACGAAGAACAGAAAUAUUCGUAGAACUCUUCCAUUUCAUCGUCGACUUCAUCAUCGCCGGAAACCGCAAAGGCCUACUUUCACCGUCGUUUGUUUUUCCCUCGUUCGAUCGAAGUUCAUCUCAAUCUUCCUUGAUUCCCCCGUUGCUCUCGACGACGUGAUGGUUGUGCCGUCACAUCCAACGCCGACGGUUACUUCCAGAGCCGUAUUCGCGUCGUUUUGAUAUAUUACUGUUUAUCGCUUUGUUUUGUCUUUACUUUGCGGCAUGGGAGAUCUUCGACCGUGGUCACCGGAACUUAAUGGCGACGUUGUCGAGGAAAGGCCGUCGUCCUCGUCUUCUUUUUCUUCGUUUUCAUCGCCGCCGCUGACGAUUGAUGCGGCGAACUGGAAGAUUGCUGAGGCGGCGACGCAGCUUAUCAUAGCGAAAGUUCAGCCUACUAAUGUCUCGGAGGAGAGGAGAAAAGCUGUUGUUGAUUACGUCCAGCGUCUGAUUAGAAAUUCCAUUGGCUGCGAGGUGCAUUACUUGUUGUUUCUCUUCAUUUACUGACCUGUUAUCAAUAAUUUUGUUGCUGUAUCAUGUAUCUAAGUUCAUGAAUCGAUGGAGCAGUAGGCAACAGUUGAACUGAUUUCGGUUUGGAGUUAACAAUUUCGGAGGAUGUAAUGGUUUAGUUUCCAGUACUUGACAAUGCUGAAGAGUUGGGAAGUCCAGCAUUUGCCAUAUCAUGACAAUAAUCUAAGAGUUAGGGAGAACUGAUGUAGGUGGCUCUUCAUUGACAUUGUGAAUGGAUGAAUGUAGAAGUUCUGUAUCUGUUAGCUAUUCUGUUGUAGAAACGUUUUGAUUGUGUUAUACUGACUUAUACUUGGUACAGGUGCUCCCUUUUGGGUCAGUGCCAUUGAAAACUUAUCUUCCUGAUGGGGAUAUCGAUUUGACGGCCUUUGGUGGUCUGAAUAUGGAGGAAUCACUUGCCAACGAUGUGCGAUCGAUCCUCGAGUUAGAAGAUCAUAACAAGGCUGCAGAGUUUGUUGUAAAAGAUGUGCAAUUGAUUAGGGCGGAGGUAUCUCAUACAAUUCAUGUUCAUGCUGGGAUAUACAUUGUCUUUCUUGCGUGUAUCGUUUCUCUUAAAAAGGGAACACUGUAAUUUUGCGAGGCUCGUAAUGAAUCUUGCCGUAAUUGGACUCCUAUGCUUGUGUUCUAUGCUUUAAUAGGAUUUCUGUUCUUUUCUUCUUUUUAUAACUGUGUUUAGUUAUGAUCUGAUUCCUUAAGAAGUUGGACCACCAGAUCAACUGAUAUGUUUAUUUGCCCUUAGGCGUGCGAACUUUUUUCUGUUAGUACUGAAGAUGCAGCUGAUGUUUCGUAUGUGAUCUUUCCAUGGUUUAACUUUUCUUGGGCUUGUUAUAUUGUGUUUCUCCUGUGCAGGUUAAGCUCGUAAAAUGCCUGGUGCAGAACAUUGUUGUUGAUAUUUCCUUUAACCAAUUAGGAGGUCUCUGUACUCUAUGCUUUCUUGAGGAGGUAACUUUUUGAACUUUGAUUCUCAUAGGAGUGUUUUUCGCUAUCUCUUCAAAUAGUCGGUUUCUGCCUUUCUGGUAAUUUGAUCAUUAUGAUUAACCUAUUCCCUCUCAUUGGAGUCAAGCACUACCUGCUCGUGGAUUCACAUACGCUGACAUGCUCUAUAAAUAAUAAAAGUUUGUAGCUGAAGAUUCUAUUUUUAACGUUCAGAUGCUUUCUUUGAUUAACUGCAGGUAGACCGCCUGAUUGGAAAGGAUCAUCUUUUCAAACGAAGCAUUAUACUGAUCAAGGCAUGGUGCUAUUACGAAAGCCGCAUUCUUGGAGCACACCAUGGCCUAAUAUCUACAUAUGCUUUGGAAACAUUGGUUCUUUAUAUAUACCAUAUCUUCCACUCGUCACUAGAUGGUCCAUUGGCUGUGAGUCUUGUGAUAGCUUAUAUGGGUUUGCAGCAUUAUUUAUUUGGAUUUAGUUCCUGACAAUAUUUUUUUGUAGGUUUUGUAUAAAUUUCUAGACUAUUUUAGCAAAUUUGACUGGGAAAACUACUGCAUUAGUUUGAAUGGCCCAGUCCGAAUAUCCUCAUUGCCAGAAGUUGUAGGUGAGAAUAUAUCAACUACCCUAUGUUUCUUAAGUCGCUUUGCUUUUCUACUGAACAGAUUUCUUUGUUGUUUUUUGCAGUUGAUGUCGCUGACCAUGGUGGAUGUGAUCUACUGCUGAGUCAUGAGUUUAUCAAAAAGUGCGUGGACAGGUUUUCUGUUCCUUUUAGAGGAUCUGAGACAAACUCACGUAUGUUUCCAACGAAGCAUCUCAACAUUGUUGAUCCCUUGAAAGAAAACAAUAACCUUGGUCGGAGUGUGAGCAAAGGUAGAAAUUGGUCUAUUUCUUGUUUGAUUUCCUUCUUCUUAUCCUGCUGUCUACUAGAUUCGGAUAUACCUUAUUAUAAAUAAGUUUUAAUCCCUGCUGUCUCUGCAGGGAACUUUUACCGGAUAAAAAGUGCUUUCAGCUAUGGAGCUCGAAAGCUCGGUCUGAUUCUUUCGCAGCAAGAAGAAAAUGUAGCUGAUGAACUCUGCGGGUUUUUUUCCAACACUCUGGAUAGACAUGGCAAUGGUCAAAGACCUGAUGUUCAAGAUCCAUUACCCAUGGAUGGACACCAUGGACACAGUACCAGGUCAGCAUCUUCAGGUAAAGAAACUGGCCAAGACCACCAGAGAAAUUCUGAAGCAAGUGGCAAAAAUGGCAUCAGUGUUAAGUUAUCAGAUAUGGGAGCGAAAUGCAGCAAAGACACCACUGAAGCAGGCAAAAUGGAAAAUGGUAGUUUGUUUUCUCACCACCGUCUUUCCGGUGAUGCAGAAGAUCUGGCAUCUGCUAGAAUUCAACACCUUUCCAUUUCCGGCGAUGGACUGAUACAUUCUAGUACAAAAACUGAGAGCCCCACGAAAGAAGUGCAACUACGUCAUGCACCAGAUCUCAAUUUCACUGGUGACCAUGUUGUGUUGUCCCCUGUUGGAUCAUCAGUUGGAUUUCCUUCUGAAAAUCAUCAACCUGGUCAUUGUAGUGCUGGAAACUUCGAUGCCCUAGACUCUCUUUCAGAUCUCAGAGGUGAUUAUGAAGCUCACCUCCUUAGUUUGAGCCAUGGCCGGUGGUGCUACGAAUACGUACCAACUUCUCCAGUUCCGCCUAUAUCUCCAGUAAUGUUCAGUCCGGUCCAGAAAAAAAAUUAUUGGGACGGAACGAGACGACCGGCUCAUUACAGGCAGAAUCUCAAUGGAGUAAGUCCGAGGCCUGUGCUUAAUUCGAUCAAUCCACCCUUUCUGCACGGUCCAAUGUUUGCUAUGGAAGAGGUAUCGAAGCAACGAGGAACCGGGACAUACUUCCCAAAAGUGGUAUGCUUUUUUGAGUUCGAAAUUUGAAUUUUUAACGUUGAAACUCUGUCUUGGUUGGUCUUAUUGUGAUUUGGCUGCUUAUAACUGGUUUUUGUGAUAAACGUUGCAGAACCAUUACAGGGACAAGUCUUUGACGCCGAGGGGAAGUAGUCAGGUGUCACUACGGUCUCCUCGUACCAAUGGCUGUAUCGCUACUUCUCAGGAGCCUAACUUUUCAGAAAGAAGCAGAGGGCAGCUAUGUCCAGGUUCUGCUGUUGGACCGGAUACACUGCAGUCAAAACCUCCAGCCGUUGAAAGGUAACGGGUUAUAAACUUUAAAGUAGCGACAAGCAUCAACUUGCAAUGGAUUUCUGCUGGACUUAGUUGCAUUCAACUUUUUAGACCUCCCAAGUCGUAUCAACUUUUCAAGACGCAUUCGAUGAUUUCUCGCCAUUAUCAGCUUUGCUAACUCGAAAAAGCUGCUCGAGCUGGCUGACAUUCGGUUUCGGGUUGAUUCGAAUGUCUCUGUUAGAGUGAUUUAAUGCUGGUUUGAAGUAUAUGGAUAGAAAGUUAUAUGGAGUGUAGGGUUUGUUUGUAUGUAUAGUAUAUGGAUUGUAAUUGUAUAAUUUUGGGAGCCGAGGUUGAUAUAGAUAGAGCAAUAGAUUCUAACUCUGUGAUGUAAACUUAAAACUGGGGGAUCAGUUGUAUGUUGUUGUUUUGUUGAGUAGAACUAGAAUCUGUUGAUUUUGAAGCAAGUGGCUGGAAAAUGGCUAUCUUUAUUUCUCAGCCACCCUAAUAGUGAAGCCAUCACAAGAAUCUAAGGCCGACAUCAUUGUGAUGAUGAUGAUGAUGGGAAAUGGUAAGUUUGUGUCAUCAUUGUGUCGGUUGAGUACGAGUUGUGGUUCGAUUUUCAACAUCCACUUUAGACACGCGAGCAUUAAGAAGUUUGGUAUUCAAACGAAAGCUCAACCCCGAAAUUUGGACUGCUAUUUUACAGGUCUCGUCUGGACUGUAUCGAAGAUCAUUUCAUUCUGGAAAUCUGUUACUAUAAUAAACUCUUAAACUAUGGCGACUGUGACAUCGUUGGCGUGGUCACAACCUACUACAAUUAACAAAAGAGUUGAUUCAUGUCAAUUCAACCUUGGUGUCCGUUCCUAGUAUGUACAAAAAGGGACGUUUAAGAAAGGGUAGUAAAGGUAAAAGUAAAGAUGAAAGUGACAAUAGGUACUGAAAUCGAAAGACAAAGUUGAGUUUGAUUUGUUUUGUUCCAUUGUCCAGCCUCACAUCAGCGGAAUCCAAUUCAAAGCCAGAGGUUGGACGGGAUCUGAUGGGCGCUAGUUGAUCCGCUUGGUUAACCGGCAAACAUGUAAUAUUUUUGCGACAAGAUUCUCCGAUUUAUUCACAUGAGGUUUUUGUUUUUCUCCGAUCCUGUAGUACCCGACGGCAACAUUUUCCUGAUUUAUAUUGAGAAAGUGCAAGAUAGAGGUGCAAUUCUUCUCUAAUCGAUUUUCAAACUAUUUGAUCGUUUUAGUAACAAAAUCGUCAAUUAUUUAAUUUAGUAUCUUGUUGUUGCUGCCAACACACGCCAAAAAUACCAAAAGAAACAUUAUCCAUGACUGACUACUGCAUUAACAUAUAUAUAUACGUAAGCAUAGCAGGCUUCCCCCAUGGCUCUGCCAAUGUCACGCCACUUGCUAUAUAUAUAUAUUCCAACUUCUCUAUAAUCUUGUAUACAACUAAUGGCAUUUUGUGCCCGAUUCUAGUUAAAAUUUUGAGCUAUUGUGAUUGUUCUUUUCUAAACAACUUCUGAAAUUGUGUCGUGUUAGCUAGUUAUCUGCAUCCUCACCCUAGCGUAACAAACUAACUACAUAUUGGAAGUCGAGGUGCAUAUAUAUGUAUGAUUUGGUACACUUUCCUUGAAGUUAUAUAGAUAUAUGUCACAACAACCCUCAACUAUACAUAGUUAAUCGCACAUGUGUUCAUCAAGUAGAUGAAUAACAGCAUUAUCCGGCCCAAUCUUGGACUAAAUCCCCCUACAACUGCUUGUCCCAUCUGUGGAUUAACUGAGCCGUUUUGAGUUGAGGGAUUAUCCAUUCUGAAGAUACAUUGUUACAUAAAUCAGUAUAUUUUUGUGUCAGAGACCAAAUUCAAACAUUUAACUUAACUUGAACUAAGUGGAAAUUCUUUUCCUUUUUAUAACUGCAAACUAGCAUACGUGCUUUUAUAUUAUCGUGGAAACAAUUAAGAAUAUACACCGUAUGAAGGGUUCCUGUGAGGUGCAAUCUACAAAUAGGUCAUAUCGAGGAGGUAUCUAACCAAAAAUUAAGAUACAUCACAUCCUACAAAUACUUCUCAUAACUAAAUCAAAACUAUACUAUUAGCUCAUAACACUAGAUACUAAAAACACUAGAUAUGAAAAAAACAAGACCCUACCGGAAAUAGAAAAUGGAAAUUCUUUUAAUUUAGAACUCGAUCAUGAUUCAUUUUUCAUACAAAAUGUCGAAAUUAAAUACAUAUAAAAUCUAAAAUUAUAUACAUUUUGUGUAUAAUUAUUACCGUAUAAAUUUCGAUUGACCGAAAUCCUAACUACGCCACCAAACGGGAAAUGAACACUACUACAUAAAUUUUAUGAGUGAGCUUGAUUGCUGUUACAUGCACUCCUCCCAUUCCAAUGACGAUAAGAACCAGUAAACCACCGGCAUACACAGUGCUGCCACGUGUACAUAAAUACUGAUUUUAUAUUUAUUGCGUCAGCAGUUGCUUAAGUGGAAGAAAAAAAAAACAACCAUGAUUAGAAUUGAUGACAAAGCAACAGUGCCAAAUCAGCAACUUGACCCCUUUACUUUUAUAUUUCAAUUCCAAUAAUCAAUUGAACCGGUCUCAUUCACCUUGUGUCAACUCACCCUCCUGGCCGCUCGAAUAUAUCAUAGAAGCCAAAUUCUUUGUUUAAACCGAUUUGUUGAACCGAAUUGCACCUCAAAUCGGACGAACGAGAAGUUCAAGAAUCGAUGGUUCAAUCAAGUUUAGAGACUACAAAAGUAGUAUAGAUUCAAAUGGUUUUGAAGGUGUUAAUGAUUCAAUUAUAACAAUUUAUAAGGUUUUUUAGAUAAGUUUUUUAAGGGGCAUAUCAAUCAGAAAAUUUAAAUAUUUCAACAGAUUUGAAAUUAAAUUAAAAUGGCACAUAGUUUUUAACUUAUCCACAAAAUUAUCAUUCUUUAUUUAUCUGUCAUCCGAAUAUAAACUUGUCACUAGUGCAAAAUUUAAGAGUUUUUAAUUACAAGUGAGAUAUAUAAUUGGUAAAACUAAAUCAUGAUAUGAUUAAUGAACAUUAUGUAUAGCAUCAACUUCAUAAGUAAAUAGCUUUUGAUCGAUAGACAAAAUUACGUAUGCUUGAUUCGACAACACAAUUAAUUUUUUCCUCAAAAGUAAGUAAAUGAAAGUUGAGUCAAAGUUCAAAAAACUACAAACAUAACGUAGGAUGGAUUCUGGUCGAAAAUUCUACCGACCCAAACUGUGCAUCAUUUAUCCUGAUUGAAACAGGAAACCAUGGAAAAUCAAACCCAAAAAACCAAACAAGCCAAAACCAAAACCUUAAAGGAAAAAAAACAGAGGCAUGAUUCAUCCGUUGAAUAAAACUGACAUUAGUUUAUCAAUAAUGAUUUAAAUACAUUGGGCAGUAAUCAAGCAGACGUUUUUCUAUUCCAAUCUCCCAACUCUCACCUUCCACCCUUGCAUCCCGUUGAAUUUGCUUUGAUUGUUCGCCGGCGCCGGAGGAAACAAACCAAAAACAGAAAAGCUUCAAACUUCUUCCCAACCCUGUUCCUGAAAAUCAGAUGGUGAUACCAGGAAUCGGCCACAGGUUCUUCAAGUUCAGAAUCCCCGAUCGUCUCCUCUAAAAAAUUCCCAACUUCUCCACAAAGAUUCCUCCUUUUCUCACGGCGGUUUGUUUUCCGGCAAGGGGACAGAAAGAUGGUCGCGAAGAGCUACGACGGCUGCGUGCGGGGAAAAAUGAGGAUGGCGUGGAUAAUGCUGAGCGUUGAUUACUGGAGGCUGUUUCGUAUACUGUUCGGCGUCUUUUCCUACGAGAAUCCCGAAGGGAAGCCUCGGAUCAUCUUCCUCUAGCUAUAACCCCCCCAGUUGUUUCAUUUUUAGGAUAUUAGGAUUCCAAAUUUGUCUCUACCGCUACUAAUACUACUAGUGGAAAUCAAUUGUGUUUGUUUUAUAUAAAAAGCACACUCAAAGACCCGAUCUUUGUUCCUGAUUGAGUGAAGAAAUGCACAAUUCUAAGCUGCUGAUGAUGCAACACCAUGGAUACGCUGAGACUGACCCUUCUGGUAGAUACGGCCGUGUAAGUUCUUUUCGUUUCUAUCAUUUGUUACUUCUGCUGAUGGUUGUGUAAGCUGUUGGAAAUGAUCGAUAUAGCACGAAUUUCGAAUUUUUGGGUUGUGAUUGUGUCGUAUUUGUCUGUACGUUGCGAGAUUUUGCUGUUUCGAAUAGUAUAUAACUGGUUACACAUAUAUAGCAGAAUCUAGGAGGAAGAUUGAGAAACUAUGCUAUCUGAUGUUGGGUAGCCUGUUCGAAAAGGACAGAUAUGGCAGGAAUUUUCGGGUUUCUCGGGUUGUAAUUCUGUCGUAUUUUGUCAGUAAAUUGCGAGAUAGGGUUCGAAUUGGAUAUGAUCAUGUGCUUAGCCUAAUGGAACGUUCAUGUACUAGAAAAUGAUGUUUGAGCUGACUGUCAAAUGUUCCUGCUAAAAAAUGACAGAUAUGGCACGGAUUUUGGGGUAUUCGGGGUGAAAUUUUGUUGUAAUUGUGUCUUUAAGUUUGCGCGAUUUUUCAAAUUGAGUGUGAUCAUGUGUUUAGCCUAGUUGAAUCUAUUUACUGGAAAAUAAUGUUUGACCUGACUAUCGAUUGUCAGAAUGUAGAUGAGAAAUGAUAUGAACAGGAAGUUUCAGAGAUUUGGUUUCUGGUCCAAUUGUGAUCAGUGAGCAAACCGGUUUCGGUUUUAUGAUUGAUGUUCUUCUGUUACUGCAGUUCAAGGAGGUUCUUGGGAAAGGUGCGAUGAAGACCGUGUACAAGGCAUUUGACGAGGUACUUGGAAUGGAGGUAGCCUGGAAUCAAGUGAAGCUCAACAAUGUAUUUCGCUCGCCUGAUCAUUUGCAGAGGCUCUACUCAGAAGUUCAUCUCCUGAAGAAUCUCAAGCACGAAUCCAUCAUCAAGUUCCAUGCUUCGUGGAUCGACAGUACUCGAAGGACGUUCAACUUCAUCACUGAGAUGUUCACCUCCGGCACCCUACGAGAGUAAGUAAUACAGACAAACGCAUAUAAUAAGCCGAUCUGAUGCUUCCGGUGUGAUUCUGCAUUUCUGAUAAGUGAUGUUGUUGCAGGUACAGAAAGAAGUACCAGAGAGUAGAUAUCCGAGCAGUGAAGAACUGGUCGAGGCAAAUCCUGCACGGACUUGUUUAUCUGCACGGCCAUGACCCGCCUGUGAUCCAUAGGGAUCUCAAAGGUGAUAACAUCUUCAUCAACGGCCAUCUGGGACAGGUCAAGAUUGGCGACUUGGGAUUAGCAGCGAUUCUUCGAGACUCGCAACACGCGCAUAGUGUCAUAGGUACUCCCGAGUUCAUGGCACCGGAACUAUACGAAGAAGAGUACAACGAGCUCGUAGAUGUAUACUCAUUCGGGAUGUGUGUUCUGGAGAUGCUAACUUCUGAGUAUCCCUACAGUGAAUGCUCGAAUCCCGCUCAAAUCUACAAGAAAGUGACCUCUGGGAAGCUGCCCGAGGCGUUCCACAAGAUCAAGGAUGCUGAAGCGAAGAAGUUUGUCGGGAAAUGUCUCGAGCCUGCUUCGAAGAGAUUAUCAGCUAAAGAGCUACUCUUGGAACCGUUUGUAGCACUUGGUGAUGAACCAGAAUUGCUACCAGUCUCAAAGUUUUCGUCUUUUCGAAGCUCCCCGGCUUCUAGCUGUGAAAGUGAGGAGAUGAUGAUGACGACAAUGACGAUGAUGAUGCUGUCUUUGCAGGAUGAUCAUCCUGAAACUACGGAUAUGACGAUUACAGGAACUCUGAACCCUGAACACGACGCUGUUUUCCUCAAAGUCCAGAUUUCUGACUGCAGUGGCAUGAAACACGUUCCAUGCUCUCGUUUAUAAUUCUGUUCUUAAAGUAGUCAGAAUUCUGAUUUUGAUCUUAAAAUCAAUCUUAUUUAUUUAUUCUGUUGAUAUAUUUUGAUUAGUUUUUAAUCUCUCUUGACUGUCCAUUUUCAGGGCAUACCAAGAACAUACAUUUCCCCUUUGACAUAACUGGAGACACAGCGAUCGAUGUUGCGAUGGAAAUGGUGAAAGAGCUGGAGAUCAGUGACUUGGAACCAAUCACCAUCGCCAAGAUGAUAGAAGACGAGAUAUCUUCUUUAGCUCCGACAUGGAAACAACAAGGAACCUUCAUUUUCCACCAGCAGCAGCAUAGCUUUAGCUACGUGGAUGAUGCAGAAGAGGAAGAAGAAGAAGAAGAAAUCGGCAACCACAAAAAUUCGGAAGGAAUCUAUCAUCCAUUCUACUCGACCUCCCCUUCCUCGGACGCUUCCUCCUCCAACAGAGCUUCUCUGUUGGCCUUCAACAGCUCCUCCUCUGAGAGUCCACGUUAUGAGGAUUGCACUACACCAAUUGUCACUUUAGGUACACAUGGUCCAACUGUCUCCUAAAUGUUUUAGUAAAAAUUUGAGAUUAUAUAUAUAGUUGUUAAAUGGAUGGACGGCCUGAGUUACUUGGAUUACAAGUCAACAUGGUCAUAUGCUUCUCAAAAGGGUUAUGAACCAAUUGAGUUGUGGGUCCAUCGAGUUACACAGAAUUGAGUUUUGGACUUGUAACGUGGUCUUUGUGGAUAACCGUUGCAUCCUAAUAACUCGAGUUUUGGGAGAGAUUCAUAUAACCAUACCCUCAAAUGCAAGCUCAUGGAAGGGUACUGAAGUUUAUGUAGGUCCACCAAGUCUUGUACAAGUAAAAUGUUUAUAUUGAUGCCUAAGGAUUCGGUUAUGAUAUCAUAUGGAGAACCGUUGCAUCUCAAUAACUCGAACUGUUGGGAGGGGUUCAUAACUGGUGUAUAUACCAUUGGUUAACUCGAAUGACUUGUGAAUCGUUAACUUUUAGCCAAUUCUGUUACUCGGUUGAUUUAAGUGGAUUAAUCAGGUUCAGUCAGAUGCUGACAGCACUAAUUAUGGAUCGAAAAUGGGUAAAAAAAAUGCAGGGAAGCUGCUACAAGAUGAUGCAGAUGACUUGAGUUCGGAGAGCUCUUACAACUACUCAACAGUCUCUUACUGCUCCGGAAACGAAGACGAGCAUAAUCGGCCAGAAGAAGAACAAUCUAUAGCUAAGAUUGACCAGUCGGAAAGCUGCAAAGGAGGAGGGUGUAGGAUGAUGCCACCGGGGAGGAAGAAGAAGCUGAGCCGAAUACGAUCGGUGUUGGAUAUGAGAAGCCAGUUGCUGAACCGGUCGUGGGUGCAAGAGAUGAACAAGAAGCGUUUGUUCAAGACUGUGGGAGCAGUUGAGAACAUUGGAUAUCAUGACUGGAACCCUUCUGCUUCUUCCUGAUGAUGAUAAUGAUGAAAAAAAAAAACAAAACUGGGAUUUUUUUGCUGUGUGUUGUAAUUGGUGAAGUGUUCUGAAGAUAAGACUGUUUUGUCAUUGUGUUUUGGUGUGGUUUCAUAAUAAGCCAGAGAACAUUUUGGUGACAGAAUGACUUAGUUUAGAAUUUUAAGGUUGUGAUUGAUUUUGUUUGCAGAGUUAUAUUCAUUAUAGGGUAGAAAGUUCAUGUUGGUGUUUUGUCUGAGUAUGAGUUGUGUUUUUUUAUUCUACAAUGAAAGCUUAGGAGAUCCUUACUUGAUGGUUUCUGUUCUUUAUUCCCCUGAAGUAAAAUUGUAAUUUAGAGUCUUAGGGAUUAAUCUAGGAUGUAUAUAUUUUCGAAAUAACAAGGAUGACGAUUACAGGAUAUGGGUUCUAGACAGAUUAAUCUCUAACUUUAUUUCAUUUGCGUUAUUUCAUGCAUUUUAGGGGUCAGGUGACUGCAAUGUGUGGGUUUUUCAUACCUUUAUUGAAGGCAAUCAGAUUGCAGAUUUCGUUGCCCAACCAUGGACACUCAUUGCCUCUUGGUUCUUGCCGUCUUUCUACCAUUCCUCACGGCAUUGCAUGCUGAGUGUAGUAAGACCGACAUUACGAGUGUUACUUUCCUUCAUACCCGAUUACCAUACCAGAUACCCGAUUAUUCCAAAUUCAAAGAUCAAUUUGUCGAUUACGUUUCUGAUUCACUCUCAGAAUAAUUAUUUGAAAAAAUAGGACCAUAACUCUCUCACUACACUAACGCACCAUCGCGCAAAGUCAUCAACCACUAGGUCAUUCUUCCACAGAUAUGAAGGCAGAGGGUUAGCUGAAACGUAGCCAUCAUUUAGUCACACAUGCACUGUGAUUGUCAAAAAAAAAACACACUGUGAUGAGUGGUUGAUGCUGAGAUUCGAUUAGUUGGGGAAACCAAUCCCUUGAUUAAAGCCAGAAUAAUUGCAUGUGAAAAUGGUUAGUUGAGACGUCCAUAUAAUAUGAAAUUUUGCAAAUGGGUCCCUCAUCAAACAACAUCAGAUUUCGUUAUUACAAAGACAACACGAGAGAAUUGGAUUAGAGAAAGGACGACAUAUAUACAUGUCGAUCCUCCUACACUGACGUUCUAAUCCAAGCAUGUGGAUUUUCAUGCUAUGUUCAUCAGCAUAUAUCAACUAUUAAUUACUCAGAGGACCAAUUUGAGGUUUUGAAUUAAUUAUGGAUGAUUGUCUUUGCUCGAUAAAAAUUGCGAUCGAUCAUUACUUGAUUUAUUUUUCUAUUUUAUGUUAUAUUGGGAUAUCAACCCAAAUAUUAUAUCGAUAAGUUGGAUAUCUUUUAUGAAAGAAUUCAAAAACAAUUUGCGUCAACUUGGCUCAAAAUGUACAAUAGCAUAUUACUAUUUGUCUCGCCAAUAAACAACAUGUGUUGAGUGGUCAUGUCAUAUAUUUCGGUGUGAGACCUCUUUGAGUUUUGUCUUUAGAUAUACUUACUUAAAGGCAUUUUGUUUAGUUGUAGAGAUAAGAAUGGUCGAAGCUAAAAUCACUGCACGAGGCCUUUUGAUUAUAGUAGAGUGACAAAAUUUUAUGUAAAAAAUUUAAAUAUAUUAUCANNNNNNNNNNNNNNNNNNNNNNNNNNNNNNNNNNNNNNNNNNNNNNNNNNNNNNNNAAUAUAUAAAAUCUCCGAUUAUUCUAAUUUUGUUAUUGAAAACGAUUAUGAUGCACCCAUGUUAUUGUGAAUAGUGGACAUUUGGAUCUAUUUUUGACCACUAUGAAUGCUGUGACUUAAUGGAAGAUGAAUAAUGAUGUUGAAACUCAAUAAAACCUUUAUAACUUUUCAUUUACGAGACGUGGGUUGGCCAGAAAACGACACAUGUAAAAACAUCAAUGGUCCCAAAUUAUAAUACAUUGGACCUUUUCUUUGGUAUAAAAAUAUAUUGGACCUUAUUAGUUAGCUUUUCCCAUAUUGGCACUUUUGGGAUCAUCCUACCAGAAUGUAACUUUGGGAUUCAUAUGUAGAUUUUAUAACAUUCUAUUCGAUUUAGGUCCAAACAAUUGAUAUUUAUUUUUUAUUAAAUUAACAAAUCGCUCUAAAUGAAAUUAUGAGUUACUAAUAAUAAAUUUUUUUAUCAAAAUAGACCGCGACUUUCGGUCUAACUCCAAAUAAAAGACAAACUCAUAAUAAAACUCAUAUACUAGUACCAAUGUGAACGGAACCAAACAUAUAGAACAAAAAAUAUUCAUUACACGGCCGCCCACUCCUGACUGGAGACAACCGUAGAUUUAGGGACCAGAUUUGUUUGUCGCCGUCAUUAAUUUACUGCCACACGUGCACCUAUCCUAGUCAGUCUUAGUUUUUCCAGAAUUCCAAAUUUCUUCUUCUCCCGGCUGUUUGUCAAAAAUAUCUCGCAACACGACAAAACUUCAUCGCCGGAGUGGUAGUAAAUUCUAUUGUUAUUUUAAUAGGCGAUUUGAAUCCAACCAACCCGAUCAAACAUAAGUAUCUGUUUGCAGAUCUUUUGCUUGUAUAGAAACGAAAAUGUGCAUCUAACCGAUGAACUAAUGAAAUGGCUCGUGUAUUUGCUCUAAAAUAUUCUGGUCCACGAUGAUGUUAUUUAACCAAUGGAUACGUACUCAUGGUGAUCGAGAGGGAUUGGUGUAGACAAGCUAAGGUAACUGCAGAUUUCGAGAAAUGAAACGGUGACAAAAAAUAAAGAUAAAUAUUAUUAGUAUUAAAGAAUGAUUUUUCUCGUUCUGAUAUGUUUUACGAGUCUUUGAUAGAUAAUUAUUCGAUCGUAAAAUAAAUCACACAAGUAAGUAAUAAAAAAGAGUAUGAUAUAAGCGUAUUGUGAAACAUAUAUAUACUGGGUGUAUGCGCUUUGAGAGAAUAGACCUGCCUGAAGGAUAUAACUCCAUGUUUGAAGUGUAGCCUCGCCGUACUAAAGGUCUCGAGAAUUGUAGUUAAAAGUUGUCUUAUGUUCUUAAUGCAAAAGACUCAAGAGCCUAUUGUAAGGGCCACAUGGUGGCAUGACAUCAUUUUUUAUUAUGUGUCGGUCGUAUGAGUGAAUAGUAGGUGGAAACCAUAUGUGGAUUGUUAAGGAUGGACGAUCAUUAAUUUCCUAAGCAUGUGGUAUUAUAGGUAGACAAUUUAACCUUUGUACAUGGUGGCGUGCGCCCAUCUCUUGAUGGAACUGACGAAAGUCGGACCGCCGUGAGCGUGGGCGAACUGUCUCAUCAUAGUGACAGACAUGCAAGCCUCACAUCGAUUUGUCGGUCCGAUCGGUUAUUGUACUGGGCAAUCUGGGAGCAGGCCGUUGGGUCCAUAUAUCAGUUGUAAAUCCACAUCUCAAUCUCCUACUUAGCUCGAUGUGAUCCUCAAUUGGCAAUAUAGUGCUUAAUUAGGCCCGUAAUGAUAUUUUUGUUUGUGCUAGUCUCGAGAGAUGUAUGUAUAGUCACAGAGGAGCAUGCAUAUGUAUUCUGUAAUGAAAUGACAAGGCCUUGGGUUCUGAAAUCUGAUACAAGAAUGCCUUGUCUAAACUGAAAGAUAGAACGAAAUCACUGGUCGGUACGUAGGUGAUCAGUCAGCAGUCAGUUUAGACAGGAAUAUAACUGGCAGUAGCCCAGAAAUUGGCAUCUAAAUAAAGGAAAUUGGGUAUCGUAGUUGAGUGGCUAAAUCGAGCUGCAAUAAAUUUUUUCUUAGGGAAUGGCAGAAGAAAAGAACAUAUAUAGGCCCAGAAAAUUUGCAGAAUCUCCGGGUUCAUGUUCAGUCCUGCCGUCUCCUUAUGUCUUAUCUCUCACCUUCUUACUGUACUGUUUACUUCUUCAUUUACGUUGACCACUGACCAGCUCACCGACAAGUUCUUCUCCUCGAAGAUAUUUUGGGUUUGAAGUUCGAAAUUUAUAAUCAUUUCGGGUUUUAUGAUUAUAUCACUAGCCUCAUCUGAGUUGAAAUUUCAAAAUUUUUAUAAUGCUGACAUUAUUAAACUUGGUGCUCGUAGGAGUUUUUUGUUAUGAAAAAAAUCAUAUAAUUUAAAACUCAAUUUUACUUCAAUUUAAUUUUAUUAUAACUCUCGAAUCAGGAAAAAUCAUGUACAACGAUUGCCUAAAAUUGAACGACACAUGGGAGCGACUCAAAUGCAACAUGGACCCAAUCGAGGACGCAAACACAUAUGCCGACGGGAAUGAUCGAAGAGUGGUAUAUUACUCGGUAACUCAAGAACCAAAUUGAUAAAGUUUUCAUUUUACCUCAUGGAUUCAAGCUGAAGUAAGCUACCACAACAUUAAUCUCGAUAGAACCAACUCGAAUGCAGCACGAUCCAAAUCAACGAUGCGGACACAGAUGACGAACGGGAAUGAUCGAAGAUCAGCGGCAUCUUGCUCGGUGACUCAAAACCGAAAUUGACGUUUGUUGUUCGAUUUACAUAAUGGAUUCAAGCAUAUUGUAUAAUUUGUUACUGUAGAAGUGUAUCUGUUUCGUCACUUUGUUAAGACAUAGGGAACACUUAUAGAAGAUAUUACCAAACUUUAAUUGUUUGGAUUCACCAUGGGAUUCUCUCCCACCUCACCCUCCCUUACUUUGGCUUCAUUACCAUCCUACCUAGCCCCUACUCCCAACAGACUUUACUUUGUUUUUCACGAUUAAAAAGAAUCCUUUAAAUUCAAGUGGACUCGGCCUGCGUUGUUGCUAUUCUUUUCAAACCGGCUUCGAACGUGAUCAUGCACACGAAAUUGGUGGCGAGAUUCGAGCAUAUGCUUCAACGUCAAUAACAGGUCCGACUCACUCAUAUUUAUCUGGAGGGUAAUCACGUAGCUAAUGCCAUGGCGAAUCUUUGUCACCAUCUUCUGCUGGGUAUGCAUAAUACCCUCUCUCAAAUGGAAAACUCUCAAGCUAGCUCUUAUAUGAUUCUGUUGGAAGUUGCGAGGCCCGUCAAAUAGCGACGACUUAGCUCUAUUCUUUAUUUUUCCUCUAAAAAAGAGAAUCCUUUAAUUUCUUCCAAUAUUUAAUUAAAUUUAUUAAACACAAAACCUAAUAAACUUUUCUAAUUCAACAUUAAAAACGGUUUGCAAAAGUCAUUGAAUUUUACUAUAAUCAUCUAAAAUAUUAACUGAGACGAAACGACUUUUGACAUAAAUUUUAUAUAAUUCUCAAAAUAAUUAUUUUGUAAUCCAAUAAACCUACAAUUCGAUAUACAAUAAUUUGAUUUACACCACUCAUGACCUUCCCAACCCUUUUGUUGGACAACUUUACCAAACACUAACUCAUGGACAGAACAAUUUCUUAAAGAAACAUUCAACAUCUUCUACAUUCAGCAUAGAGAUAUACAAUAUAUUCGAUAGAGACUUGAAAAUACAGAAAAUAUUCUAUACAUAAAUGAAAUACACAACACCCACAUUUUAAACAAAGCCCAAAAUGUUAAAUAAGAAAAUCAAUUUAUCAAGAUGUUGUAACAUCUCCAAGAAAUAUAGAUGCAUGGACAAGUAAUUAAUAAAUAUAAAAUGUGGUUUAUUUUUCUUCAAAAGGUUGUUGGAUGUUUUCUCAUCCUACUCUUCCUAAUGACAGUGACACGUCAGAAACAAACAAAACACCCCAUAAAUAAAAGCAAAAGCAUCAUCAAAUUGAUUGGAUAUGACUAUUGAAAUGUUUGAUGUCUCCUCUUGCUUGUCCCUAUUUGACCAAUACUCGUAUUGUCCAAAUUGAAUAAACGUACACUUUUCACAUCCUAAUAUAAUAUGCCAAAGUGACACGAUCGUAGCUAGGGUGGGAAACCUGUUUCGGCCCUGUCAAAUUAAGAUUCGAACACCCUAAGUUUUCAGGCUUUUUGGGUAAUUCAUGUAUUCGAUUAUUAGCAUAUUUAUUCUCUUUUUAUUUGAAAUUUUUGGAUGUUUGGAUGCCUUAACACGUUCAAAUUCAUGAUGUUUGGUGCAUAUUUGGUUCCCCUUGGUCCCUUGGGCCGUGUUACGUUGCUUUGUAUGUUUUUGGUACAUUUUAGUUGUCAUAUGACGAUUUAGGAUGAAUCAAGCCUUGGCGGAGAGUCUGUAACAACUCAGUACGCUCGACUUGUGAAGAAAACGUCACUGUUUAGUAUUUUGAGCAUAACUCAUCACUCGAAAGUCCAAUUGAUGCAAGGCCAUCAAAGUUGAAAAGAUAAUUCGAUUGUUUAUAACUUUUAUGUUGAAGUCAUGGUGAAAUUCCGUAUAUUAAAACAACACGGCGUGUUGCAAUGGCAAACGGCCGUGUUCUUCAUAUUUAUGCUCACGGCCGAGAAGAGCUGAAGAAAGGACACAACCGUGUUCUUUUCGGACACGCCAUGUUCUCCGAAACAUGCCAUAUUUUAUGGAACACACUAUAUUUUACCUCCUAACGAGAUUUUUGAGCUUAAUCCUUCUCCAACUUGGUCUAGAAGUCUAUAAAUACGCAUGAGACCCCCUAUGGACGAGAUAUAUUUCAAAUAUACUUUAUUCCAAAUAGUUUUUCGAGAUAAAGAGAGAUAAAGAGUUCAAGAGAUCGAUGAAGCGAGAGAACAUCAACAAUUGGAGACAGGUCGAAGAUUGGCGACAAGACGGAGAUUUAUCGACGAAACAUGUUUUCUUCCCAGGUUAUUUUCCUUUCUUCUUCCCUUCUUAUUUCCCGAACCAUGAGUAGCUAAACCUUUCGUGUUGUUUGGAUGAGAUGAAACUUUAGUUUAACUUUUGUAUGGAUGAUGGGGUUUUAAAGUUUUGAUUUGGUAUCGAGGUUAUUCAGACAUAUGAUGUGUUUUUGCUAAACUUAAUUUCUGAUUCAAUUUCGUUUGAUCGCCCUAAUUGAAUCAUCGUUAUUGAUUUGUGGAUCCGAGAGGAACAUAGAUUGAUAGGUCGCUUAGGAAGAACUCUAGAUUGUUCGUUAGCUCGAGAGAGGAAUGGAUCGUUUAGGCUUUUCGCAUCAUUUAUCGUUGUGGCGUUUCAUCGAACACCUUUAGUGCGUUUUGGUUAGGUGUAGAUUAGCUCGAGAGAGGAGUCUACGGUUGAGUAGAAUAGAUCCUUAGAGGCACGAGAGUGAUCUAAGACUAUCGUAGAAUAUCGUCAAGCUAUUAUAACCUGAAUAUUGAGAUAACUUAUCGUUCAUCCAUGCAUUGCUAGUUUUAGUGGAUUCAAAUCCGAACAACCUUGAUUCCAUAUUUGAAACUCAAUCUCUUGCAUUUUCUUUCUUUUGAUUUGCAUUCUUAGUUUAUAAUUGGUCACUUCAACAAACAAGCAAACAAUCAUUCACUGAUUCUUGGUUUAAUUAGCAUAAUCAAUUUGAGUAAUAACAUUAGAAAGACUCUAGAACAAUAAACGAUUUCAUUAAUUAAUUCUAGUAGGUAUUUGAUAGCGGGGUAAAAUCCGCUCGUUAGUAACACUUAAAAAGGCCGAUCUAGCCAAGAGUUUGAUCCUUCAACCACUUUACCGUUCAUAACCUUUCUUAUUCUUUCGCCUCUUCCUUCUUUUCAUUGGAUCGAUGUGGAACAACACAGGUUUGGACGGAGGGUACUACUGUGUGACAAGCUAGAUAGUUUUGACACCGUCGAGAUGUUAAAAUAUCCAAUCGGGCUUAACCAUUACUAACACUAGACUGGUCAAACCAAACUUCGGACACUCAAAAUCCCUAGUUGGGAGCAAAUGACCGGAACCCGUAUUGGUCAAAUUGCUAGAUACGGACUUCUAGUCACUCCGGAUAAAACUCGGGAAAAGAAACGAACCGGGUCAAAAUGUAAGAUUUAGCCUGAUCGACCCAAUCCAACCGAAACUCCACCUGGCAGUAUACCGUACUUCUACAGAUGACUGGAUUGUUUGUUUUAAUUUUAAAACUCAAGUCUUACAUUAUUGAGACCAUAAAAGAAAAAACUAAUGUUGAGACUCUCAAUUAUGAUCAACAACUUGAAAGGAGUGUAAUGUUUGACUAGUUAUUUUUGUUAGGUUUCUACCCAGCUACCAAUAGGCCUCACGAGCUUGGAAACUGACGACAGAGUCGGUACGUCGACAAUGGCCAGAGAAGCACAAAUAGGGUGAAUGUCCAAAACGAAACAGAGCAACCAAAACCCAACUAUACCAUGAACUCUUGCAUGGAGAGCACCCUUUUUUGUUCUUAUCCGUCAGAUUCGUACUCAAUAAUUUAUCAAACUCGAGUUUAUUAGUGGUUAAGACUUGAGCGGAGAUAUGAAACUGAUACUUUUUAUAAAACUCGGAGUUAUGCUAUGUAUUUUUUUAUCAUCUAAUACAAGGUAAUUUCUCAACCAAACAGAGACAUGGAGAAUAAAUUUAAAUUUUUUUGUUAAAUUAAAACUCACAAAGUAGGGAAUUUCUAAAAGUUGGGCAUGUAUUUUAGUUAGUUUAAUCCAAGUUAAACUCCAAUCUUGCUUUUUCAAGAAGCCUUUUGUGAGUGGCUGAGAUUCCCUUACUGACCCUAAGCUAAAGUCUAAUCCUAAUCCAGAUAAAUCCUGAAUCCCUUGCGCAUGGCAAAAAAUGGUAUGCUUUACGACUAUUUCCCAACCUGAAAAUCUUCAGCUUUUUCCCCCAAAGUUACACACCAAACAGUACCCUGCAAGCAACAUCAGUACUGCUACUACAAACCUUCAAAAGUACACAACAUGCCUACUUACCCAAAGUACCAUUUACCAACAUAAAGCUCCAUCCUUCCUUAAAAGCAUAUCUUCUUUACGUGUUGGAAGUCUGUGUCUUCUAUCUAGGGCCGGAAAUCGGGGCAGGUUCGGGUAUCGUUUUCAAAAAUUCUUAGACCCUGAACCACUUCUAGGGCAGAAAGUCGAGGUGAGUUCAGGUACGGUUUUCGAAAAUGUGUAACCCCCUCUCAAACCAUGAACUCAUUCAGACAUACGGGUAUUUAUCCAUAUAUUGGAAUAGUUAUUACGAAUUUGGAUUAAGGUAUUCGUCGAUACCUAACUUGAUCCAUCUGGCUUUUAAAUUUUAACAAAAGAAAGAACUAACCUACAUUUGAGUAGUAUAGUCCCGAAAAAUGAGUGAAUGGUAGUUGGUAUAUAUGGUACUUGUCUGUUACCGUAUUGACACGUUUUAUACGUCAUUUUAGGAUAGCAGUACCAUGUUUAAAGUUCGGCAUAUGUUAUAAAAUUUUAUAAAUUUAUAAUUUUAAAAAUGAAUAAAAGUUGAAGAGUUUAUUAAAAUAUCAAUUCUUAUCUUUAAAAUACGUGUUUUAUAUGUGAAGUAUCAAAUAAAUAUAAAACUAUUAAAUGGUUUUAUAAUAAUACAAGUACGGAAGUUUUAAAAGAAUUUAUUAAAUGAUAUUAAUUGGAUUUUUGCUAACUAACUAUUUCAUGGUUUUUUGGGUUUGGGUUUGCUUUCAUAGCUUGGUAAGUAAGGUUAGGUCGGAAAGAUAACCCGGAUCAAUGAGGUAAAUCCAAUCGGAUAGCGAGUGCCAUCGGAUAAGAAGAAGUAAGAAUCUUACACCAAAACCAGUUUGAGUUCAAGGUUGGAUUCGAGUAUACCCGAUACCAGUCGGGUAGAUUUCGAUCUUUAGAAAAACCCAACAGACCCACCAAGCUAAGAGUUCAAAAAUAACAGGAUAAGAAGAAUAAAAAACCAGAGACAGCAAGAACAGGGGAGGACUCUUAAUGUACAGUUUCAUAUCAUUACUAAACUAAAAAUUAAGUUUCUUGAUAAUCAUUACAAUUUGGUCAAAUGGACGAACCAGAUUUCCUUGAACACUUUGAUGAUAACAUCAUGAUACUCUUCCGAAUUUAGACACAAGUAACAAGCCAAAAGGUCUUCCAAAUCUUUGGACCUGCUAAUGUUAUUCUCCACAAUCAUCUCCACCAUCGACUCCAUGAAGUCCAGCUGUGGAUCCGACGACGAUUUCACCACCGCCAUACAUCCCGAAGAUGUCAGAGAACAGCUAGAGCUCAAGUUCGUCGAAGAACUCGAACUCGAACUCGAACUCGAGCUCGAGCUCAAGCUUUUUCUUCCUUGCUGCUGCGAUUGAACUCUCAUGUACCCGAUUCUGGGAGACUUGACCCGGAGCUUUAUCCCUGGAGAAUUCGUCGACGAAGAUUGCUUUCUUAUAAAUGAUGAUCCUUUUUGCUCUUUGCCGACAUUGAUGGACAGAGGUUUCUGAAUCGAGCUGCUCCUCUGUUUCUUUACACCUUCAAUGCUAUCGUCGAAGCUCGACGGCUUGGUCAAAAUGGGGACCAGAUCUCGUUGAGGCAUUUUAUCAUAAACAAUGUCGUUAGGGCAGCCGCAGGAAUUAUUGCUUGAUCUGGAGGACACCAUCUUAUCGAACGAAUCCGUCCUGAGCGAACAAUCCGACCUGAAUUCCGUAUCGGAUGCGGAAACAGAGCAAUCCGUAACCUCCGCCGGCAGCGGUGGAGGCGGUGUCAAGUCCGAUUUCGCCGUGGGUGGCCGGUGGUUGACGACGCGGCACGCGGGUGGCCAGUGGUUAACGACACGGCAACUGCAGCCGCCGGAAACAGAGAAGAAAACGAGGUCGGGAGAUGGCCUGACAGCGGCGGAUUUCUUCUUGGGUGGUAGUUGCCUGGACGAUUUCUUUCUGGGAGAAUUGGGGAGCUUUGGCUGUGCUGAUGAACUUGGUGGUGAUGAUUUGAGCUCUCUGGUAAAAUAAUAAGACUUCCUCGUUCCAGUCGGAGGAGGGGGAGGCGUGGGCUUACGAUGGCGGCGGGUUGUGUCGGAAGCAUUGGCGGCGGACGUUGGCGGCGGCCGUGUGUUUGAGGUUGUGGAACCAGGCGUUUGGGAUCAUGUCGGAGAAUCUAAACCGGAGAUUACCCAUAGGUGUGUGGUUGUUUGAGAGAGAGAGAGAGAGUGGUUUUGGGUUUUGGAUUUUGGUUGAAGGAAAUCAUAAAUAGAGAGACUGAGAGGGGAGUGAGUGGGGCAAAAAGAGUGACAGAGAAAGGAGAUGGUAAAGUAGUUUACCCACUAUGUCUAGGCUUCUUAAGAAAUGUCGAGACGGUCGCUAAUAAUAAUUCGGUAUACAGUUCGAAAAAAAUCGAUCAAAAUUUAGUUUGGGUUUCAAAUGAGCUAGUGGUAAACAAGUUGAGUUUGAGUUAGGUUUGUUUGAUGGUUCGAGUGAGUUUCAUGAGGUCAAUGAAAUUCCAUUGAAGAUUGUUAGCGGUUCAAUCGAUAUAGUUCGUAGGUGAUUUUGCUGAAUAACAAUUAAAUUAAAUUUAUGAUGAUGAAUGAUUUUGUUUUCUGAAAUGACUUUAUUUGAAGGGCCAAUUAAUUUGAAGUAAAUUUGUGAGGAAUUGCUAAUCAUCAUUGUUGUUUGUUGAGUCAUGGGAUCUAACUUUUAACUCAAUGAAAACAUCCAAAUCAUUGAAUUGGUAAUUAUUAUUUUGACCAAGGAUAAGGAAAGUAAUUUCUAUUUUCUACAUCCAACUUGGACAUUGAAUUUUUCCUCACUUACUUGGUAUAUGAUUAAAAAACAACAACAACAAAGUGAAUAGUGGUCAACCAAUGAAUUUUCAUCAAUUUUGGUUAAAAUUUAAAAAUAUUAUAGCUAACAUUAAAAAAGAGUAAUAUAUAUACAUAAGAUAUCACAACUAAGAGAACCAUGUGAUUUUGUGUAUUUAAUCAACGAAGCAUGUUUUAAAUUCGUUUCUAUCUAUAAUGUGAAGGAAUUUAAACAUGAAAUCUAUUUUCUAGAUUUGAUUCGGGUUUGUACAAUUUAAUAGGAUGUGACGACAAUUCGAACUGUACCCGAUUUCUUUAUAUCAAUCUUUUAAUACUUGGAAUCAAUAAACAUCCAAUGAUUAUGAUUAACUCACGUAAGCUUCAAUGUUAGCUUCCCCCACAAUCUGUAAAUAGAUAGGGGAAGUGUACCUCGAAUGUCUACACGCAGACAGAAACUUGGAGAACCUGAAUGUUACAGAACAAGCCACUCGAGUGUUUGUAUAUGAAAACUCAACAGAAAAGAAAAAUAUAAAAAUAAAUAAAUAGGAAAUGAAUAUUUUAUUCAUGAUAAGAUUCAUUUUCAUAUUCUGUUCAUCUAUAAGGUCAAAAUAACUGGAGAAAGAACAAAGCUCGAGCCCACUAAUAACUGUAUCUUCGUCGCGUUCACACUAUCUUUCUUAAAUGGUUACUCUCUGUGUUGGUCGUGGAAGCCCAAUCCCAAGCCCGGCCCAAAACAUAGCGUUUUGAUUUUUCUUCUUUUUCUAAUGGUUGGAAAUCGGUUCCGUUAUGGUCAACUACGUCCGAAAAAAUUGCCACGAAACAAAACAAUCCUAUUCUCUACGAUGACAUCUGAUUAUUUGGGUUUUCUCUCUUUCGGUGUAGAUGUGGUAAACGGUUACAACCUUCUGUAUAGAAUUUAUUUUCAAAAAUUAAUUUGUGAAAAAAAAACGUACAGAAAAAACCAUACUUCCAAACCAACGUCCACAAUAAAUCAUUCUAAUUAUCAUAAAAAAAAACCAACCCAAAAGGGUGGUGAGGAUGGGUGUUUGGGUGGGCUGAUAUUAAAUUAAUAUAAUUGAAUUGGGUAGACAUCGGAGCAUGUGGUUGAGAGGGGGGGGGGGGGGGGGGGGGGGGGGUGAGAGGGUGUUGUGGUGGUGGUGGGUGAGUGAGGUGUCGAGCGUGGAAUCUAAAAGGAUUUUGUCAGCGUGUACGUAAAUGACAUAUCACGACGUCUCUAAUUAGACCGAUCAUUUAAACAAAAUUCUGACGAUUUUUCACCGACGAUGAUUGUGCGGUCGCUAAAAAUAGUGAAUCCAUCGCCAUCCUUCAACAAUAUAUAAUGCAUGGCAGCGUGAAAAUUUAAUAUAUAAAAAAAUCAGCUGAAAAUUCCUUGUCUCUCACUUUCGACAACAGCAUAUAAACUAGAUACGACAGCUGCCACUCAGUCCGACCAGUCGCUAACGUAACAUUGGGAUAAUUUACCAGCUACGGUAUUUUUGUUUGGUUUGUUCCGUGGACUACGUGUAACGUACCUUAGGCUCAUCUUGAUGCAGUGAAUCACUUAAAUUCCACUUUCUUUGCCCAAGAAUGUGUUAAGUGUUAUGGGUUCUGCACAUUUCAAAAGUCAGCUCAACAUUUGAUUAUAACACAACACUCAACUCUUUUUUUUCUCCAAUGUGGAAUUAUCCAACAAUCUUUUUUUAAAUAUCGGUCAACCAGAAACCACAUGAUCACAAUCAGCUCCUUUGGUAGCUAAGCAUACCAGCUUUAAUCAAAUCACACAUUGAUAUCUUGGUAAAAGUUACCCAAUCUAUUACCAAUUCUAACUAAAUAACCAUAUGUCACUCAAUAAAUAUUAUUUAUCUACCUGUUUUAACAUAAUUUCACAUGAACUUUGAUUAUAUUAUAUAUUGAGUGUUAUUAAGCAUUUUUACUAUAAAAAAGUAACUUAAUAAAUAAGGUUUUUUCUCGUACCUAUAAGCAGUACACAACCCGGCCCACUUCUCGAUACUAGACAAAUGGACUAGGUAGAGAACCCCCAAGUUUUGUUUGGGAGCGUGGGGAUCACGAUAAAUUGACUACAUAAAUUAAGAAAUGAACCCAACAAAACUGAUUCAAUGUUAAUUAGCCAAAUUCAUGGUCCCCUUCAAGGUCUCAGUAAGUGUCGAGAUCAUCAAUUAGCAUUACGACAUGACUAUACGACGAGUUCCAAGUCCCCCCCCCCUCCCCUAAUACACCAAACUUAGUAUUUAAUUGUGGCCAUGUUUUGUCUCUAUACUAAGUGAAAAGUGUGACUCGCCAAAGGUAUACGCCAUUCUUCACUUAUUCCGAUAGCGAGAUGUAUGUUACGGUGAAAAUACCUUAUUUAUUAAUAGGCGGCAAGAUAGAUUUUAUUUUUGUCAAAUUAUUAGUGUAGGCGAUGUCUAACUACAUAGUUGUUAAUUGUUUGAUAAGUAAAUGGGAUAUGUAUGUUCUUGCGAUGAUGAUGAUGAUAUAUAAGUUGUCCUUUGAGUCGUGAUGGCUGCGAUUGUGAAGAUUCAUAUGAUGAGAAUACCUUAUUUGUUUCCAGUUUUUUAUUAUGAGAGAGUAAAUUCCAAGCAAGUCAAACAAGUUCAGCUUCCAAUAAUUAACAACAACUAGGUUGAUUAAUCAUUAGAAUUACUAGUUGGGAUGUGAUUGGAGUUGGAACAUGUUUUGUUCAUUGGGAGAAAAUAAAGUGUUCUCCGCAUUCUAGACAAGGCCCAGAUUUGGUCGUGAAGAAAGCCCAUCAUAGGAGGAUUGGCCCAGAUUAGUAACCCAAAUGGAUCCAUCUAAGCAAGGACUAUCGGGCCUAGCAUUUCAAUGACCAAGGCCCAUGAUGAGAUGUACGGAUACUCUUAUUCGUGAACUUGUAUGUAUUAGUAUCGUUGUUCAUGGGAGGUCAUUUCAGGCCUUUCCUCCAUAGUCCUACAACAGGCUGGAAGUUGGGCCACGACUGAGGCCCAUUUGACCAACCAAUGGUUGCAACUUCCGACCCAAAUUAAUUAGGAGAGAAAGCUUCUAGCUGUAUGAUGGAACUGGAAAAGAAAAAGAGAGCGAUUAUUAGUUUUUAUUAAAAGUUACAUAAUAAUUGCAUGAAUUUCUCUGCUGGAUGAUUGGAUCCGACGUGACAUUUUGUUCAACGAAUGAUUACUUAUACGUGGUAAAAAAGACUAAAACUCGAAUCAUUUUGAUGGACAAUUAGCUAAUUAAUUAGGUUCUUCAAGUUGCGUUACAUUUAGAUUAGUAUGCAUUGCUAUUUGGUAGCUACUAUGAUUGAUUAAGUAACUUGCGAGGGAUGCACAGUGGCAGAUCAUCAUGCUCUAUAUAGCUAAUAGAGCCGCCGCUUAUUCUACAUUACAUCUAGAUUAUCGCACGUUACGAGUACUCCUCACUUACUUUUUAAAUAGAUACAAUGGUUCUCCUACAUUUCAGUCUGGCUAGCUAAUUGAUUUGAUCAAGUGUGUUGGAAUUGGCCAUUAUGUCAUUGAUCAACAUGUCUCCAUAUAAAAUUCGAGGCACAAAUAUCUUUUUUCGGCCACUGAUCGAAUGCUUGACCUUAGGUCCAACACCGCCAGUUGUGGCAAUGUUAUGGGUUUUUGAGUCGUAUUGUUCCAUCAUACAUGCUUUAUUUUCGAUUUUAAUUUCUUGAGUCCGAUGUCUACGAAAGCGGUCUGGGCUGCCUGCUCUACCGUUUCGGCUCAUUCUAGAUUACACGUUUAGCUCUUGUAUUUUAAAAAGAAGAAUUUAGAUGGCAUUACACCCUUUUAAUGAGAACACAGCCGUUAAGUAGUAGAAAAAAAUACCCAGUUGCAUUCUGGACCUACUGCUUUAAAGUUUCAAAUUCUUGUGGUCGUAAGUUGCCCAUUAAAGUAGAGUUAAAGCAUAUAUAUACUGCUGUGUUUCAAAGAAAAAAUGAUAUUACUUGAGGGGAAAUUUCAUGAGUAUCUUCCUAUUUGGUCCCAUGACUUUGUAAAAUGAAACUAAUAACCUUUGUACAUUAUUUAUAAUAAUGUAAUUGUGUAAUAAAUCUAUUUUCAAAACAAAUCAUUGUCUGCGAUUAUUCACCUACAAGUUUUAGAGGGUCACUUUGACAACUUGAAAAACGAAAUAAGAAAGAGAUUUUACUUUGAAAUUUACUAACUCAAUCGAACAAUAAGGAGAGUACUCAUCGAACAGAUACGGCUUUUAUACACAAAUCAUGAGUGUGUGUAUUGUCUUUACCUCAAAUGUGUUUCAAGAAGUACCCGUGUGCAUGUAAAUACGAGGCAAAUAUAUCAUACAAAAAAAAGUUCUCGGAAAAUUAAGAUUCCAAUAACAAAAAUUUAAAACAUGAUCUGAAAAAAAUGAAGAAAUUUGAACCCAUAAUUCUCAUAUGUUGAACUCUAGAACCAACUACCAAACGGAAAAGGACUAAAUCGUGUACCCCUUUAAAUAUCCCAGUAAAGGCCGCGUUAAGAAGAAGAAACAAAAACCAGAACGCGUAUCCUCCAAUUUUGGUAUCACAGUAAAACCACCAAACCCAAAUUCCAUCUACUUUUCCUUUUGGGUUUUCAAAUUCCUUCUCUUCCAAAAUUUCUCAUGAGUUAUGACUCCAUUAUGCCAGACGACUCACCCGCCGCCGGUCCCCUGUUCGGAAAAUACGAGGUGGGUAAGCUCCUGGGCUGCGGCGCAUUCGCCAAAGUGUACCACGCGCGAAACGUUGAUACAGGGCAGAGCGUGGCGAUCAAAAUCGUCAGCAAGCGCAAAAUCCAGAAAGCAGGGAUGACUGCGGCGAAUGUCAAGAGGGAGAUCUCUAUCAUGCGCCGGCUGCGCCACCCCAAUAUCGUGCGCCUGUUCGAAGUCCUCGCUACCAAGACCAAAAUCUACUUCGUGAUGGAGUACGCCAAAGGAGGCGAGCUCUUUGUCAAAAUUUCCAAAGGACGGUUCUCGGAAGAUCUCAGCCGUAAAUACUUCCAGCAGCUGAUCACGGCCGUCGGCUACUGUCACGCGAGAGGCGUGUUCCAUCGGGAUUUGAAGCCGGAGAAUUUGUUGCUCGACGACCGAAUGAACCUCAAAGUCUCCGACUUCGGCCUCAGCGCCACCACCACCGUUGGAUUGUCAUCAACAGACGGUGGGGAGCUGUUGCAUACUUUGUGUGGGACCCCUGCGUACGUGGCGCCCGAAAUUCUCGGGAAGAAGGGGUACAACGGUGCCAAGGUGGACGUCUGGUCAUGCGGAGUCGUCCUGUUCGUCCUCGUCGCUGGUUACCUUCCGUUCAACGACGCAAACCUCAUGGCGAUGUACAAGAAGAUCUACAGAGGAGAAUUCCGCUGCCCGAAGUGGACGUCACCGGAGCUGCGACGACUGCUCUUCCGUCUCCUGGAUUCAAAUCCAGAGACGAGGAUCACGAUCGACGAGAUCCUCGGCGACGAUUGGUUCAAGAAGGGUGGUUACAAGGAGGUGAAGAAUUCCCCCGCGGCGGGGGAUUUCGAUUUCAAGAGCAGGAUGAUAGAAGAGCAGAGUCUUAACGCGUUCGAUUUGAUAUCUUUCUCAUCGGGAUUCGAUCUCUCCGGCCUCUUCGACAAGUCAGGGAUCGAGCGGUUCGUAUCGACGGAGUCGCCGGGGCGGAUCGUACAGGGAGUGGAAGAGGCAGCUAAAGUGGAGAAUUUGACGGUGACGGAGAAUAAGAAAUCAGGGAUGAAACUGGAAGGGCGGGACGGUAAUUUCGUGAUGCUGCUGGAAAUUUACCGUUUGAGUGAUGAGCUGGUGGUUUUCGAAGUGAGGGAGAAAGAAGUAAAUGUACUACCCGGCUGUGAAAUAUGGAAGUAUAAGCUCCGGCCGCAUCUCCGCCGAUUAGCCGGAACCGCUGACGACGCCGUUUGACGACGGCAGAGAGAGAGAGAGGAAUAAUUAAUAUUUAAUCAAUUAAAUGCUAAUUGGUUUUGGUAUUUAUUAUGUGUUUUAAUGACUGAAAUUCCAGUCCGGCUAAUUAACUAGUGAUUAUGUAAAUUCCAGUCCGGCUAUUUAGUUGGGGAGAGGAAAAUGUUUUCUGAAUAUGAGGAAUUAAAUUAUUUCGCAACAGACGGGUAUGUGUUUACUUUGCAUGAAUUUGGUGUCGAUGGGGAUUGGUGGACUUUCUGAAACUGUAGUUCUGAUUUUGCACGUAACGUGUUCGACGAAUUGCCUGAAAGAGAAAGGCAUUAUGCUGGCAAAAUAGCUGCUGCCGACAUUGAAAUGAAUUCGUUGGCGGUGAGAUACCAGUACAAACGGUAAAUUCUUAAAUUCUUUUUUACUAAUUAUGUAUAUGUUGCCAUUCCAGCUCAAAAUCUCCAGUUAAAAGGAAUUCUUCCAAACUCUUCUUCAUGAUUUUCUCUCAAUUCAGUAAAGUCUAACUGCUCAGACUCCUAUCUUCAACCCAACUGAAAUACGGACUAUGUCGAAGACUUCCUAUGACGUCCAUGUGUUCUCUUCAACUGAAUACAUUAUAUAACAAUAGCGAAUAACUCCGGUUAUCCAUGGGGUAGCUAGGCAUCCAUGCCUAGUAGUUGUGUACAAUUUGUCAUUGAAUUGGUGCACCGUACAAUCCAACUGUAAGAGCUAGGCAUUAUUGGGGAGAAUGUCCGAUUGUAUCUGACCUGCACAUGUGAUGAUCACAUACUCGAUCGUACAAUCAAAACUUUAGUGAAAACGAUAACAAAUGUACGAAUUGGUCCAAAUUAUCCAUCUCACAUGGAGUAGUAGUUUGGAACAAAUUGUAUGGCAUAAUAAUUUCAAAACUGUGAAUGAACGUGCAUCGUACAACCCAAGUGCAGAAAAACAAACAUGCUAAUGUUGGUUAAAAUAUGAUAUUGUUUCAAACACGAGCAUUGCCCGGUUUUAUCAACAAGACCAUCGUACGCUAAGCUCAACAUUUAUUAUUUUGAUAAGCGAUAUAAAAUAAGCUCAACAUUUAUGAACUUACCGUUAGUUUUGGUGGAUGAAAAGUUGAAAGUGAUUUCGCACAUUUUUCAAACCGGGGUGGAAAAAGUUAGAUCGCCCAACGAAAUGAUAGCAAAAAGUGAUUUUCUCCAUCACCAUCUAAAUUUUUCAUUAAAAUAGGGUUGUUAACUUUGUCAAUAUUGCGGAUUGAAUUCUUCUUUAAAAUCAUGGUUAUUCAACUAAGAUUUAAGGCGAUUUGUAUGUCGAACCACAUAAUUUUUGACAUAUAAAUGAAAUGUUUCGGUACAGUUUUGAAAAAGAAUGUGGUCUGCGUAGACAAAAUGAGAAGAAUGCAAUUAGAUAAUUUAGAAUGAUUGAUAGGUAAGUGCAAGUCAUUAUCAAGCAGGCAUUACACUUAAACUACAGCCCACUUAUCUGCAAUUCCAGCAGCCCCCACUUCGAUCUGAAUAAUAAUAAUCAAAAUCCAGCACAUGCAUGAAACAAUUACGACCGUCGGCCAUCCAAAUUGUUUAUUAAAACGUCGAUUUUGCACCCACGAUAUCACAUGCAUCAUAGAAAGCUGCAGACGAAGCUUCUGAAUUGAUUAAUUAACCAGGCUGUAUUUACUGCCGCAUUUUAAAGUUGAUAUCCGACCUUAAUACUCGAAGAAUUAACUGACUUCGCGUCCUUACUCUUCUCAAGAAAACGAAACCACGUCAAAAGACAAAUGCCUCAAUGACGACCGACACUACCCGACCUACAAUUCCAGCAGCCACCACUUCAAUCUGAAUAACAAUAAGCCCAUGCCGUACUGAAGCACAAGCCCAAGUACUUUGGCCCAUCUGAUUUGGAGCACCAAGUCCAUCAGUACAGCGUAAUCUGAAGCACUUCAGUAGUUCCAAUUUCAGGACAAUCGAACGAUGGAUGAAAAUGUCAUUAAUCGAUACCGAAUAUCGGCAGAGUACAUUUUUCGAUCUAAACACCUCUAAAGAUGAAAAGAUAAAUCGAACAAUGGUUUUAUCAGUCAAACAGAAUGGUCAUCAUUCAUCAGCUUCUGCCAGGUUCAAUGGUUUUAUCUGAGCCGCGAUAUCUGACAACACACUCGAAACAGGAAGCUGCUGCUGCUGCUGUUCUCCUUGCCAACUCCACACGAUAUCCUUCAACGAAGGCCGAAUCUCUUCCUUCACCACUUUCCGAUACUCCAUCGUAUCCCCACUGCACUUCUUCAUCUCCACCAAAUGGAAGCACGGACUUAUCUCGAAAAUCUCAGCUUCUAUCCCAAUCACACCUUUCCUCCCUUCCCUCGCACCUUCCAAUCUCAUCAGCCCUCCUUCCUUCUUCUUCACCCUCAGGUUUAGUCGCUUCGCCACCUCCUCGACUCUCGAGAUAAUCGUAGAAGCCGCCCUGUUCGAAGUAAACGUCACCUCUUUCUUCUCCCCCUUCUCCUCGAACAGCCCCGACAAAUCGAAUCCAGACGAAUACGAAAUUAUAUCGAACGCGUUCAGGUUACUACAUCGCUUCGAAUUUUGAUUCGAUUCGUCUGUCUCGGGCAAAUCAGUCGUCUGCUUGUUCGGCUCGAAUAGGCCCUUUUGAAACCACGAGUUCUGCAUUAUCCUGGCAAUAGUAAUCCUCUUGCUCGGAUUCGGAUCCAUGAUUUUCGACAGAAACCUCCGAACCUCGUACGAGAACCAGUUCGGAAUCUUGAACUCUCCCUUCAUUAUCUUCCUAUAAAGCUCCAUUAGAUUCGAGUCAUGAAACGGCAAAUAACCAGCAAGCAGAACAUACAAGAUAACUCCACAAGACCAAAUAUCGGCUUUCGAUCCAUCGUAUCCUUUUCGAACGAUAACUUCCGGAGCGACAUAGGCAGGAGUUCCACACGUGGUGUGGAGCAAUCCAUCUUGCCUCUUGCAAUCAGCAAGAGCGCUGAGUCCGAAAUCCGUAACCUUCAAAUUCUCGUGUUCAUCCAGAAGCAGAUUCUCCGGCUUCAGAUCGCGGUGGCUAACCCCGCGGCUAUGGCAGUAAUCGACUGCGCUGAUCAGCUGUUGGAAGUACUUUCUCGCAACGUCUGGUUUCACUUUCCCCUUGGCGACUCUGUUGAAGAGCUCGCCGCCUUUGACAUACUCCAUGACAAAGUAAAUCUUCGUCUUGGUUGCCAGAACCUCGUAAAGCUCCACCACGUUCGGAUGGCGGAUUAGUCUCAUUAUCGAAAUCUCCCGCUUGAUCUGGUCCAUCAUUCCGACUUUCAACACUUUCUCCUUAUCAAUGAUCUUGAUAGCCACACUUGUACCAUUCUCAAGAUUCCUAGCGUAGUGAACCUUGGCAAAGGUCCCUUGACCUAACAACCUCCCAAUCUCAUACUUGUUCAUCAACACGCAUCCCUUCUGCUCCAUUUUGCUCGAUUUCAAAAAAACUGAUUCAAAACUCUCGAAUUUUAAACUGAUGAAUCCAGAUUAUACCUCAAUCAACCACCUUCGCAAACACCAUCGUUCUGCAGCAGGAGAUACAAGCCUCCUUUAGUCAAUCUACAAGCGAGCAUUCCAUUACACGGAACAAAGAAUCGAAAUCGAGUCAAAUAAACAUCGACGUUGAGCUCGGAUUUGUUGUGGAAAUCAGCUAGACAGCACAUCUUUCAGCAUUCCCUUCGUCUUUGUUGAUUUUUCCAAUACAAUCAAUCAAAUCACCUGAGUUCACAAACAAAAUUGUAUAAACACAGAAUUCCACCAACCAAACAGAAAUCGCCGGAAACAAGAAUAGUUCGACGAAUCGGAAUACGAUCGGAGAUUUACAUACCUGGGGAAGUUUAGCGGCGGAGUGAACGAAGAGAUGAAUCGUGAAAACCCUAGAGAGAAGUUGGAAAUCCAAGCUCCGGAAAGCUGGAAGAAUUGAUGAAUGGUUUCACUGAAUUGACAGAGUGAAAACGGCUAAUUGGUUUGCUUAUUUAUAUUGGCGGAUCUUUAAAGAAUGUGCCGUUUCGGUAAAAUGACAGCCUAUCAUUAUUUCAUUACUUUUCUUUUUUGUGCUACAUUUAAUUAUUUUAGUAUUACCAUUUUUUUGGUAAGCAAAUGAUUUUAUACAUAAUUUGACUUGUUAUUAAGAAAAUUGUAUUAGGAAAUUAAGGUAAUUAUUUUUUCUUUAUUUAUAGAUUUAUAAUUUGGUAACUUGAGAGAGAGAUUCUGAAUAAACAACAUAAUAAAACAUUAAGAGAAUCAAAUAUAUAUAUACCAACCUUGGUCGUAGAAAUGGGUGUUUAGGAUUAGAAAAACACAAAAAUGGAUUUGAUGGAAACCAAACCAUUACAGCGGCAGACAAAGGUUUGGCUGCAUGGAACCUGCCAGACAACUUGUCCACACUUAAUAUAUGUUUUGCUGUUACAGUAACACAACACAUAAAACGUGUCCUUUUAUGCAUUUCAACUUUUCAAGUACGUAGUCAAAUUGGUAGGAAGAAAUUGCUGGGAAAUGAUACCACCACCACUACCCAUUUGAGUUUGAUUAACAAAAUAGAAUUCAACACUUCACAACACAAGUGUAUUACGAAACUCAGACGGUUAAUUGGCUGCUCAUGUUGGUGUCACAAUUCACAUUUAUAUUUUCAUGUCACGAUGGGUAUGGAAAUGUGUGCUUAUGUAGAUGUGUAUGCAUUGAUCACGAUAUACACAUGUGUUUAUGGUGGUGGCAUUUAGUUUAGUCGCACGUGGUUGAUACUCAUUAUUCAAAGAACUUACGGAAUUAGAGUUCACGACAGUUAACUGACUAUUCAAGUUGGUGUCACAAUUGUAAGGAUUUUCGAUUUAUAAACGGUAUAUGCAUAUGUGCUUAUGUAGAUGUGUAUGCAUUGAUCGCGUUAUACAUGUGUUUAGACCAUACACAGACAUAUUUUUGACGAGAUAAGAAGAUAUUCGAUUUGUUUGUACGUAAUUCAUAUUCGAUAUUAAGUGAACUUCAUGUAACAUGAAAUGAUUCAUUGUUUAAACAAUUAAAGUAGGUACGCAUAAAGCGAACAAAUCAUUGUAUAAAUUAAUCUUCAUUUAUACAAACAAAUGCAAAUUAAACUAUUUAAUAAUCAACAACUUUUAAUUAUUUUGGGGUUUUCUAUUGAAUUAUUUUUCACCAACUUUCAAUACCAAGCCAAAAUGGCUGCACUAAUACCACCAAAGACGUUACUACUUUUUUAAUAAUAAUAAUAAGAUUCUGACACGUGUCAGUAAAGUAAGGGUUCGCACGAGGAGUGGCCAGCUAGGACCAAAGUGACAUUUCACGUUUUAGUUUGCGAGCAGAUUACUUGCUUGCACUUCUGUAUGACCUGGCGUUACAUGCCAUUUGUUGAUCAUACACGUGGCACCAAUCAGCAUCAAUCCUGCCACGAUAGCAGGAUCAAAUUAUUUUCAAAUACAAUUCAAUCAUGCAUUUCUAUGAUGGUUCACCCCUGAAUUAACCAAUGACUUCUAAUUCAGAACAGAGCAUCUAAAUCAUCAAUCCAAAAUCCCGAUCAUCGAUAGAUUAUUAUACAUCAACAAAAUCACAAAGGAUUCAUUAAAUUUUGACGAGAAAUAGAAAUUAUGAUUACUUAAUGGAAGAGAGAAUAAUAAUACAAAUGAUAAAUGCAUCAAGGUAGUGAGUGGAAAACUUGAUUUCCUUCACCUCGUAACUUAAAAUUCUCACUUCCAUUGUGUUUUGGCACUUAUAUAUCCCGACCUGGCUUGGAUCCCACCGCUAGACCUUAAGCAAUCACAUAACAUUUUCUUUUAUGUGCCUAAUUUGCAUAUUUUUUCAUCUCAAAUUCGACAUGGUCAAUAAUCUUAUUCCGCAAAUUUUCUUAUAUCAGCGAGACGAAAAAAGCCAUAAAUCACAUCAGUAACCCUCACAAAUUUUCAACAAAUACAAAGCAUCACGGGAAAGAAAGCAAGCAUGUGCAGCUAAUCACAAUGGCUUUUGUAAUCAAUUUGCUAUACAACCUGAACUUCCAACUUGGCCAGCACUUCAGAAACAGUGUCAUGGCAGGUUCCUCGGGUGUUUUCUUGAUCCUUGGAGGCAAUGGUUGCACCCUCGUUACAAAAGCUAAUCUUUCGGCACAAUUCAUCCGGCCGAAUAGCAUAAACUUUCGAGAAGAAGAGAGGAACCUAAUAGUCCACCACACUAAGGCACUGCAAAAAAAAAAGGGACAACGACGGCGGAAUCAGAGGAUCAGGCUUCAAUAAUAUCUUCCUCCCCAGAGUAUUGCUUCCCUUCUGUUCCCAUUAUACUUAUAAUUAAAGCUUGAAGAUGUUUGUCAUUACUGUACCAAGCAUUUCACAGUGAGAUAUGAUGCUCAUAACAAACAUUGUGAAAUGCACGAUACCCAAAUCACAAACAUUAUUCAAGAUUUCAUCAUUAGUAUAAUAGGAUUCCUAUGAUAGGAAGGUUGAUCGGCCGAUUCCUCGAAGCUGAAAACACCGCUGUACAAGAGGAUCGGGAGGAAGAGUAUUAUGAUUGCUGCCGCUUUAUGUUGUUAGGUACUACUCCGGAGUAAUUCAGUACAUUUUCAGUGUUUAGUAAACGUAUCUCGUUUCUCCAGCAAGGAAGAGAGCUUCUUCCGAUAAGAGUUCAUUACAGUAGCAUGUAAAGACCAAGCCACAUCCAAAUACAUGUUUAAAAAACCUGUAUUCAGAUGUCGCAUGGUCUAUACAUACUGUUAUGCGCUGCUUCUGUUUUACAAGUAGUUCCUGAAAUGUGUGCAGCAUAUUAUUAAAGACAGCGCAGCGAAUAUACAUUGGAGAUAAGUAGGAAACUAAGCAAACAAUGGCAGAUAUCAACUUCAAAUAAAGACAUGCACACAUUCAAGUUUAUGAAUAUAGACUUUCGACCAGAUAGAACUUCGUAGCUCAGUGAACAGGAACCCAAACUUGUAGAUGAUCAUAGCAAUGCUCGCGUUCAGAAUCACAGGUAUGAACACAAAAUUCCACCGCAAAACAGCAAACAAAAUUGCAUAAACACAAAAUUUCACCACCAAACAGAAAUCGCCCGAAACAAGAAUAGUUCGACGAAUCGGAACACGGUCAGAGCCGUGUGUAGGUGAGAGGUACCAAGAUAACUAAGUGCCUCACGUGCCACUAAAUGGGUGGCACAGUUAUCUUGACGUCGAAUGCGAUGAAGAGAAACUCGAGGGAGUGAUUGGUAGAGGGUACGCCAUUCAGAAAGGAUCUGUCCUACUGGAAUAUAUGGGGAUGCCGGAUGCCGAAGUAAUGAAGAGGGAGGAAGGUCGUUCGAAGAGGUGUGAUUGUCGUGUUCAGUCCACUGCAUCUGAAAUUGUUGUUGUAAUGAACUGAUCGAAAAACGAAUUAGGAAAUAGAUUAGGAAAUGAAGGUAAUUAAUUAGAACUGUGAGUAUAACUGCAAAUUUCACAGUUAAACUGCGGCACAUUUGGGCAAAUGUCACAUUGAAUUUUACAUAUACCAACACCCGAAAUCAAUGUCUAUAAACAGUGGGAAAUACAAACCCUCGAGUGAAGGAACGUAUAAUAACAACAAACUUUACAAAACCCCCUUGAUUUUUACAAGUCUUCAGGAUUCAGCCACGCCAGACGGUGAAGCGACCUUGUUGCAAGCGUGUAGAACAGCGCAUAUGUCGGUUUUCUCCAGGAACUGUUCUGCAUUUGUAAGGACCAAAGGACCGUACUCGAAUACGAUCUUCUUGCACUGCCAAGAACAUCAAAGCCAAAGGGUUCAAUACUUCAAUAUAAAGUGAACAGUAUCACCUUAUUCCAAGACCAUUAAAACAUCGUGGGAGUGUUCGUAAGGAGACAUGAUCAAACUAGAACAAGAUUGAAAAACAGCAAUGAGAAAGACAAAAACGAGAUUGGGAAUCUUAGUUACUAGAGCUUCCAUGAAUUGGUUCAUACCUGUGCUUUACGACUAUCCAACGAAUUGCAGCCCGUCAAGAGCAGCUCGAUUAUCUCCAACUGUUGUCAAAAAGCAAGAAAGAAUAAAUUCAAUGACAUUCGAUUCUGUUAUCAACUCUUUAUAGAACUUGCAGCUCGGUACAGAUCGCACCUGAAUUUCGGGAUCUUUCAACUUGGCCAGCACUUCAGAAACAGUGUCAUGGCAGAUUCCACAUGUGUUUUCUUGAACUUUGGAGGCAAUGGUUGUUGCAGCCUCGUGACAAAAGCUAAUCUUUCGGCACAAAUCAUCCGGUCGAAUAGCAGAAACUUGCGAGAAGAAGAGAGGAACAUAAUAGUCCACCACACUAAGGCACUGCAAAUAAAAGAAGACAAUAAUAAGCUCACCAAAAAACUUCUGAAACCGCAAAUCAAAAGUUUCAUUAUCUUUAUCUAAAAUAACCAAAUCAUACCUCUUUCUUCAUGUAAGGGACGUAAGAACACGUUUUGUGAAGGAACUCGACAAUCUCGGUCCGAGUUUCGUUAUCCUUAAGGUAUCUAAGAGCCUGACGACUAAACUGCUGGCAGAAUGUGCACAUUUGGUCCUCCAUAGCCAUUUCAGAAGCAGGAAUUCCACUUCCUGGCCCCUGAUUUUCCCCUAUCACACGCGCAAAAUCAAACAAGUGUUCACAAAUAGAUGAGAUGGUCAAUUUCUGCAAUAAGCAGCGUAUAAUUCUGCCAUCUAAGAGCAGUAAAGGAUUAUCCAUGAAUCGGACUAAGCAGUCGGCGUAUUUUCGAAAUUUACAGCUUCAGUACUUCAAAAACCCUUAAUUCUCAAAUCACGGCAACUAAUGCGAAGCAGACGACCAAAACCUAGCUGGCAGAGAAAUCGAACCGGAGAAUAGCGAUAAGCUCACCUGAGAUUCUCAAAAUCACAUCGCCGGUGGUGGAGAUUACUCUGGCGUGGCAACUCCAGCUACCAGCAGCUAACACAAGGAGAAGAAAUAGCGCAGCUCUCGGAUCCAUGGAUUGCGAAGCUUGGAACAAACCUGAAGCUAAGAAUCCAAGAAUGAAGGAAGAAUAAGGAAAUACAGGAAAUCAAUUUGGGAACAAAUUGGUUGAGAGAAACACCUAACUAGGAGCUUCGGAUCGAAUUGAGUGCUGUGGGAUUGCUUGGGUGAUGAGCUUAAGCAAAAAUCCUGAAAAAGGAAUGGCGGAUUAAAGGCAGGUGAGGCUUGAGCUUGACAGUUAAAUUGGCUUUUUCUUUUGCCAUCGUGUUUCGUAUUGGGUAAAGGGUAUUAAAGAAGUAGCGAAUAUCGGAACCAGACAUAUCACUAUUCGAACAAUUUCGACCGUGUUAAACUUCAGCCAUGCUCUAGGGACAUGCCUCACGUUUCACAUGUUUUGUGAUGCAACUUUAUCCCUCCAAUUUAAGUCGUUGAAUGUUUCAAAUGAGUGGUUCCAUAAAGUGGCACGAACAAUUGUCUUACUCUAAUAAUUCGAUAUUGACUCAAUUCGUGAACAAUACGUAACUCAAUUUUAUGUUUUAAAACCAAUCAUAAACACAAAAGUAUACAAUGACAACAUUAACAGUUGGAACCGUUUAGACAUAAAUGGAAUGAAUACGACAGAGGGAAUAUCGAUCAAAUAUUCGGCUCCGAGUCGAAACGUUGCUAAGUUUAAUUGUCUUUGCAUUAGUGAUCGAUUGAAGAAUCUCAUCAUGACUGCAACCGCCAUGGUAAUUCAGUUAGGCCGUUAUUAAGAAUAAGCUAACAUCAAGACUGGUUUAAUUUGCUGAACCAGUGGCUAUAAGCUCACACUGAGAAUGUUCGUUGAAAGUCGUAUUAAUUAAUAUGCCGUAGAUAUGGAAAAUCAGAGGAUAUAAUCAAUAUCACACAGCAACUAUUUUCGAACAUCUACGAGAAUACUAGAAGUUUGGAACUUAAUAAUGGAGAAGCUCGAUUGAACAAACACAAAAUGGAGAAUGAGUGAGUUACUUAGUGAGCUACGACAGUCGGGUAUUGUGUGAAGCUAAAGCAGCCGGUUGAUACGAUGAUGGAAUCAUAAGCAUAUUCCCAAUAGCAAGUACUGCAAGUAAAAAUGUAGGUGACGACUGACGAGAAGCACUUAACUGGUUCAAAUCGCUUUUCGAGUUAACGAACAUUGGCGGGACUUCAAAAACCCACACCACAAACAAGGCUAGCGACAGCAGGAGAGCAAAAACAAACAUAAACAAAAGGAGGACCAGAAUCAUUCCUCAGACGGAAAACGGAUCGGAACCUUGAAUCUGACAGAGGCCUUCAACUCAACAUAAUGCUUGGAAAGUUCUAAUUUCGGUUUUCCGGCCAUUAACCAUUCCUGCAAAUGUCGGAGCAUGCAAAAUUGAACAAUGGAACAACUAACUAAGAUUUCCCCUUAUGAUUUGCUGGAACAACUCUAUUCAUUUGACAGAUCGCUCCAGCAGCUUGGCUUCUGCCUCUAUCGAUCAGACGGUCAAUUGGCUACACAACACUCCAUUCGUUUCGAAACAAAAGAACCUUGCAUCUCGUACGAUUAAAUGGCAAACCAUGAUGCUUAAUUUGACCACACAGUAUAGGCUUUAAAUAUUCGUUCUGUUUCCACAGAGACUUGCAAACACGAGACAAAUGUAGACAGAGUUACAGAUACAGUAAAUUAAGAAAAUAAUGAAACCGGCUAAUCAGAUUGCCACUUAUCAGCCUCUUCAUACCAAGAGGUGAUAUAUAUUAGAAUAAAUACCCAUUGUAGAAGGAGACAUAUUGGAAUUGUCUUUAGCUGCUGCUGCUGCUUCUUCUUCUGCUUCUUCUUCUUCUUCAUCUCCGUCUUCUUCUUUAGGAGAUCCUCCAAGAAAAUAGUUAACCUUUUGAUUAGGUACGUCGCCAGAAAAAAUUUCGCCAUACCUCAAAUUCAAAGAUUUCAUUCUUUUAAAGGGGGUAUUGCUCCGAGUUAACAAUCCAAAUCAACAACUAUAUAUGGAGCAGAAGAUCAUAAAACAAAACAUGUUAGGGCUGAAAAUGAGAUAGAAAAAUGCAAUAUCAACCAUUUAACAUGAAAGAAAAGAAAAACAUAUCUCAAGGUUUUCAACAUACAGAUCCAGAACUUGUACAUCAUGCAGAAUCUUGAACAAGUUCACACACUGCUUGACCACUCCUAAUUGCUUGUCGGCAACAUUGUCACUAACUAGAGCAAAAUCUGUUGCGAAACACAUGGCCGUAACCAAGCGACUAUGUUUGCAUGAUUAAGGGAAGGAAGAUUCGAGUUGGACACGUCUUCUAUUUUACAUAAAUCACCAAUUUAAGAGUGAAAGAUUGGAGCUUGGGAGCGACUAUUUCAAGACUGGUGAACUGAAAUGAAUCAAUCUCAAAGUUAAGCAGUUUGGGUCCAAUUAAUUUCAGAACACUAGUACUCGUGCCCAUAUGAGGACUACAAUUGAUCAGCUUCAGGCUCUCUAAUCUGGGCAAAUGGCCAAAGGCAUCAUCACCCAAAUUAAGGCUGCAUUAAGUCAGAGUAAGAGAUUCAAGGAUUUGCAAACAAGACCACAAUUCACCAUAAGCCUCUUUCAAAAUAGUCGAGUCCAACUCCCGAACUUUCAGGAACCGAUGACAGGUGUAUAAUGAUCCAAAAAGAUCCUGAAAUUUGCCAUAGGUAAUACGAAUGAAUAGCUCUUGAACGCCAUGGGAAGCAGCGUAUUUAGCGAUCCUAUCCAACAUGUCUAUCCUUUGAUCUCGGGGUGUUACCGAGAAGUCGACUGCAACCCCGAUGAUGCUACUACUAUCGGAGCGGAGGGAUAGAACUCGGUCCGUGUGCUGCUCAAAACUCCGGUCAGAACGGAAGGAGUAGGAUUUGAAAAUGAGAACAUUAACAUAUUUCCAUACGGAUGUCCACCUCCUAGACAAAAUACAGGUUUGAACCAAAGAUUUGGUGUGAGGAAGCCUAGAAUGUGAUGCAAAAUAUCGUUAGGAAAAUCACUCAGUCUAUCAAUUGAUUCAAUUCUUCUGUCCUGAAUCAUCAUCGUCGACAUCUUUCUUCUUUUAUGCAGCAAAUGUAGAUAAUGAAUCAAAAGCCUUUUCCUUGCAGCGUUCGGAUCCGCCUCAGAGAAACCGCUGGUGACGUUGUUGUGAUGCAAAAUAUCGUUAAGAAGAGCAGUCAGUCUGCCCGUUCCUUCCAUUAUCUUGCUUCUUCUCAGGUCCAUGGAUGCGGCAAAAAGAGUUGAAAACCCAAAAUUAAAAGCAAAGAUUAGAUCCCUUUAGUUAGUAAUCAAUUUGUGAUAAUGAUUCGAUUUACCUUGCAGUGGAAUCAAAAGCUUUUCACUACAAAGUUGCGAUCCUCAGAGAAACCACUGCUGGUGUUGUUUGGUCGGUAGCCGAAGUAAGAUUUUGCAAAAAACAGACCAAAUUUGUACAUGACUUCCAAACUCAAUCAUCGUCCAAGUUUUGCCGUCUUUUCCCACCUUCGACGGCAGCAGCCUUAGUACAAAUCCGAACCUUCUUUGUCUUGAUUUUGCUCCCUGGCUCGGUUAUUGCUGGGAAUUUCGAAUCUGGGUCUGAUUGAGAAUACAAAACAGGAACCUAUAAUUACCAACUCAAGAUAGAUUUUCAUUUUCAGAUUAGUGGAGUCUGGCAAAUGACUAAUAAAUUGCCGCUAGCAACUUAUUUAAGGAUAUAUCUCAUCUUCACCAAUCUUCAUACAAUCAUCAAAUUGAUACAUACAUUAGAAAUAAUUAUAUCAACUAAACAAAAAAAAAUGAUAUUAAGCACGUUAUAGUAAAUCCGCCAUGGCCAUACAAUUAAUCCCAUCGAUCAUAUAUUUAGUUACACCAUAUUUGUGCACUGGUAAACGAAACAUGUCUUUUACAAUAGUUGGAUUUCAAAAUGGUUUUGGUGAAACUGACAUAUUUAUUUCAACCAUGUGUCCAUGUCUAUGUAACCAGCAAUCAUGUUUGUUUGUACAUGUAGGUUUAUAAUAGUAUGGGGGAGUAUGAAAUAGAGAGCCAUGACUUGGAAAGACCAAAACUGGUCUGGGAAAAUCCAAGUCAGACCCACAUUAAUGAAAUUGUGCUGAAAUUCCGUGUCCACCAAUUCUGGUUACCAAUUUGAAAUUACGUGGAAUCACCUUUUCUCCGCUUCCUAAAUAUAAUUGAUAGUAAAUAAUCUUGUCAGCCAUCCUAUCCAUAUGAGGAAAAGAGCAUGCCCGAACCUGAAAGCUCUGUGGUAUCGAACCCACAAAAUCCGCUUAGCAAUGUAUCAUUGCAACGUAGCAGGUAUGAUUUUAUCUUCAUCUCCUUGCCACAAAUGAACAGGAGCUUCAUUCUCUGGAGUUUGGAAAAGGGUUCUUCAGAUCCCAUUGAUCAAAUUCCCAGGUCCAACCGGCUCCUAUGUUCAAGUCGCGAUGGGUUGACUCGUAUUCUUCUCGUUGUCGCGUAUAAGAUCAUCCAUGAGUUAUGUUAAGAACAUUUUUAAAACCGGAUGAAUGAUGAGUGAUUGAAUGAUGUUGAACAAGCUAAGUGCUAGUUUGGACAAGUAAUUUAUUCGGCAUGUUGCGACAAGUCUAGAGAGAAUAUUUCCAUCCAUGAAGUAUGUCAAGAACGUUUUAAAACAUGAUGAAUGAUGAGUGAUUGAAUAAUGCGUUGGUGACAUAUAUUGAACAAGUACUAGUUUGGACAAAUAAUGCGAUGCGCUCUACAAUGCUUUUGAAUAUGAAAUAUCGGCAUAAUUUGUUGUAGGCAACGUGUUUUUACUAGUAUUCUAUUAUUGUAUGGUUAAUCUUUAGUUUUGUAGAGUUAAAUUUUUAAUUAUGUAGUUAUUCUUUUUUCUUUGCACAAGAGCAUGAAAAAUGAACAGCUUGUUCCAUUGUUUUAAGGAUAUUUCCUUCUUCAUCUAUGCUCUCAAUAUGCUUAAUUUAACUUGUUAUGUCUGAGCUGCCUCAUUUAUAAUCAACAACGCAACAACCUCAUAGAUGAAUUCUUGACUUGUACAACCAUUAACAUUUACUACUUUCGCUCCUCCGAGCAGACCAUAUACAUUUUGUACAUCUUCUUCGGUUAGCCUAAAACUCAUCCCCUCGCCAAUGACAAACGCUUUCGUUUCCAAGUCAUAUAUAUCAACAAUCCAUUUCAUGAAAUCAAUACCAAUUCUUUUGAUCUUCACUGUUGUAAUACCAUGAAAGCCGAAAUUCUCUAGGGCUUUAAGUUGCUGCUCGUUUGGGGUAUGAUCCAACAUAUUCACUAUUUUGUUUUGGCUGCACCACGUGGCUAGCUUAGUCAAUACUCGGUUAUACACAUAGGACUUACUGCUACAUGUUCCUAUCGAGUGGCUACAUGUAAGGGUGGAAAUGGUUCGAUUUUUGGUUACCCUAAUCAAUUUCCGUGGUUAACCAAAUAAAAAAAUGAAGAAAAUCCAAACCCAAAACCACACAUAUUUGGUUUGUGGUUAACCACUAAUCAUUUUUUGGUUUACGGAAUGGUUAGUGGUUAACCACAAAAUCAUUUUAUUUCAUUUUUUUGGCAAAAUUUGUAAUAAUUAUCAACAAUUUUGAGUCUUCGUCAAUAUAUCAAAUCAACAAAUAAUGUCAAACGAGUAAUGACGAGAAAUCCAUGAUUAAAUUCCCACUAUCAAACAACAAUAUACAAACAAUCAAACAAUGAAAAUAGCAAAACUACUUGCUCAAAAUCACCUAUGCCAACAAGAAACAAUAGUAUGAAAAUGAAAAUGAAAAUAAAUAACUAAUUUCAGUAGUUCACUAUUCACUUAUAGGGGAUUAAGUUUAGGGAUUUAGUCUACUUUUUAGAAAUUAUAUUUUUCAUUUUAUUAAAUUUAGUUAGUUCGGUUUUUAUUUGGUUAACUAUUCGGUUAGCUAUAUAACAACUAACCACAAAUUAGAUAAAGUUUUUAUCGCUAACCAAACCACAAACCACAAUUUGGUUAAUGGUUAACCACUAACCACAUAUUACGGUUCGGUCUGCAGUUAAAACCACUAAUUAAAAACCAAUUUCCACCCUUAACUGCACGAACAUGGUGUUCUAGCAGAACUUCAAAAAUCUUGAAAGAGUGUUACGUGCUGUAAGAUUGCGUAUUGCUAGGGGAUUCGAACUUUUCUUACGUCCCUGAGAGGAAGAGGAUGAAGUGCUGAAAUCCAUUGCAUUGGCUAAUUCGUGAUUGUAGUAGACCGAUUUGAGAAUUCUACGUAUGAGUUUCCUUUCUCUAUUUUUAUUCACAUAGUUAGAUAAAUAUUGAUAUAAAGAUAUAAUAUAGUUAGAUAAAUAAUGAUUUAGAUAAUUUACUUGUAGAACAGAAGGCAAAACGCAAUAAAACCCUACAAUAACAAAAAAAUAUAGUGUUACAGCUUAUAAACAGAGUACUGUACAAAAACAAACAAAAUAAAAAAAAAGAUGAAAUACUAAACAAAACUUUAGGCACAAACAUAACAAACAAAGUCCAAAUCUUUGAAACAAUAACUUCACACAAAACAUGCCAAUCUAUAAUGACAAACCAAAUCCAAACAACCACAAAAUGGAAACAAAAAAAUUACAAGAGAAAUCAAUUAUAUUCUUACCUGCUGUGACCGUGUCGUCGUCAUGCUUCACUUCUUCUUCAAGCUCAAAUUUCUAGUUUUUUUUUUCAUGACAAAGUUAAACUUUUCCGUAUUGAUCAGGUCAUUCUCAAAUUCUAACCAGUCUUUUCUCAAAUAAUCCAAUUUUUCUUCAUGAUUUAGAAAAUAAAAACCUUGUGAAAUUCUUUGCAAUAGUUCCUGAAAACAUCAAAAUGAUAAGUUAGACAACCCAAUAUCUUCCUUAUCAGAUCAUGCAAAAAAAUAUACGAAGCCUUAAAUUUACACUAUCUACCAACAUCACCCUAAAACAAUAUGGAGUAUAUAAAUGAUUGUUUACUCAAAACCAUUAAUCACGCAUCAUAUCAAUUAAUUGAAUGAAUAAAUUAGUACAACUCACUCGACAUAGUUCAUGAAAGAGUUGAAUGCCGGGUCCUCAGACAUCCCUUUUAUUUUAUGCUUCAUAAAUAUCUCAAGCAUGUCAUUGGAAUCGUUAGCUUUAGAUUCAGAAUAUUUUGAUGAGUGAGCUUUUAACGAUAACUCGCAUUUAUCAACUCCAACAAGCUUGAUGACAAAUUUGGAUUUGUCUUCAAGGUGAUUGUGGCAAUUGAGGACCACGAUGUUACAAUCAUAAAUGCUUAACACGGUGCAGCCCAAACAGAAUAGUGAAUCUGUUGGAUUCUCCCCCAAACGAGCAACAACUUAAAGUCCUAAAUUUUUUUGGCUUGGGUGGUAUUACAACAGUGAAGAUCAAAAGAAUUGAUACUGAUUUCAUUAUGGAUUGUGGAUAUAUAUAAAUUUUGAAAACCAAAGCGUUUGUCAUUGGAGAGGGUAUGAGUUUUAGGCCAACCGAAGAAGAUGUACAAAAUGUAUAUAGUCUGCUCGGAGGAGCGAAAGUAGUAAAUGUUAAUGGUUGUACAAGUCAAGAAUUCAUACAUAAGGUUGUUACGUUGUUGAUUUUAAAUGGGGCAGCUCAGACAGAACAAGUUAAAUUAAGCAUAUUGAGAACAUAGAUGAAAAAGGAGACGUCCUCAAAACAGUGGAACAAGUUGUUCAUUCUUCAUGCUCUCGUGCAAAGAGAAAAGAACAACUACAUAAUUAAAAAUUUAACUCUACAAAACUAAAGAUUAACCAUACAAUAAUAGAAUACUAGUAAAUACACACUGCCUACAACGAAUUAUGCCGAUAUUUCAUAUUCAAAAGCAUUGUAGAGCGCAUCGAAUUAUUUGUCCAAACUAGUACUUGUUCAAUAUAUAUCACCAAUGCAUUACUCAAUCACUCAUCAUUCAUCCUGUUUUAAAGACGUUCUUGACAUACCUCAUGGAUGGAAAUAUUCUCUCUAGACUUGUUUUUGCAACAUGCCGAAUAAAUUACUUGUCCAAACUAGCAUUUAGCUAGUUCAAUAUAUGUCACCAAACGCAUCAUUCAAUCACUCAUCAUUCAUCCAGUUUUAAAAAUAUUCUUGACAUAACUCAUGGAUGAAAAUGUUCUCUCUAAACUAUUAAUCUAACUCAUGAAUGAAAAUGUUCUCUCUAAACUAUUGAGCAUGCGAGCCGAAGCCCUUCUUACUUUCUCGUUCUUAAACAAAACAGUAUAACCAUAAAUGCAAUACAAAAUAUUACUAAUCUAAUGUGAGUCUCGUUUUCGUGGGAGUACACCGUUUUUUCUCGUGCUCGUGCCAAGAACAAUUCCUAGCGUUCUCUCCUACGAUGUUUUCCCUAAAAAAAGCAAAACCGAAAAAGAGACUACAUCGAUCUAUCAAUCAUCUAAACAUGUUCAUCUUAUUCGUUCACCAACUUUAGUUAAAAAAACUAGACAUAACAAGUAACAAAGUUAACCGAUCGAAACUAGAUCAAUCAAUUAUCUAAACAUGUUCACUUAUAUCUCCUAUAUAUCGCACAAAUGAAUGAGCGCUUACCAUAUUACUAAUGACGAUAAUCAGUGUGUUUAACUUCAAUUGUAUUUCUCGUGUAUGCAAAUGCAAGAAUGCGAUCACCUACAAACCUUUUCCAUUGGAAUGACUAGCAAUAACAAUUUUUUGGAUAUGUUAAAAAGUAAAAUUCAUUUUUGCAUAAAUCAACUGUUUUGAAAAUACAAAUUACCACAAUAUUCAUCAAAUAAAAUAAAACUUUGUCAAACUUAAUUUGGCUAUAAUCUAGCCCAAUAAGCACCCCACUCUUCAAAAAAAAAAUACAUACUUUUCAUGAUAUUAAUCAUUUAUUUCAAAAUAAACAUAGUUCAUUACAAAUUUUAGAUGAUUAUCAUGUAUAAUUCUAAUAAGGCGCCUUCUUUAGAAGGAUGAAUGCAAGACUUCGCUAAUGAUGACGAGCGAACUUGUGGGCUAUCCGUUUCUAUUUUUCCAAAUUUGAAAUAUAGUGCAAGAAGGCAUAUUACGAAGUAUUCUUCGACAGUCGGCUACCGUGGCACCAAAUCCAGAGACAUCUUGAUGAUCGACUAUCAGAGCAUUGGCCAUAAUUAAUCUGGCUAAUCCUUCUCAUACAAAUGUAAUUACUAAUUUACUCAAAUUUUCCAAUGGUGGUAUCACAAAACUAUAGUGGUUGGCAGUGAUGCUGAUGUUUUACGGAUGGGUUGCGACUUUUCUCCACCGACCAAUCCAUUUUAUAGGUCAAUUGCUUCAUUUUCCAAUCACCUUCUUCCUUGUAACAUCAAUAUAUAGUGGAUAAGAACUAGGGGUUGGGAUCGGACCGGGUCAGGCAAAGCACGAAACACUAAUUCUACAAAUUCGAGCCUUCGGAUCUGAUCCACUUUAAAGUCAAAAGACUUUCGAGACCACAUGUCUAAUUAAUUUGAAGGUAUGCAAUCGACAAUCCAAAGGUGAAAAAAAUCGAAUUAUUGAAAAACAAUAGUAUUUUACCCUGGUGACCAAUAUUUCAUGACUACAAAUUGUACAGGUUGGGAUGGCUCACGGAAGGAAUAAUUAAACUACCUUAAGGAUAAAGCAAACUUUACCUGCUCCAUUGAAGUAGUCUUGCAGUCUACGUUACCAUGUAUGUCUUUGUACAAAAUUCCCUACUUAAAUUCAUUUUACUAUGACAAGAUUAACAAGUGAUGCGAAAUUUCCCUAAUUAAUUUCUGAUAGUUUACUCUAUACUCAGUCAAUUAAUUAGGGGAAUUGUACUCAUUUUUUGUUUGGUAAAUAAAGAAAUCACUCGAUUAAGUUGAAUAGUACACAUGGACGGGUGUGGGGUGACUGCCCUAGUUUGCUGUCUCAAAUAUCAGUUUGUAUACAAGUUGUCCAUGAUACUAAUCGAGCUAUUUAUAUAGGUUCGAGUCAAAAAGAUUUUAAAGGGUCGUUUGGUAUAGGAUAUCUUAAAUAUUAUAAUAUCAGGUUGUUAGAUAUUAAGUGAAAAAAUUGAUAAAAUUCAUAAUGUUAAUUUGGUGGAGGAUUUGUAUGUAUGAACCGUAAUUACAAAAGUUUACCCACCUCUUCCUUCAUUUGUCGGUGUUUGAGUAGAUCGUUCAUGUAAUUAAAGUCACGUAUGCCAAAAUAAAUCAGAAAAAGUGUGAUUUAACUAAUUUAUUAUUACUCUAGUUGAUUAACAAGAUUGAGUCAAAAGGCAGAGUUUGUUAAGCCGAGUUUUGAGAUUGUAGGCGCAACGUCACUCUCCCCACAAGCCCUACUGAGUACUGACUCUGAAGUAUAUGCACGUUUCAACUAUAACAAGUUGUUAUAUAAUUAAAUGUAUAUGGGGAGUUAUUACGACAUCGAUAUCAUAUAACCCCACAUCACCAACACAUUCACUAAUGGUAUCACAAAUUUGAUGUGUGCCCUUGUUAGAGAAAAACACAAAGGCUGGUUGUGGGUUAGUGAGGUCCGGUUUGACCUGGGUGGUCAGAUCCAAAGUGUCCGGUUCAGAGGUAUAAGGACAAUCAUAACGCUUCAACCAUAGGUGGUCAAGUUUUCACUCAAACGGGUCAUUGUUGAUGACAUGUAUAUAUAGUGAUCAAAACGGGAUUUCAUAAAAGACAAGGUAAUCACCGUCUUGAUCAUUAAACUUUCUAUAUAUUCAUACGCGAUAUUUCUCAAUCUUCCACCGUACUCAUCCAACCAACCAACUCUUCAUAUUGAACCACUUUAUUGGUCCGGUACAAGUCUAACUAGGCAGAAGAGCAAAUAAAUCAAUGGUUGUGAAAUCAUGCCAAAUCGAUUGUUUUUGGUGGCUGAGCGAAGAUUCGAUACUAAAAGAGAAAUUUUGAUAACUAAUCGAAACUCUCCUUAGCUUCCUCAUAAAUUCGUCCGGAAUAUUUUAACCAACUAGUACUAAUUAGUUAUCUGUCUUGAUACUUAAGGAUCGUAAAAUCGAGUUAGUAACCCGUCCCAAUCUAAAUAUCGAUCUUUGGGGUUGUUUAUUAUGAUCACUAAGCUAAACUACACUGAGUUUAAAUAUAUCACAACUAUUAUUCCUAUAUAUUCCUGAAAAAAACCCACAAAUGAAGUGACUCCAAUCCAUCCAUCCUCACAAAGAUGUUCGGCAGCGGACGUCGCCGGAGCAGUACCACCACCACCACCAGCAGUACUACUAACUCCGAUGAAAUUGAUAACCAUCACCAUCCAUUAAUCCUAACCGGCCCUAACCUCCAAACCGACGACGUUGACAAAUUCUACAGCCACCUCCUCUCCAGGGACUACAACGACGACGACGAAGAAAACAACCGUCACUCCUCCCCCCCGCCCCUCCUCCUCCGGCAUCGCCGUCGCUGUCCCGUUCACCUGGGAAUCCGAGCCCGGCACUCCCAAACACUCCUUCUACUCUGACCCCAUCCUCCCUCCUCUGACCCCUCCUCCGUCGUACUUCUCCACCACCGCACGCGUCAACGUCCGACACAAGGACUUCUCCUCCUCCUUCUCCUCCGCCGCCACCAGACGCCACCUUCCGCCACGUGAUCAGCUGGUGACCACCGACGUCAAACACAAUAACAACCGUCACUUCCUCCGCUCGUUGGUGAGCUUCCUCAAGAAACGCAACCCCUCCUCCUCCUCCUCUUCCGCCACGUCCGCCGCGACACACGACUAUGAGCGUCAAGCGGCGGGCGCGGGCUGUCGCAUCGCCGGCUUCCACGCUUUGCUUUGGAAGGAGCGGGCGCCGGCGCCGGCGCCCUGUAAUUAAAUUGGGUUAAUUUUUACAAUUAGUUUACUCCCGCCACGGUGUAGAUAAAGCUGUAAAAUUUUAAGUUGACGUGAUGAAAAGUUUACUGAGAUGUUUGUUGGCGGUCAUGACUCAUUUCCAACCUCCAGGUAACUGCUACUUAAAUUAAUCAUUUCCUUUUGUUAUUUUUAAUUAUCAAAAGAAAACUGUUUCAUUUAAUUUUCCCUUUUUAUAUGUGUUAAUGUUCCUCAUAUCGAAUAUUCAAUAUUCAAAUGUCAGUUAAGUACAUAUUAGUUCGGACUUAGACGGUUAUUAUUUUUAUUUUUUUUUUAAAUUUUUUUUGAUAGACGGUUAUGAUUUCAAUUUUUUUAAUAAAUUUAUGUCGAGAAUGAAUAAUCCCUUUUAAUUUAACGAUUUAACAUACCGUGUUUCAAAACAUACAAAGGAUGUGUCAAUGUAUAAUAGAUCAUCUAACAUUAAAGUUAUGUAAUUAUCAUGAUUGACAUAGGUAAAUUUGGAUUGAGGAUAACGAAUUUUAGUAAGAUGAGUUGUAUCUUGUUAUCAUUUUGUAUUGUACUUUUUAUGUUGAUGUGUAACUAUUUUUAUGUUGACGAGUCACCAGAAAAUAAAAAAUUAUAUUGAUGUUUAUUUUGUGAAAUGUGCUAAAUUUGAAGUUUCAGAUUAAUAGACACAGUUCUUCCACAUAAUAUUGGCCUAAUGUGAUGUAAUAUUAUUAGGAAAUAAGGGUGGGUACAACGCCGCUACCAUAUAAAAAACCGCUCCACAACAAUAUGAAAAAAACCGCACUGUAACCUACCUGAAAAAGAACAUCAUUUGCUAGGUUUCAUAGAAAGUGGAACGUCAAAAGGCCCAUGAGUUUGUUGACAAACAGGCCCAAUCAAUCAGCUUCAACAGAACAAAACAGAAAGCAUACAAUUCUCUCCAUAGAAUCAAAGUAUCAAGAAUUUGAUUGGCAUAUCUCAACCCUAACGGUAUAAACAAUGCACUGUGAUUAUGUUCGGAAGAAAACUUCAACUCUCCCCUUAUGGUCUUAUCAAACUAAAUUCACCAAGGAAGUAAUAUAGUGCAAUCAUUCUUUCAACCCGGCCACAUAGGAUGACUCAUAUUUUAUGUACCGUUACGAAAAACAGUACAAAAACAUAUACCGUUUAAUUUAAUUUUUAAUAAUUAAAUAAUAAACAAAAUGAUUAUUCUUGUUACGGAUCUUACAAUUUGACUGAAAUAACUGAUAGGUUUGAGCAAUAGUACAAACAUGAUGGUCUUUCCGAUCAUCCAUUCAUCCCUAGUAAAAAAAAUUAAAUUACACAAGUAAAAUCGAGAUAAAGAUACACUCAUCUAAACACUAACUAGAAAGUAUAAACCUCACAUCCCUUAAAAAUGCAUUGGAAUGUUUUUCUAUAAACCUUGUAAAACACAUUUAUUUCAUAAUACAUUUAUCGUAAAAUAUAUACUUACUUGAAUAAUACGAUUCUUGUAGUUAAUUUAGAAAUCACAAAUAAUUACAAUCAAACCCAAUUAUAUGACUCACUUUGAUAAAAAAUCGGUCAAUUUAAAACCAACUUCGAUCGGCCAACAGUUAAGGAACUCGCUUCAUAUUUGACCAAGACUGCUCGACUUUGCUAAGACAUUGGUCUACUGACCGAAAUCAAAUCAGUUUUCAACCGGUCCGACCGACUCCACUCUUGGUUAAUGGGUUAUUCCAUAAAAUCGUAAAAAUCCCAUUUUUCCUAAGGAAAAAAAAAAGAAGGAAAUUUCUUCUUCAUUCGCGUUGUUUUGCUGUGCCGGCACUGUUCUUUGCGCCACCACCACCACCAUCAUCUGCUACUCAGCUCCUGCCAUCUUCCUCCGAAAUUUCCAUACUACAAUCUAGGGUUUGAUUUUGGAAUCUCUCCCCUUUCGUCUACCGAGCUGGAUUCUCCCUGUUCAAUCUUCCGAAUCUCCAUGCGCCGCUGGUUCAGCGGGUUCGUCGAUUAGACUCCGCUACAUACCUGCAUCUCCUGCUCUCUCUUCUCCGUAGACGGCUACGUUUUGGUCAUUUCUUUGUGCCUUGUCGAUUAGGGCAACUCUGAUUUCGUUCUGGAUGGCAAUGGACGAUUUAACGGCGACGCGAUUCACGCAGUCUUCCACUUCGGCGGUGGUCUCCGAUCACUACGACGACGAUGGCGGCGUCGGGGAUUCAAGAAGGGACUCCGAGGCGGAUGCUAGUACAAGCUACGGGAAUGCGGCUACUAGCAUGGCGUAUUUGCCUCAGACUAUAGUGUUGUGCGAGCAUCGGCACGAGGCGCUUGAGGUUUCUGUGCCUAUAGGUCCUUCUGACAGUGGGGUUGUGUCCAAAUGGCGUCCCAAGGAUCGAGUAAGCUAGCCUCCCCAAUUGUACUACCUUCGUUCUGUUUAUUUCUUUCUACUGGGGAUUAGGUUAUGGUUCUAUAGCGAGGUAGUUUGAACUGUCACCAUUGACCGUAGGAAGCAUAGAACUAUCUUGGAGCCUCGUUGAAUUAAUCAAGUCUAAGGGAAACCAUCUUAGUGAUGUUUGCUGGAUGCGAAUGUGUCAAAUAUUGGACCAUGAUAAGGAAGCCCGUGAAUGUGAAUAUCACUGGACAUUGUAUGUUUAAUGGUCACGCAGCUUGUGGGUGGACUGCAAGUUCACUAGCUUGAAUGUAGCUUCUAGUCUACUAGAAUGUGACACUGGAAGCGCUCAUGUUUCAUCUCAUCAGUCAUUGUUUGUUGGAAGAAAAGAAAUCAGUAAGAUUAGGAUGAAAUAUGAAAAUUCGGUUAGUGGUAUUUGUAGACUGGUUAUUCUUAAUGUUGAUGAAGCAGUUGACUACUUUUUUUCUUACACGUUAUUUAUUCAUAGCACCCUAGGUGUGCCUAAAAAAAUCACACCUCUGGUAUGCGUGGGGCACUUCUGGAUGUUUCUUGCUGUGGCACCAUUUCAGUAAUGUUUUGCCUACUGCCCUGAGUGAAUCUUGCUGUAGGACGAAGCCAAAUAUUCACAUGUAAUUUUGACUUCUGAAUGAAGAUGUAUUACCAUUUACCACCAAGUGAGUUCCAAUAUUAUGUUGGAAUAUAAGGGAACGCUUUGAUUUCUCUAAGCAAGUUCUCUCCCUUUCUAUUUCUCGCAUGAGAUAGUAGUCAGGAGAACUUGUGAAGUUCAGUGUGCGAAUAGCUUAUCGUAAGCCUACCUUACAUUUGCACAUUGCUGAAACUUUCUUUUCAAUUGUGCUCCAUAAUUUUAUAUUUUCUAUUAGUGAUGCUCACCGACUUACAUGUCUGUGUCUGUUUUGGUUGAACUCUCACUUUUUUGUGCAGAUGAAGACCGGAUAUGUAGCUCUAGUUUUAUGUUUAAACAUUAGUGUUGAUCCACCUGAUGUAAUAAAGAUUUCACCUUGUGCGAGAAUGGAGUGCUGGAUAGGUGCAUUUUUGCUACUAAUUCUUCCUAAUACUACUACUAAUUCUUUCCUAAUACUUAUAAAUGUACCUAGCUGGCUUUUGUCUAUCAUUGGAUUCAGUUUGUCGUCUUUAUCUUAUUUCCUACUGUUUAAAUUGGCACUUCCAUUUUUUCCUCAUGCCUGUAGCAGCUUAGUUGUAGUGUUUAACUUCACCUUGCUUUUCCAAACUUAUGUUCUUCGCAUACUGUAAAUGAUAAAAGUAUAGGAAAUAAUGGACCUUCUUUUACUUCCCAACUCCACAGCAAACACAUUUUAAUAAUUUACUCAAGACUCUGGAGCAAUCUGUUUUUGUUUAUGUUUGAAGAAAAAAGCUUUUCUCAGAGUGUGAAGCGACGAGUGCUAUUUCGUAUCUAAAUGGUUUCUUUGCUUGUAGAUCCAUUUUCUAUGCAACCUACAAAAGCUCUUGAAACAAUUGGGAAAACCUUGAGUCUUCAAUAUGAAAGAUGGCAACCAAGGGUAAGAAAUUUCAUGUCUUCUGCUUUUGGUUUGAACAGUUUAUAUAUUAGUUCUAUUAUCCUCAUUCUACUUCAUUGGCUCUUCCAGGCUAGGUAUAAGGUACAACUUGAUCCUUCUGUGGAAGACGUGAAAAAACUUUGUAAUACAUGUCGCAGAAAUGCUAAAUCCGAGAGAGUUUUAUUUCAUUAUAAUGGUCAUGGUGUCCCAAAGCCAACUGCUAGUGCUGAAAUAUGGGUAUACAAUAAGGUAAUAGAUGGUAUUUAGUUUCGUAUUUCCUUUAUGAUUCAAGUUAUAUCACAUUCUAACUACAAGGACUGGGCAGAGCUAUACGCAGUACAUACCACUGCCUAUCAGUGAUCUUGAUUCGUGGUUGAAAACACCUUCUAUCUAUGUCUUCGACUGUUCUGCUGCUGGGAUGAUUGUGAAUGCCUUUGUUGAGGUAUUGUUUUUUUUCUAAACCUAGUAUUUCNNNNNNNNNNNNNNNNNNNNNNNNNNNNNNNNNNNNNNNNNNNNNNNNNNNNNNNNNNNNNNNNNNNNNNNNNNNNNNNNNNNNNNNNNNNNNNNNNNNNNNNNNNNNNNNNNNNNNNNNNNNNNNNNNNNNNNNNNNNNNNNNNNNNNNNNNNNNNNNNNNNNNNNNNNNNNNNNNNNNNNNNNNNNNNNNNNNNNNNNNNNNNNNNNNNNNNNNNNNNNNNNNNNNNNNNNNNNNNNNNNNNNNNNNNNNNNNNNNNNNNNNNNNNNNNNNNNNNNNNNNNNNNNNNNNNNNNNNNNNNNNNNNNNNNNNNNNNNNNNNNNNNNNNNNNNNNNNNNNNNNNNNNNNNNNNNNNNNNNNNNNNNNNNNNNNNNNNNNNNNNNNNNNNNNNNNNNNNNNNNNNNNNNNNNNNNNNNNNNNNNNNNNNNNNNNNNNNNNNNNNNNNNNNNNNNNNNNNNNNNNNNNNNNNNNNNNNNNNNNNNNNNNNNNNNNNNNNNNNNNNNNNNNNNNNNNNNNNNNNNNNNNNNNNNNNNNNNNNNNNNNNNNNNNNNNNNNNNNNNNNNNNNNNNNNNNNNNNNNNNNNNNNNNNNNNNNNNNNNNNNNNNNNNNNNNNNNNNNNNNNNNNNNNNNNNNNNNNNNNNNNNNNNNNNNNNNNNNNNNNNNNNNNNNNNNNNNNNNNNNNNNNNNNNNNNNNNNNNNNNNNNNNNNNNNNNNNNNNNNNNNNNNNNNNNNNNNNNNNNNNNNNNNNNNNNNNNNNNNNNNNNNNNNNNNNNNNNNNNNNNNNNNNNNNNNNNNNNNNNNNNNNNNNNNNNNNNNNNNNNNNNNNNNNNNNNNNNNNNNNNNNNNNNNNNNNNNNNNNNNNNNNNNNNNNNNNNNNNNNNNNNNNNNNNNNNNNNNNNNNNNNNNNNNNNNNNNNNNNNNNNNNNNNNNNNNNNNNNNNNNNNNNNNNNNNNNNNNNNNNNNNNNNNNNNNNNNNNNNNNNNNNNNNNNNNNNNNNNNNNNNNNNNNNNNNNNNNNNNNNNNNNNNNNNNNNNNNNNNNNNNNNNNNNNNNNNNNNNNNNNNNNNNNNNNNNNNNNNNNNNNNNNNNNNNNNNNNNNNNNNNNNNNNNNNNNNNNNNNNNNNNNNNNNNNNNNNNNNNNNNNNNNNNNNNNNNNNNNNNNNNNNNNNNNNNNNNNNNNNNNNNNNNNNNNNNNNNNNNNNNNNNNNNNNNNNNNNNNNNNNNNNNNNNNNNNNNNNNNNNNNNNNNNNNNNNNNNNNNNNNNNNNNNNNNNNNNNNNNNNNNNNNNNNNNNNNNNNNNNNNNNNNNNNNNNNNNNNNNNNNNNNNNNNNNNNNNNNNNNNNNNNNNNNNNNNNNNNNNNNNNNNNNNNNNNNNNNNNNNNNNNNNNNNNNNNNNNNNNNNNNNNNNNNNNNNNNNNNNNNNNNNNNNNNNNNNNNNNNNNNNNNNNNNNNNNNNNNNNNNNNNNNNNNNNNNNNNNNNNNNNNNNNNNNNNNNNNNNNNNNNNNNNNNNNNNNNNNNNNNNNNNNNNNNNNNNNNNNNNNNNNNNNNNNNNNNNNNNNNNNNNNNNNNNNNNNNNNNNNNNNNNNNNNNNNNNNNNNNNNNNNNNNNNNNNNNNNNNNNNNNNNNNNNNNNNNNNNNNNNNNNNNNNNNNNNNNNNNNNNNNNNNNNNNNNNNNNNNNNNNNNNNNNNNNNNNNNNNNNNNNNNNNNUUUGCCAAAGUUCUGUCUGUUAAUGGAUUUACUGUAAUAUGCUUUAAGUCAAAAGCUCUUGUCACUAACUGUUUACCUCUGAACCUCUACAGGUUCUACUUAGUCAAUGCCAUCGGUUUAAAGCUCUUGUUCUUCUUUUUUUUUUUCUUGAUAUGGGCCCCUGGGCAGUUGAUCUGGUACUUGUCGUUGAUUUUCUUAUUUGUGCAUGGAACCCAUUUCUGCCUUCCUAAAAUUUGGUCAUAACUAACAUUUUCUAACACGGUACUGGUUUGUUUUUGUCAGGCAUUGUCUGUGGGAAUAUUUCCGUAUGUGCUGAAGUUGUUGCAAACAACAACACCAGAGCUAAGGCACAUCCUUGUGUUCAUAUGGACAAAGAUUCUUGCUCUUGAUAAGGUACAUCUUGCUUGGCAUUUGGGUUACUUUAUGUUGCUGGACAUGUGAUUAUUGGAAGAUGUGUAUCNNNNNNNNNNNNNNNNNNNNNNNNNNNNNNNNNNNNNNNNNNNNNNNNNNNNNNNNNNNNNNNNNNNNNNNNNNNNNNNNNNNNNNNNNNNNNNNNNNNNNNNNNNNNNNNNNNNNNNNNNNNNNNNNNNNNNNNNNNNNNNNNNNNNNNNNNNNNNNNNNNNNNNNNNNNNNNNNNNNNNNNNNNNNNNNNNNNNNNNNNNNNNNNNNNNNNNNNNNNNNNNNNNNNNNNNNNNNNNNNNNNNNNNNNNNNNNNNNNNNNNNNNNNNNNNNNNNNNNNNNNNNNNNNNNNNNNNNNNNNNNNNNNNNNNNNNNNNNNNNNNNNNNNNNNNNNNNNNNNNNNNNNNNNNNNNNNNNNNNNNNNNNNNNNNNNNNNNNNNNNNNNNNNNNNNNNNNNNNNNNNNNNNNNNNNNNNNNNNNNNNNNNNNNNNNNNNNNNNNNNNNNNNNNNNNNNNNNNNNNNNNNNNNNNNNNNNNNNNNNNNNNNNNNNNNNNNNNNNNNNNNNNNNNNNNNNNNNNNNNNNNNNNNNNNNNNNNNNNNNNNNNNNNNNNNNNNNNNNNNNNNNNNNNNNNNNNNNNNNNNNNNNNNNNNNNNNNNNNNNNNNNNNNNNNNNNNNNNNNNNNNNNNNNNNNNNNNNNNNNNNNNNNNNNNNNNNNNNNNNNNNNNNNNNNNNNNNNNNNNNNNNNNNNNNNNNNNNNNNNNNNNNNNNNNNNNNNNNNNNNNNNNNNNNNNNNNNNNNNNNNNNNNNNNNNNNNNNNNNNNNNNNNNNNNNNNNNNNNNNNNNNNNNNNNNNNNNNNNNNNNNNNNNNNNNNNNNNNNNNNNNNNNNNNNNNNNNNNNNNNNNNNNNNNNNNNNNNNNNNNNNNNNNNNNNNNNNNNNNNNNNNNNNNNNNNNNNNNNNNNNNNNNNNNNNNNNNNNNNNNNNNNNNNNNNNNNNNNNNNNNNNNNNNNNNNNNNNNNNNNNNNNNNNNNNNNNNNNNNNNNNNNNNNNNNNNNNNNNNNNNNNNNNNNNNNNNNNNNNNNNNNNNNNNNNNNNNNNNNNNNNNNNNNNNNNNNNNNNNNNNNNNNNNNNNNNNNNNNNNNNNNNNNNNNNNNNNNNNNNNNNNNNNNNNNNNNNNNNNNNNNNNNNNNNNNNNNNNNNNNNNNNNNNNNNNNNNNNNNNNNNNNNNNNNNNNNNNNNNNNNNNNNNNNNNNNNNNNNNNNNNNNNNNNNNNNNNNNNNNNNNNNNNNNNNNNNNNNNNNNNNNNNNNNNNNNNNNNNNNNNNNNNNNNNNNNNNNNNNNNNNNNNNNNNNNNNNNNNNNNNNNNNNNNNNNNNNNNNNNNNNNNNNNNNNNNNNNNNNNNNNNNNNNNNNNNNNNNNNNNNNNNNNNNNNNNNNNNNNNNNNNNNNNNNNNNNNNNNNNNNNNNNNNNNNNNNNNNNNNNNNNNNNNNNNNNNNNNNNNNNNNNNNNNNNNNNNNNNNNNNNNNNNNNNNNNNNNNNNNNNNNNNNNNNNNNNNNNNNNNNNNNNNNNNNNNNNNNNNNNNNNNNNNNNNNNNNNNNNNNNNNNNNNNNNNNNNNNNNNNNNNNNNNNNNNNNNNNNNNNNNNNNNNNNNNNNNNNNNNNNNNNNNNNNNNNNNNNNNNNNNNNNNNNNNNNNNNNNNNNNNNNNNNNNNNNNNNNNNNNNNNNNNNNNNNNNNNNNNNNNNNNNNNNCCCUUCUGGAUUGGCUGCCCCCCCUGGGGAUUCAAGUGGGGCUUCUGGUUUCUCAGAACAGAGUCUUCUCCCUCAAUCAACAAUCUACAACUGGAGUGCUGGUCAUUUUUCCAAGUCGCUUCUUACUGCCACUGAUGAUACCGAAGAGAUAGUUAUUAGACGAGAAGAGAGGGAGAAGUUUGGCUUGGAACACAUUGCAAAAUGCCAGCACACUUGUGGGUUUUUUUGCACUUUUUAAGAUGUCUAUUAUUUGACAAUGUUCAUGUUUGCUUGCGGUAAUAAAAAAUUAUUCUUAUUACAGCUGUUGGCAAGCUUAAUAACCAAAUUGCUGGAUGGGAUACAAAGUUUGAAGGUGGCACGAGGGCGACUUUGCUGCAUCCUUUUUCUCCUAUUGUAGUUGCUGCAGAUAAUAAUGAACGAAUCAGGUAUAACACUUUAUCCUCUUCUUUGGUGGGGAAAACCGAUUUGUUAAGUCCCGGUUCAGAUGCAUUAUUUUCAUGUAAUAGUUCUAUACGUCCAUUCUUUGUACACUAUUUGGGUACCUUUUUUAUGCUUAUGGCUUCCUUACGUUGACUCUUAGCUACUUGAUCUUUUCAGGGUGUGGAACUAUGAAGAAGCUACGCUUCUCAAUGGGUUUAAUAAUCAUGAUUUUCCUGACAAAGGAAUUUCUAAGCUGUGCCUUGUGAAUGAGCUUGAUGACAGCUUGCUUCUUGUUGCUUCCUGUAUGUAACUAUGCUUUUUAUCGUUAUUUUGCCAUGUUGGUUUGAUCUUAACUUAUUCAAAUUUGUAUUUUCAGGCGAUGGUAACAUUCGGAUUUGGAAAGAUUACUGUGUAAAAGGGAAGCAAAAAAUUGUUACUGCAUUCUCUUCUAUCCAAGGCCAUAAACCGGCCGCACGUAGUUUGAAUGCUAUUGUUGAUUGGCAGCAACAGUCUGGCCAUCUAGUACUACUUCGAAACUCUCUGAUGAUAUGAUUAUGGUUUGCGUACUAUUUUAGACAGUGCUUUACAUGAUUUCAUUUGCUACUGCAUGAACAGUAUGCUUCCGGUGAGGAAUCCACUGUAAUGCUUUGGGAUUUGGAGAAAGAACAGCUUGUCAAUUCCAUUCCAACAUCAUCGGAUUGUAGAGUUUCAUCACUGGUUAGUUAUCUUCUGAGGUCACUGGAGUCAUGCUCAACUUUCAUAGUUUCCCUGUUUCUUGAACAACUAUUUUGAUUGAUGAAUUUUAAUGUUGUCUUGAAUAUGUUGGAUAAUCAUUACAGAGGGUACUUAUCUCCAGGAAUUAGAGAAAUACCUUCCUAGUGUGUAAAGCUCCAUCUUGUCCUUUUUGUUGUUUUACUAGACAUAUCUCUUCAAACUGAUUGUCCAGCAAGAUGUUUUCUACACAGAAUCAGAAGAUGUUAUCUUGCUCAUGUUUUGAUGUGUAGAAAACUUCUUGCUCGACAAUCGGUUUGAAGAGAACAUAAUUUGUGAAACAACAAGGAGAAAUAUUCUUUCCUUUCCAGACUGUUUAGAAGAGAAAUAUCUAAGAAAUAUCCGACCAAUGAAUUAUUGCUCAGGAGUUUUCUGCAAUUUGUUAUAUAGUACAACACAAAGCCAAUGCAAAACAUGUUAAUAGCGUUUGAUGUUCUUGUUCUUUAUUACUGAAUCUAAGUUCAUUUCGGCCACUCUAUGCAGUCUGCUUCUCAAGUUCAUGGAGGUCAGUUUGCAGCGGGCUUUGUGGAUGGUUCAGUAAGAUUAUAUGAUGUGAGGACACCUGAAACGUAAGUUCUUUGAGAGCGAGUUAGCAAUUUCGUGAUAUAAUAUGACAGCCAUGGCUUUUGUUUCAUUUUGUUUUAAACACCUAUUGAUUGGUUGGUAUUUCAGGCCUGUCUGUACAAUGCGACCACACACCCAAAAGGUCGAACGAGUCAUGGGUAUUGGGUUUCAACCAGGACUUGAUCCAGGAAAGGUAACGAAUUCGGCGAUUUCUCUUUACGCAAUCCUAUCUGUUGUAGUUCGUCUAAUUCUACUUCUCCUUGUGUAUGUAGAUCGUGAGUGCAUCUCAGGCCGGUGAUAUUCAAUUCUUGGACAUCAGAAAUCAAAGAGAUGCCUACCUAACAAUCAACGCCCACAGAGGCUCACUGGCUGCAUUAUCUGUUCAUAGGCACGCUCCCAUUAUCGCCAGUGGCUCGGCAAAACAGAUCAUUAAAGUAUUCAGUCUCGAGGGCGCACUUAUUGGGACCAUCCGGUAUUACUCUACCUUCAUGGCCCAGAAGAUUGGUCCUGUGGGUUGCCUUGAUUUCCAUCCUUACCAACCUUUGCUUGCAUCUGGUGCCGCUGAUGCUUACGUAUCUAUCUGGGCUGAUGAUAACACCCGAGCAAGGUGAAAUGUGCAGUUAUUUAACGUUCCAUCAACUGCAUGAAAUCCCGGCACUCGAAAUCCAACCACCAGAAGGGAAACUCGGCUCCGUAAUGCGAAAUCGAACAAAAAUGCCUUGUGCUGUUGAGCAAACGAGGCAAACCGAUUUCGUCAGCCUCAAUGUACAGUGAAAGCCUAGGUUUUGAGGAGAUGCGUUUUGUUACAUAUUCAUUUGACUAAAAAAUAAAUCAUUUGUUAGGGUAAAUGCUGUGUAUAUAAGCCUCUAAAUUUGGUCUCGCCGAGUUGUGUUCAUUUCGAAGGUGACGUUGCUGUUUGCAGUAGAUGUUGAUAGAGUUUGCUAAAUGCCGAAAGGCUGAUCAUUUGGUCCCUUGAAAAUCAGGGGAGUUUGGGGAAAAGACUUAUAAAUUUCAUUUCUAUGUUCUCAAAUGUUACCCUUGUUGUAAUUAAAUCUUAGAUUGGAAGAUCACCCUCCAAUCUGUGUCUAAUAGGACGUAUCUCGUCGAGGACAUAUUAUCUGUCCUGGUCUCAUGACGGUUCCAACUGCGUAAAAUAAGUUCUUGAGCACCAAACAAUGCUUAAUGACUUAUGUAGGGAGAAGGAUCACAUAGUCCAUUGAAUUGUUCACAUGAAUUUCAGUUGAUUGAUCGAGCCGGACUUGUAUAUAUUGCCACAUCCGUCUCACUAUUAUGUAUUUAUGUUGCGGUUUCUCGGGUUUUCACCAUACCUGGCUGUCAACAUUUGGUAAACUUCACCGUCGUAAUCAUUCUAUAUGUAUGCUUAUACUUGUGAAUACAUGUUAAAAGCUACACCAGAUCUUCUCCAUAUAUGAAUCGGAAUGUCAUAUUCAGUAAAGAGAGAUGAGCCAGAAAGGGACUGAAUAUUUGAUAGAAUACACAAGAACUGAAUAUAAUUACCAAAAGAAAACUGCAAAUCCGAGCUCUAUAUCUUCAAACAGCAAAAGCUUUCACUUCCUACCACCUACCAUACUUUGCCCAGAAGAACUCGACAUACUCGGAGCCGUACCGCCAUUCACCUUGAACUUUCCUUCUGCAUUUCCAAGAACGUUCAGGUCCUCGAACAGCCUGUACGAGGGCACAUACGGCUUCGAUGCAGCGGGUUGCGAAGAUGGAGCUCUUGCCCCGAAACCCACUAACGGGUCUCCAUUCAUAGCCGUUCCGUUGCUUCCGUUUGAAGACUUGCCAUAAUUCUGCUGCUGCAUGGGUGAAGCUGCUGCUGUUCUAUGUGGAAAUGACGUGGCAACGCUAGAAAACGUACUGUUAGCUGGAGAGUAACUUUGGCUGCUACUACCGUUGGCAUAACCUGGAGUCACUGCCCAUGGCGGUGGUGGAUAAGCUGAAGUGUAUUGAGGAUACUGAUACUGUUGCUGUGGUUGAAACUGCUGCUGUAAUUGUGGUUCAAACUGAGGCCGGAACUGCCGUUGGUGAUAGUGCAGAGGUUGUGGCUGAGGUUGUGGCUGAGGUUGUGGCUGAGGUUGAGGCUGGGCCCAUGGAACGACGUAGCUGUCGAAGGGUGCUGGUGCGGGACCUUGGCUUCCGGGAUAAGCUUGGGCGCCGGAGGAAACGGGUAUCUGAGGCAAACUUUGUUCCGCGGUUGAUGCUGCUGGAUGAUGAGGUGUAUUGGGUUGGGGAGAAGUCCAGUCGGUUGACAAGGUGAUACUUAAAAGGUCGAUGAUGUCCUGCUCUUGUGUGUUCUUAACUGGUUCGACGAUCGCUAGAGCAUUCGAUGUGGCGGAGAAUGAAGAUUCAGCAUCAGGGGAGGUUUGUCCGGUCUCGAUGGGUACAAGGGCUCCAGUGAAUUCACUGCUAUGUGUUGGACUAGGCUGGCUCUUGGUAUGCCUGUAUCCAGAAAAAGGAAACAAGAAUUAAACUGAACUGCUAAAUUUAGGUUCCACUUCAACGAAAUCAUUCAUUUAGCUCAUUACCUGCGAGCUAGUUUGACAAAGUCAUCCUCCUCUUCUUCAUCAUCUUCAUUAGCCUGAUUUGUUGACAGAGUAGUUCUUGUCGUGAUUGGUUCAGUGCCGGGGCUAGGAGGACUGUUCUUUACUUCAGGUGGUUUGGUGCGUGAAGAAGAUCCUUCUAGUUGCUUAGGACUUGAAUCCGAAACCGGAGAGGGGAUAGGCAAACCCGAAGCUAUAGCAUCGUGUUUUGCCAGAAAAAUUUGCAGGUUGUCGUUUAAUUCAAGGCCGCGAACAAGGACUUCCUCAUCCCUGCCAGAGCGAUGGAACCAAUUAGAAUAUACAGAACAUACACAUCUUAACGCUUCAUAUCCGAGAAAACGAAAAAUGAUGUUGAGGAAUCGAAAACCAACCCGGUGGUAGUGAGCAUCUGCACCAAUUUCUUCUGGUUGGAUCGACAAUGUUCAACAAGGUCAACUAUAACCUCCUCUUUUACAGCCUGGAAGAGCAGCAUCGCAUUUUAAAAGACAUAAAUGAUAUAUUUUGCCAAGAAGUAAUAAGUAUCGGGUAAGAUAUACCUCUCGAUCGCCGGGGCUAACAGCUUGCAACAUGUCACCCAAAAGCUCCAUUACGUUGCGCAUGGAUUCUAGGCUUGACAAACUAUAUAUAACAACAAACGGAAAUGAAGAGGAAUACCUAAAGAUAUGGGAAACGUGAAGCGACAAUUCUAGAGUGAACUCUCACCUUAACCCUUCAAUCUCGGUAGCCAUGGUUUCAUCAAGUCUUCUGGACGAACCUCCCGGCAUUCCAUAUCCAGGUUCAGCAGGUCUCAAUGUCGAAUGGGUUAGUGGUGGAGUAAAUAUUGGAGCAGCAUUCAAAGCACGCUGGGGAAACGGUACUCCAGAACGCUGUCAUGUCAUCCACACAAUUGAGUUUAUUGAGUUAUGCGUAUAUAUCCAGUUAUCACAGUUAGUUAUAUAGACCUAGUAGAUUGCGGAGCAAGCACUGAUACUAUGAGCACCCUAAGCACAUCAACAGUAUUACAGGCCAGUCGCAUUGGUAUCAAAUAGGACUAAGGAGAAGCAAUAGUGUACAAAAAUUAGCAGGAAUAAAGACGAUUAUGUUGCAACGUUAACAUUUUGAUCAAGAUCAUACCCGCAACUCCUCGUAAGACCAGUAGUACUGAGGAUAUUUUCCUCCAGGCCCACCGAAAGCCUCUUGCCAGGAGUCUAGCAGAACCAGGACUUUGUCCCUCACUUGCAUGUCUGUCUGCAAAACCACCCCAUAGAGGAAGUAAACUCACUGGCAGUGAAUAUCAAUCAGUAACAGUUCUAUAUAUCAAUUAAGGCAGCAUGUCAAUUAUACUAGCUCAAACUUCAGCGCAGGAUUAAUAAGUAACACCAAUGGCUACCUUUUUCUUCACGAUCUUCACCAUCUCACCCAAUAUAUUCUUCUCCGCAAUCUGGAAAUGGACGAAAUCGCCACAAUUCUUCACCAUCGUCUCCAAUAACUGCAGGGGAAAUUGAUCAGGUUACAACUCUCUCCACAGACCAGCUAGAUGAUGAUGAUGGAUAAAUCAAAGCAAAGUUCCACACUUCCACAGCUCAUAGCUGAGAAUUUCAGUAUACCGUUAAAGCAAGAAAUUGAACUCUGGGGUUCUUAUGCUGCAAUCGCUUCUUCACCGCUUUCACUACAUCUUUCGCCAGCCUGAACACACCCAAAAUCACAGUUCGAAUAAAUUAAUGGACAAAAACAACUCGGAUAAUCGACAGAGUCAAAUACACAAAAUAAUCAGUCUCCUCCGUACACAACAAUCAAACAACGGUGAAAAAAAACUAUCCACCGCAGUAACAGAUGAACAUAUCAAAAUAGACCGCAAUUUCGAACAGAAUCUCACGUUUUCGAUGAAAAAAAAUAAACCCAGCUCGUGUGAAUCAGUAACGAACCGAAAGCUCCAUCCGUACACAGAAAGUCAACUCCAGAGAAGAUUGAAAAAAGGAUAAACAGAACGUAAGAAGCGACUAUACCAGUGAUUAGAGUUGAUGGAAUCGCAGAUGUCGAUAUUCAUGGUCCAGUCAGGCGUGAUGAGGAGGUCGCUGGUGGCUUUGUCCACCGCCACCGUAGCGGAAGACGAUGAAGCCAUCGCCACUCGUUAUGAGAGAAGAAUCAACACAAGAGAAAGGAAAAAACUGAUAAAUAAACUCCGCCAACAGGUGUUUGUUUGGCGAGAAAGUCGAUGAAAAGGGUCGGUGGUGACGACGAUUACGAACACGACACGGCCGAAUCCUAAUUACUCUGUAAACCCAACAGAAAAAAUCACAAAUUUCUUCAUCUAAUCGUGUUCUUCGUCAGUAAAGUUGGAUUAUUUCAUCUCUUUUUGAGUUUUUUCCUCUCUGUUUCCUUCAGUUUCCCGGAAAACCAGUUUGAGUUUUUCCUAUUCAGUUUCUCGCCCACUAAUUUCUAUGCUUUUUCCCGGAUCAGCAUGCUUCACUCAGCUCUUACACUCCACGCGCUAUGCUAGCGUAUAGCUGACACAAGUUAAAAGAUAAACAACACGUGGCGGUCCCGGCGAGUUUGGGAGAGUAAGAGUGUGGGGAAUAUUCUUGGAUUGGUUACUUUUUCUGUAACAGCUUCUGGCCACUCCAUAGCCCAAGAGAAGGGGAAAAAAGUUAAUUUGUAAUAAAAGGGGAGGAGGUAGAGAAAAAACGUGUGAGGUUAGAAGAAUGGUUGGUGUUUUCGAAACCUUUCGGUCUUGUUCGGUUAGAUUUUGGUCUGUUUAUCAAGAUGGUUUAGUAUACGGUUCAAUUAUAAUGGUUUAAGCAGUUGAACUACAUGAUAUUAGAUCGCUAGUUUGAUGUGUUUAAAUAUGAUUUUGAAAACAAUGGGAAUAGUUAUAAACAUGAAAUCAUAUUCACUAUACCAUGGGAUGAAAAGUCAUCAUUAGGAUUAAAAUGGACAAAAUAACUUGUAUAGAAAUCAUUGUUGAUACAUCUAUUUAAUACCCCAACCUGGUGUGUAUAAACCUUAAAUGGAAGUAGCUUGCUGCUACACAAUAAUGAAAAUUAAUGAAUUCAUUUUGAUUUUGACUUGUUGGAAUGAAUUUAAUGAACCAGCAAUUGUCAACUUCAAAAAUAGACAAAUAAGACCAAAUAUUCAUACAAGAUACCAACGGUUCGACCAAUCUGCAUGGUUUGAUGAGGACGGAACCAUGUAGGAAGGGAAAGUUUUAAUUGUGCAUGGCAGUUGAUACAUCAGUCGUCAGGGGAGGAUCACGAGCAUUUUGCCGUUGUGAAUCAUAUGAUGAGAAAAUGAGGUGAGCGUUGGAGUUUGAGUUUAUUCAUAUUUAUCGUGGAAGUAAUCAUACAUGUAAUAGGUGACUUUGCUGGCAUUGGACACGAGAUGCCUCUUUGUGUUUAUUAUUCUUAUUUCGAAUCAUAUUUUGAUUUAUCAGUGACUAUAAUAUAUCUUGUGUUUUAAAUAAUAAAAUAAUUAUAAAUAAAGAUUAGAUAUACUGCACCAAUAUCCAAUUAAAAGAAGUGAAGUGCUAAAAAGCUAAAAUUUAGCACCAUAGCCCAAAAGAAGGGGGAAAUUAAUUUGGAAUAAAAGAAUCAUAUAAGGGGAGGAAGGAGAGAAAAAAAAAGAGNNNNNNNNNNNNNNNNNNNNNNNNNNNNNNNNNNNNNNNNNNNNNNNNNNNNNNNNNNNNNNNNNNNNNNNNNNNNNNNNNNNNNNNNNNNNNNNNNNNNNNNNNNNNNNNNNNNNNNNNNNNNNNNNNNNNNNNNNNNNNNNNNNNNNNNNNNNNNNNNNNNNNNNNNNNNNNNNNNNNNNNNNNNNNNNNNNNNNNNNNNNNNNNNNNNNNNNNNNNNNNNNNNNNNNNNNNNNNNNNNNNNNNNNNNNNNNNNNNNNNNNNNNNNNNNNNNNNNNNNNNNNNNNNNNNNNNNNNNNNNNNNNNNNNNNNNNNNNNNNNNNNNNNNNNNNNNNNNNNNNNNNNNNNNNNNNNNNNNNNNNNNNNNNNNNNNNNNNNNNNNNNNNNNNNNNNNNNNNNNNNNNNNNNNNNNNNNNNNNNNNNNNNNNNNUAAGAGUCUAUCCCAUUAGUUUAACUUUGUAUAGAUUUUUCUUCCUCAAUUUAUACCGAUUUAAAUAAUAUUUAAUAACACUUUGACAUUGUAUUCCAAAAAAAAAAAUUAAAUUGUGCUAUAGAGGCGGCCACCCACCAAAAAGAGCUAUAGAGGCGGCCACCAACCAAAUAGAACCAUAUCAAAGUCACUAUUCGGUUCUUCAAGAGUCCAUGGACGUCUCAUCCAAACAUACCCACAAAUCAAUGGAUGUGAAAUAAUCUAUCCAAUCUUGACAAAUAUUAAUUAAGUUGUCGAUGUUACGGUUUAUAUUCCAAACCAAUACCUACCGUUCACCCUAUAAACAAAUAGAUAAAACCUCAUGCUCGGCCCUCUAUAACCAUGAAAAUCUUAAUCAAAAUAUAAAAUCGAUAGAUCCAAAUAAAAUUGUUCUACUAAUAAAAUUGUGUAUGGGUAAUCAGAAAAUUCUGAAUUCUAAUUCUGUCACACCCAACGAAUGACCAGGCAAGUGGAUUUGCACUUGUCCUAUGGAGAGAAAUCACAGCCACGAAAUUUUGAUGCCGUGGGAAUCCAUUCAUUCCCCACAUUGAUUUGCUACUACUUUGAAAGUUGCAUACUUUACAAACUACUGGAGGGCAUUUGGCACAUCUCCCUUUGUGUCUUUGUCUCUACGUGUCCCAUCUCCGUAACACAUAGAGACAGAAUCUCGAGAAAAUACGACAACAAAUUAACAAUAGUUGCAUUAUCGAAUCCAUUGACAUGGUCAACUAACCAGAAUUAGGGUUUUCGAAAAGUGUACUUGUUGUUCUUACGGUUGUUGUUUAUUGUACGGUAUAAGUAACUAUCGGUGACUACCGCAAAAGGUCGAUGAAUACAACAAUAGAUUAUAUUUCCAAUCCGCUCUCUAUAUGGAUAUUAAAAAUUAAAUUAUAAGUUCUCCAAUGACAAAAGCUAAAAUUGCUAAAUUUUGACAAUUUUGGCUUUGACAAUUCUAGUUUUGCUCCAAGGGUGCAAUACCUAAAUUUGGUUUCGACCAUUUAAUUUUUCGUUCAAAUCAUGUAUAAUGUUGAUUUCGUCACUUUAAUUAGAAAAUUCGCUAACGAUUUUUAUAUAGGUAUUAAUGAUUAAUUAAAAUGAACAUUUUGAUGUAUUAUUUUUUAUUUUGACAUAAGUUUGGCCAUUGCCGAUACUCCCGUCUUCCGAAAUUUCAACCCAAGCUAUACAUAACCCUUCAUCUUCGGGAAUGCUCUAAUUUGGGCCUCGAACACUCGUAGACAUGAUUAAUGAUUGAAAGAACGAAGAGAGAGUAAUUAAAAGAACCAGAUGGAUAAUAGAAAGUGGUGAAUUUACAAAGUUCGUUACGUGUAUUUAUAGAAGAAAAUAAUAGCCGUUACAUAGAAAGUGGUGAAUUUUCAAUCAAAAAGAAUGCUUGCAAAUCCAUAUAAGCCCAAAAUUCAACAAUUUGGGCCAAAAGAAGCCUAAUGGAAAAAGGUUUGCUGGUUAAAAAGUAUGUAGUGUAUUAAAACCGUAUAAGUAUGAACGUUCCACCGGUUCGAUUUUGAACUACUCAUCAAAGCGGACGCGUAGAAUUUUAAUGUAAUUACAGUUCAAACACGAUUCGAUCAUGAUUUAUAAUUAUUCAACCAAUUUAACAACAAAUUAUGUUGGACUCACCGAUUCGAUGUGAUGAUACGGUCCAAAAACCAUGCCAAAAAAAGAAGACCACGAUUUAUUAGCCAUUUUCUUCUAUGAAUACAUGGAGUUGCUUUUGCCAUAGAGAUGCGAAAAUUAGGGUUUGAGAUUGGAUAGAAAAGUACUAGUCAUCACCACUACGAUCUGCAUUGAUCUCAUCAAGAAUAACUACAAGUGCAACGAUGAAGGCAUAAUCAACUUGGGGAUACACAGUCACUUUGAAAGUGUCAGCAUCAAGGAAUACCACUUUCAGACUCUGCCCCCUAUGCAUCUGCAAAACCAAAAUCCAUCACCAAUUAAAUGCAAUCACAAAUAAAGAUACCAUGUGGUGCUCUGUCAAGUUAGAGAUAUCGAUUAUAAAUGUUGUGAUAAUACAAAUUACGAUGAUCAGCAACAAGUUACAAUUACCAAACUAUCGGAUUAACUUUAAUAUUAUAUUGAAAUUGACAAAACUGAUAAUCAGCCGGUUAACAAGCCAAAUAAUUUCGAUGGGGUUGUCCAAUUGUGGCGUUUGGGUUUGGUUUAGUUGUCUAUCUGUGUUGUUGUGUAAUCCCACAUCAGAUGAUUGAAGAAGUCCAUACUGUUUAGAAGUGUGAAGAAAAGGGAGUGAAAAAUGAAAAUGAUCAAUAAACACUCAAAAGUGGUAAUUAACUUUGGACAUAUUUCGAAAUCUUGUCAAAAGCUAGUAGAUGCAUCAUGCCUACCGAGGGACCAAUGAUGAUCCGAUCAUAUAUGAUAAACUUGUUCGGUAUGAGUUUGUUUACCUUGGCAAUGAUGGUCUUGGAUUUUCCUAGGUAAACGGUGCAGGAACCCUCAGCCCAGCCACCUUUGAUCCUGAAAUCAGGCGAUUCUUCCUUCUUGUUCUCGGCCAAGAACACAUCUAACUUACCCCUGUAUUUCAGGAUGGACGAUUUCCUCACACUGAAGAUUAGAUCUUUGUACUCUGUACUGUCUCCUUUGAAGGCUUGCCAUCUCCUGUGGGCACUCAAUAUCUGAAACACAAAACACCAAUUAUCACAAGGCAUUAGGAUGGCCGGAAAUUUCAGAACAAGAUAGACUAACUAUCUCAGAACAAAAGCAAUGUCUCUACAUAUACGAGUAGCAAUCUCUCUUCGGUGAGACGGCAACUCUCCAACUCGAUGUCGACAUUUCUCAUACCAAAUCUCGCUCACAAUAGGCCAAGUAGAAUCACUUACGCCUGAGUGAUUUUGUAAAUCCGGUUAAAAUAUGUCACAUAAUCAGUCCAAUCUACAUUAUAAAAACUUUAGUUUUGAAAAUUUUACAUAAAAUUUUAUAACACGAUCUGAACAUAUGAUGUGUUAGAAAGUGGUGGUAUACAUAUUACCAUAGGUUGGUCUCAUUUUUACUACAUAUAUUUUUUCAUAUAACGUAACGCUAAUCUACCUCCGAAAAAAUGUUGUGGAUCCGGAUUUCUCUCAACACCAAACCAGCCUAAAAAGUGGUUGAUUCGGAACAUUUAACUCGAUCGAUUUUUCAAUAUGAAAUUAUUCUUAAUGGCGGCCAUAUGAUAUGAUCUCAACAAGUUGAUAAAUUAAUGAACGAAGUAACUAAUUAUUUUACCUUUUGUUGAAGGGAAAUGAUGACGUUCCCGGCAGAAUCGUGCAUCCGCCGACGAUCAUGAAGGCUCAACAACUUGCUCUUGACAUUGAAAAUGAGGGUCCCGUUGAUGUCGUUGAUGGUGAAAUCGUUCUCCCCUAGGGUAAGGGUCUUGGAGGCAACCGUGAGGUCGACAGGGUAAUCGGCCAAGUACUGUGGUCCGACCACAACCACCGGGUUAACCAAUGGCUGGUUGGGAUCCUCCUCGGCCGGCACUACUACGACGUCGCACCCUGUGCCCAUGACUGCCUCCUCCCCGGCCCUACGACGAGAAGGAAGAAAUCACAACGAUUGCGGAUCACAAGAAUGUGCACAAGGCUUUGGUUAAGGAAAGGAGAUUUGUUGUGCUAUUUAUACCCACAAAUUGUGAGCAAUUAGCAAAUACUCGUAUUUGGACAUGUGUUUUCCAUUCCUUAAGUUUUGGUGUUGACCAAAAUAUCAAGAAUUGUAAUUAGUAAAUACUAGCCUGAAUAUCCAUUUUGAAUUUUCGAGACUUGUUUUUUUUUGUUGUUUCUCGUUUUCGUUAGAAUCGCUGGUUCCUUUUUAAUAAAAAAUUUCAUUCCCUUUGUUUAAGUUCUCCAUCUUCACCCUCUGGUAAUUAAUAGCAGUAUGUAUAUAGUGUCCAAAGGUUGGUGUCACGUGUCCGAAUUCGAUAGGUACGAACACUAAUUCUAGUUGGCUAGCGGUCGCCCGGGAAUCACGGAUGUAAUCCGAAGUGUAUGUGUAGCUUAUAAUCAUUAAUCGAAAACAAAUCAACAGUCAACACUCUGAGUGCAGAAUAGGUCGACAGCUAGCUAUCAGAUCAGUGUUCCCCUAAUGAUUACCACAUUGAUCCUAAAUUAGUUAUCUGGGAGUCAAUGAUUGUGUCACUUCUUCUUUCAAAAUCAAAUCAAUUCAAACUAUACAUAGGAUCUAUGUAGCCAUCUAGAUAGUGGAAAAUCAAGUGAAACAUGAUAUGAUGAUUUUACAUUUCUGUCUCCAUCUGUCUGAAUCAUGGCCGCGGCGGGGCCUAGCUCCGACCUGUACUUUAGAAUAAUCAAUAACGAACUGACACAAUAGUUGACCAAAUUACAAAAAAGAAGGUUGGAUUUUGGUGUUAUUUGUCUUUUAAUUAAUAUUCUACAGUCUAGUUUGGUAGGUAGAGUGUUGGAUGAAAUUUAUAUGGUAAUAAAAAAUUUGGUUCCCCUUAAUUACUUUAUUACGUUGGGGUCUAAUUUUUCCGUUUGGACUAAAGAGUAUUCAAAAUUCCAUUCAAAACCUACUAAAAAUUUAUCAUUAUUGCCUACACCAGAAUCCCACUUACAUAAAAUUAUCCAGGGUAGUCGUCCAAUUCACUCAGUUGGAUCAUAUAAAAGUUAAAAUACAUUAACUAGGUUGUAUAAAAAAAAAUAUGUUAACUAAUAUGUAAAUAUAAAGAAAAUUAUAUAACAUCAAAAUUCUAAAUUUGAAGGUAAAUUAGGUCGGGGCUUAAUUAGUGAAGGCCUCUAUAUCUGCCACUAUUCAAAGCCUACUAAAAAUUUAUCAUUAUUGACUACACCAGAAUCCCACUUACAUAAAAUUAUCCAGGGUAGUCGUCCAAUUCACUCAGUUGGAUCAUAUAAAAGUUAAAAUACAUUAACUAGGUUGUAUAAAAAAAAAUAUGUUAACUAAUAUGUAAAUAUAAAGAAAAUUAUAUAACAUCAAAAUUCUAAAUUUGAAGGUAAAUUAGGUCGGGGCUUAAUUAGUGAAGGCCUCUAUAUCUGCCACUACAAUCAGGGACUCAAUAACAUUAUAAUGAGUCUCCUACAAUAAUGUACCAAUUCUAUUGAGAUUCAAAACAUGAAAAGAUGGAUGAUACCUCUAAAACGACACAUAGAUUAGAGCUUUACCGACUCAACUAAAAGAGUCUUCGAAAAUAUCCGAGAAAAGAAAAGGGACCAAUCAAUGCACUUACAUAAUAGAACCAACACUCCUCAUAAAUGAAUUGAGUCAUACUUACGCGACGUCGAACCAAUGAAUUUAUAUGGUGAUCUGACAGAGUAAAGUGCAACGGUUUCACGAUGGGGAAGAUGGGCACAUGAACCACUAACUCGAUCCGGAGCAAAACCCACGAGUUAGUAAUGCACGUGCCCUGCUUCUCCAUCAUGCUCACGCCCACCUGUGUUUUUUACUUCCAUCACUGGCAUCAAACAUGGAAGGGUUUCGGCCGAGAGAAAGAGGGUUUGAAAAAGAUGGGAUAUAAGCUGAUGGAUGGAUGGAUGGAUGGAUGAAUGAGAGAGUGUACAAGAAGAGAGAAAGAGUUAUAGGCUACAAGUUGUAACUGAGAGAGAACUCACUGAUUUUUAUAACAAAUGAGGCAAAUGGAAGUGGGUGAGGUAUGAGUUGGCUUAUAUGGGCCGCAUGAUCCUUAGGUGUCUAAUUGGAAUUGGCUAUUGGCAUGCACUCAAACUUCCUUCAGGGUUUUGAAUUUUUAGCCAUUUCAGUUUCGAAACCAAGCUGUCAAACCGUCGGGUUAAGAGCUGGACGGGGUUAUAGUUGCGUUCAUCGGGUUGCAUAUCUUUUGGUCGCCAAUUGAUUAGUUAUGAGUUAAUUAGAUGGAAGUUCAUCUAGUUAGUUGACAGAAACUUAUCAUAUUCAGUCUAGUUAGACCCAUCCUGAGUUGGGUGGGUCUAGUUAGGUUGAAUGGGAUCAGGUUCCGCCAACUACAUAUAUAUAUAUAUANNNNNNNNNNNNNNNNNNNNNNNNNNNNNNNNNNNNNNNNNNNNNNNNNNNNNNNNNAAGGAUGAUGACUUGAUAAACUAACAUCUCAAUUGACCAGUGACUCGAUUAACCCAAUGGAAUAACCUUUCCAACCGAACGAAAAAUUGGCCGGUAUUCGGUCCGUAAAAUAUAGAACUUGUACAAGUUUUGAAACACUUGUGAACUAAAACUGUAUGAAAGGGAUGCUUGUUAGGUUAUGUAUAUGAGAAAAAGACUGAUAGUAAAGAAUCAAUUAAUGAUGAGCAUUAUUUAUUACUUUAGGGCACAAUUCAUUGAUAUGUAUACAUUUUGGUGACCUUACGUGAAUAUGUAUUAGAGCCAGACAGUUGUACUUUUAGCAUCUGAUUUUGGAACUCUACAGUUUUCUGAUAAGAAGGUUCAUCUCCAGGCCAGCUGGAUCGGUAUUGUAUUCAAAUUAGGGUUCCAUUUUCAAGAUAAAAUACAAGUUAACCACCAAACGUGUUUAAUUUGGACGGGGUAAACUUCUGGGCCGACAUAUGUGAGAUCGAUGAUCCAUGCCAUCACAAGGUUGUUGAUAUAAUUGUGCAUUCCAGACUUCGAACCCAAUAUAAUUUGAUGGUGUUGACAUCUUUUUGUUUCUACCGUGGCAGACAACCAUACACGUGUUAUUUGUGUGUGUUAUAUAUAUACUUGGUGUUUUGAGUUCGAUAUCAAAGGAAGCAGGAGCUAGGGUAUAUGAGGUUCGACUUCCCACUUAUAUGUUUUUAUUAAGUGUUCUCUCAAAUUUAAUUAGCCAGUCACUAUAACAGACUUAUUAAUAAGUGAAAACCAUGAAAUUUUAUUUCACACAAUCCAAGUUGUUUUAAAAAAAUAAAAUUUUAAAUGAAUUCGUAGAUUUUAGUAAAUUUUUGUUUAUUGAAUAAGAUUUAUACGGGAAAUAGUUUUUAUCUUUUCGAUUCAAAAUCCAACUUUCUCUUGAGUCAAUUUCGACAGUAAGUAGCCUAUACAUAGCUUUAUCAUGUCGCACAAAAGGGGUUGCUAUGUAUAACAUAAUAAUGGGAAUCUAUCCUUUUUAUCUGUACGUGAAUUUGGUUUCCUUUUAUUUCGUUAAUGCCAUAGAUAUGAUGUAACUUGGUCAUCAUCACUCCUGUUUCUUUAGUUAUAUGCAAAAAUUGACCACUCGGAAACCGACAUGUUGAUUAUGAAAAAGUUAUGUGACGCCAAAGGCGAAAUUAGAGCGGUUCUCUCAAUUUCAGAGUAACAAAUUUUUAUGUUAAACUUUCGUCACGAAUAAAAAUAAUUGUGUAGCUCGAGAUUUAAAAAUAGGCGUAUUGUAACUCAAAAAACCCAACUCGAAAGAUAUGUCAUUAUUUGUCAUCCAAGCCACAUAAAUAUUGUAUAUAUAUACUUUUCCCGCCGUCUAAGCUGUCUUCUUUCCAUUUGAUUCGCUUCGUUAAUACGCAAAUUCGAUAUAAUUUGUAUAGAACAAAGGUCUCCAAAAUAUAUAUAUUGAAAGGUACGUAGAACAAAAAUUUGCAUAGAAACUGACGAGAAAGUUGCAAAGAAAAGUAUCAAACACAUUUGCAACACAUCUUACUUGCCUGCUAGGGCUUGGGUUUCCUGAGUUAGUCGUUGUCCCUGCAAGAAAGAAAGAAUAUGUUCUCCACGGGAAGCAUUGGGAAUCCAAUCAAACACCAAACCAGCUGAAAUUGUACAUCAUGGUACUACAUAUGUACCUUUGAUUAUUUGGACAUUAUAUAUAUAUGGGUAUUCUUUUUUAUUUGGUUUUACAUUCGGUACUCGAUCGGUCAUUAUAUCGGAUGUCAAAUAUUUUAAAGUCGAAAAUCAAUUAUAGUCCCCUUUCAUCAGUUAGAUGUUGAUAACCGAACUGCAAUCUUCAUCAUGCAUACAAUCAAUCACUAGACCAUCUUUGAUGUUGUUGUGAAUGAAUUUUAUAAAUUUGUUACACACCGAACUUUUGUAGCAAUGAAUCUUGAUGUGCCAAGCAGAGUAGGGCAAUGUAGCUAGGCACUGAAAAGAGGCUCACAAUACAUGGCUAAAUUAUUAUACUAUAUGUACCAAUAGAGAAGUAUAUGUUGAUUCCAUAUAGAAGAAUUAAUGGAACAACAGUAAGUAGAAUACAACUAAUUACCCAUUUUAUCAAAUUGUGUGUUUGAAAUUAGGUUUUCUGAUGGAAGAUUAAAUCCAACAGGACGUGCAUUAUUGGUUCAAAUUAAAGUAGAAAUGGGUGAUGAAGAGGGUCAUUCUCCCUAGUGGUCCCUUAGGUUUGAUUUCUUACAAACCCAUCCUGUUUUUAUUAAAUUAAAUCAACCAAUCCAUCCAAUACAUUUGAACAUUCAAUCCCACUGUCACUUUCCGUCAACUAUUUUACCUCGUCCGGCAUGCUUAUUCACAAAAAAAUAAACAAGUGGUUUGUUCCACAUAAGCUCGCCAGACCCAACUACUAAAAUCUGGUUAGAUCUGUAAUCUAACUAGUUUCUCAAACAUAAUCAAACUACCAACAACCCUAAUCCCAAUUCUGAAAGCAAAGACCCAUUAUUCUUAGGGGUUUUUAAUUUUUUUUUACAACGAUUAUUCUGAUUUCCCAAUGAUCUUCUACGAUCCAGCCAAUGAAACGUAAGAAAGUCAACAGUCAGAAGUCAUUGAAGUCACUGAAGAAGGCCGACCCGCCCAACGACAAAUCAUCUCUAGGGGGUUGUGGAGCUCCGAAUCGGCUCCAACAACGCUCACCCUCCCCGAUCGAACCUGUUUUUGCUUUUUAAGUUACUGUUUAUCUAUUUCCCCACCUUCGUAGUCCUUCUGUCUGUCGAAUGUCUUGUAUGAGAGCAAGGAUUGAGGCCGAUUUUGUUUCGCAAAUGGCACGCAAUCUAUGUAGUUGCACUUUGUUUAGCUUUGUUACAUUUAUGAAAAUUCUCCCCAAAUUGGGAUUUUGGUAAAAAAAACCCUUAUUCUUCCAUUUUUAUUCAUGUUUUUUUGGGUGAAUUAACCAUGCUGACAAGACAAACAUAACAAAAUAGUUAACGGAAAAUUAACCGUAGAUGCAUAUGUAAUGAAUCCGUUAAUUGUAAUAAGAACAGAAUUAAAAGCGAGCUCUUUUGUACAAAAGUGAAACGUAAGAGACUAUUUAAGCUAAUUAUCACCCGGGCCGUGCCGAAGAUAUUUUAUCAUUUGGAGCCAUAAUCGAGGCCACUAAUUAAUGUUGAUCAAUGCACUAUAUCACCAGAGCCAUCGACACCAAAGCUCGAAAGUGCAAAAAUAUGCAAUUAAGUCAGUCACUCGGGGUGGGAGUUACGAAGUAUGGACAAUUUUGGCAACAUCGGUGCCAGAGUCUCGUUCAUUUUCGUCGUUUGGCUGCCUGUUUAAGUUUGAUGUUUCCUUCAAGUACUAGUCAGGUCUGUUAUAUAUUAGUUGAUGUUUUUCGAGUUCUUAGUUUCUUUGGUAAAGACAGUUGGGGUUUGGUUAGUAGUAUCAACUCAUGUUGAGUCUUGAGAUGGAUAUAAUUAGCAGUUGAGAUAUGUAUUGAGAAGCGCUAGGAUACGAUAUGUUUAAUUUUGAUUAAAUGCAUCUUCCGUUGUAACUUGUCUGUGGGUUACACCUUCCAAAUUACCAAAUUAUUCCGUAUAAACGAUAUUAUCAUAUAAUUAAUAAAAACAUAUAUCCUCAUUAUAGUUGAAAAAGUCAGUCACUCAUAUCAAAUCGAAGAAGAUUUAAUUUGCCAAAUCUGAUCUCUUAAUUAAGCAUUAUAAUUAACGAUUUCUGGUCAUCCACAUUCUCCACUUUUUGGUGGAAAAGAUUAAUCUCUUGUCUUGUUUACCGGUGGCCCAUUUGACUUGGCAUUCCACUCUCCCAACUACUUUUUCAAUCAUUGACUGUGACAUAACUAAGAACCAAUUCUAAGACAAAAGAAACAUACUAUAACAAAUUCAUACUUCAAUCUCCAUUAGCUAAUUUGUCAGAGUGAUCAAUUUACUCUCCAUUAGUUUAUGAGCACUUGAGAUCGAGAGAAUAUCGACAGAACGGAUUUUACGCUGUGAAUCAAAUACCCACUAGAUUGUUUUAAUGGAAUCAUAUUUUUUUAGAAUUUUUCUAAUGUUAUUACUCAAACUGAUUAUGCGAACUAAAUCAAUUAAUAGUGAAUGAUUGUUUUCAUAACCGAUUAUCGACUAAUAAUGCAAAUCAAAAAAAUGCAAAUGCAAGAGAUUGAGUUUCAAAUAUAUGAAGGUUGUUCGGAAUCGAAUCCACUAAAGCUAGCAAUGCAUGGAUGAACGACAAGUUAUCUCAAUUAUUGAGAUUAUAAUGACUUAACAAUUUCCUACGAUAGUCUUAGAUCACUCUCGCGCCUCUAAUGAUCUAUUCUGCUCAACCGUAGACUCCUCUCUCGAGCUAAUCUACACCUAAGCAAAACGCACUAAAGGUGUUCGAUGAAAUGCCACAAUCAUAAAUAAUGCAAAAAGUCUAAACGAUCCAUUCCUCUCUGGAGCUAACGAAUAAUCUAGAGUUCUUCCUAAGCAACCUAUCAAUCUAUAUUCCUCUAGAACCCACAAAUCAAUGACGAUGAUUCAAUCAAGACAGCCAGACGAAAUUGAAUUAUAAUUUAGGUUUGGAAAGAACACAUCAUAAGUCUGAAUAACAUCGAUAACAAAUCAAAUGGUUAAAACCCCAUCAUCCAUACAAAAGCUAAGCUAAAGUUUCAUCUCAUCCAAACAACACGAAAGGUUUAGCUACUCAUGGUUCUGGAAACAAGAAAGCUAGAAGAAAGGAAAAUAACCCGGAAAGAAAACAUGUUUCGUCGAGAAAUUUCCGUCUUGUCGCCGAUCUUAAGAACACGGGCGUGUUCCUCCCAACAGAGGCUCUCAGGUUUAGUUUUCAGAGAAAAGAACAUGACCGUGUCCCAGAGGGACACACCGUGUUCCUUAGGACACGACGUGUUCUUAUGGUACACGUCGUGUUCCUCUUAAAUUCCAACCAAUCUUCCCUCCGAGCAAUUUCAAUCGUCCGUCUUAGUUUCCGCUUGUCCCCAAACGCCAUAAAUCGCCUGAAAUGCAUAAAAAACAUCGCAAACAACGUAAUAUGGCCCCCAAGGGAAAGAGAACCAACCAUGUGCUCAAGAUCCUAAGUUUGAAUACAUUUCGACACAAUAUAAUUUAUAACGAGAAUAAAUAUGUCAAAAAUACAAAACAUCAAAUACUUCAAUCGGACAGUGAAUUUGGGUUACUUUUGGCAUGUGGGUUGUCGUUAGAGGCCCUGCCCUUGAUGUAGAACAAGAGUUCGAAAACAUGUCAUAGAACAAGAUCAUAGUUUGAUUUAAUCACGCUUGCUAUCAAAAUAUAAACAUAUUUAAUCGGAUGGUCUACGCGUCAUGACACUAUGGAACAAAUUUUGUCAAAGUUUGAGAAAUGUCAAUUCCUGAGUAGUUAAUUAUAAGCAGAAUAUUGUACUUGGCAUCACAUUGUAAAAGAUGUAAUUGAGUAAAGGGAAAAGGGGGGAGACAAACCUGAAAGUGGGUGAAAGUGCUAUAGGAUACUCUUUGGUGUAAUGGCCAAUUCACUACCCCUAGAGUAGUAGUAGUAGUUGUAGAGCCCAUUUCUAUAUGAACAAUAAUUUGUCCAUGGUGGAGGCAGAUAGGAAAUGGUGGGAGCUUUAUUUAUGUUAAAAAUGGAGGGACUGGUUAUAUAUUAGUUUAUAGAAUAAUCCCUAUAAUCUGCAAGGCCAAUUAGCUCCAUCAAUGAAUUCCAUAGGUACAUCUCUAUUAUUCAUCGAUCAAAUAUACAAGAGAGUUAUCUAUAUAACGAUUAUGGACAAGUGGCGAUGUGCAAUACAAUACUAAGACAUUAUAAAAGUUUUGAGAUGACACCAUCUAUAGAGGAUAUUUGGAGGGCUUUAGCUCGAUUGAUUAUAUAUACGCCUUAUCGGGAGAAAUGUUGCUUACAGUUUAUUCUACAAAGGUUUUUAAGAAAGCGGAUAAUAUUCUCCAAAUUAAACACAUAAUUGAGACGUUCUAGCCAAAGCAGGUUUUGUUGGUAUAUUGUCAAAAUGCUCAAAAACGUGCUUAUUUUGUCAUCUCAAAAAAUUACUUUAAAAUAUCGUUAAAUUAUUAUAAAUUGUGUUGCGUAGAGCCUGACUCUUCUACGAAAAAUCACCUCAAAUCACUCCUAAACUUUAAGAAAAAAACUCACCAGAGACAAGCUAUGAGCUAUCUUCGACAAACCCCUCGGCAACCAUCACUAAUUAAGAAUGACCCUCCUAAAUGUCAUGCCACGCGAUGCCGACGUCAUGAAAUUCUAAGAACAUGUUUCCCCAUCUUAGGGAUGUUUGUGGAUUGUUUAUAUAUUAGGUGAUUAAUUUAGGGGUUAGCUAGAGAUUAUAAUAUAACUGAGUAAUUAAAUAAAAUAAUCAUAAUCAUGUUUGGGUUACGACAAAAAGGAACGACCAUAGUCAUUAUACUCUUCUUUGACAAUCAUGAUCAUUACCAUGUCAUUAUUUGGUCUUAACCACCAACAAAAUCCUUGUUUAAUUAAUUACCAAACAUAUCUCCACCAUUUCUGUCCAAUCACACUCGAAGGCUCGACAUUCUUAAAAUUAACUAUUCUUUUAUUAUUUACUCGUAAAUUCGAAUGGAUCUAGCACUACUGGUUUGGUAUGGAUAAUUGGAUGAAUAAUUAUGCCUUAUAUAUGAAAAUACUGGAAAAAUAUAAAUAUGGACCAAUGUUCUUUUGAAUGAAGAACCCAUCAAAUUGGACAAAAUUUCAAGUUCGAAAAUUCUCACUCAAGCAUUAAUAAUAUAUGUCUUGUGAAUACCUCACUAAUGAAAAGAAUCAUUUGUUAAUUAAGGUAAUAGUAAUUAGCUGGACUCAAUAAUCUCUAAUUAUUGCUUCUCUUUUUGGACCAUUCAUGGAAUUCUAGAGAUAGAUAUGGCUGGUUAGGUAUUGUUUCUACACACAAANNNNNNNNNNNNNUGGGAUGUGUUUUUGUUUUUUGUCGGGGUGGGGGGGUGGGGGGGGGGCAUUAAUUUCUUUUACUGUGCCCAAACCAGGCAGUUAGGAGUUUAACCAAUGUACUGGUUUUGGAGUGAUUAUAUAUUAGGUUUGCAAUUUUUUUGGAAUAUGGUUCUUGUAAUAGACUACUAGACACCCUAAUUAGAUCGUUUCGGUUUGGUUAAUGGGUCAGCCACAAAACACGUAGUCGAUACUCCUAACUUGGUAGAGUCCAGACGUAUAGCACUUCUCGGACUCCUCCUACCAUCUGAUAGAAGUCGCUAGCUAGAGCUUUGUUUAUAGCAAUUGUCCAUCUUUUCUAGACGUCACUAAUUUGAUCACAACUUGGAGCAAACACAGAAAUGGACGAACCAAUUUAGAGAAUCUCUUAAAACCCCGGUUUCAAAUCGAUCAAAAAUAUAUGGUAAAUAUAUACAUUUGAUUAGAAUUGAACAGCUUAUAGAAACAGGGCACGUAUAGUGGUUGAGGGGUCACAAUUUUGUCAUAAUUAGUUGAGACAAACUAUAUAAAUCAGUAACCCAAAUAAAGGAGGGCAGAACUACACUCCCCCCUGGCCCCUAUGCUAAUAUUCCUAUCCUUGUUUCCCACUUCUUUUCUCCAACGUCACCCGACAAUUUCCCCUCUUAAUCGGACUUGUGAUAUCAAUUCCAUUUUGCACAAAAGAACAAAUUAAUUUCAUAUGUCCUCUUGUAAAAUAUGUAAUUUAGACAAAUUAAUAAAGAUAAUAUUUACUGUGCACAGUCUAGUGAUCGAAACUCUGAUGCUGAAACUAUAACCGGUUAUGGACCAAUGACGUAUGGUUAUUGAACCGACAAUCGGUCAUAUGAUCCACUAAACAGCAGGCGACGACGGAGGAUACUCAAAAACAGAGGGAUGGGCCAGACUUAGGGCCUAGCUCAGAAUGGCCAAGAUCAAACCCAAAUCAGAAACCUCCUUCCGAAGUCCAAACAAUGGGCCACCAUUCCAUCAAAGCCCACCUUUGUACAUGGUCUAUGUUUUCUUUUCUGUUUUUGUUCUACAAAUCACCAAACUCAAGAAAAAUUUAAAAUAGUGAAAGGGAAAAUAUCAAAAUACUAAUCACCCAAAAUCCCAAGUAAUUAUAAGUCUAAUUUAAAGAUGAAAAAGGUACCAUUCUAAACGCACUUAACUUCAAGAAAUGUAAAUAACCAUCGUCUCUAUCUUUCAAUUUUAUCGAUAAGGGAAGUUAGAAUGCCUACUAUUCAUAUGGAUGUUAUGAGGAUUAAAAUAAAACUAUAUUUGCAAAGUUCACAGUUACUGAAGAAAUAUCUAAUGAAUAUAAAUAAACCGCCAUCUCUAUUUUUCAAUUUCAUCGGUACGGUGAAGUGAGAAUGCCAACUAUUCAUAUUAAUGUUAUGAAGGAUAAAAAGAAAUUAUAUUUGCAAAGUUUACAGUGACUAAAAUCACUAACGAUAAUUAAUUAAUUAUUCUGUGUAGUGGUCCCUAAUUAAACCUUAACGAGGUACGAGGAAAAAAAAACCAAAGCAUAAAUAUGUAUACUUUCAUAUCCAAGUAUUCAAUAAAGUGAAAGAUUUCUCCUUUCGUGAUCCUUUUUCCUGUUUUACAUGUACUUCAUCGCCGACGAACCAACCACCGGUUAUCGACCGGCCUAUCGUCAAAUGGCCAGAACAAGACCAGGCAAAGACCUUUCGAAAACAUCCCCCACCGGCUGGCUCCUCCACAUCGUAAGCUUCUUCCCCUCCUCAUCGACAAUCAGGCGACGGCUACUGCCGCCGGUGACAUCUUUCACGGUGAGCCACGUGUUGAAAUAUUCUCUAAACUGAGUGAUCACCAUAGCCCCAUUAUUGUUAUCAUCAUCAUCUCUCACCGUCCAAACGUGGACCCAGUAAACUUUGUCGCCUUCCCAUCCUUCGGCAAUCACGCAGUCUCCGACAACCUCGAUACUCCUCGGCUCGAACCUGAACAGUUGAUUAGCCAGUCCGUUACCAACGGACUGCCCAGUCAGCAUUCUCAUCAUGUGGUUGCAGCCUGGCGGUCCGUGAAACCACCACUCCAAAUCACCGACUAUGAUUUGGUGGUCAUAGCCAGUGAUCUUAUCUCUUGUUGUUUGGCCCGUGGAUCCGGCUAGUAAUGUCUUGUAGAGUGAUCCGAUGAUGGAUUUGUACUUUGCGGAUUUGGACGUGGAUGAUUUGGAUGGGGAUUCGUCGAUGAUCGGAGAUUUGUGGCUGCCGGAAAGGAAGAGGAUUUUUCUUGAGCUUAAUUUGGAGAAGAGGGUUGAGAGAGAGGAGGUCAACUCUUUGCGGACGGUCAACUGUCUAGAGAAGUGCAUUGUUGAGUUUUGUUUGCAAUGUGUGUAAUGUGAGGUAUCUUACUUGUAUUUAUAAGCCCUAUAGUACCCAACGACUUAUCUAGGGUGUACAUAUGAAAGGGGAUUAUCUUCGAGUUACGCCCUAACUUUUUAUUGAAUAAAUGGAUGACGAAAGUCUUCAUGGUAGUCGUAGAGUCAAAUGACACUAGAUGUAAGGCAGAAUUGCAAAAACUUUACCAAGCUUAAAAUGAUAAUACGAGAUUUUUUACAAAAAGAAUUAAUCCAAAAAUAAAUUCAAGUAGAUUUGAUUAAAAUCGGACAAUAUUGUACGGAUAUUGGAUUUAUAAGCCCCAUAGUACACAAAGACUUAUCUAGGGUGGAUAUAUGGAAGGGGGUUGUCUUCAAAUAACGUCCUAACCUCUUAUCGUAUAAAUGGAUGACGAAAGCCUCCAUGGCAUAGUCAAAUGACACUAGAUGUGAGGAAGAAUUGCGGAAACUUUAUCAGGCUUAACAAGAUAAUAUGAGAUUUUUACAGAAAGAAUUAAAUUCAAAAACAAAUUCAAGCAGACUUGAUUAAAAUCGGACAAUAUUAUACGGAUAUUCGAUUUAUACUCACUCUCACCUUAAAUCAUAGUGUUGGAUACAUGAGAGUCUUUCCGAGCCACAACCAGCCCACUCAUAUCAAGUCUAGAACUCUGAUGCGGUAUAAAUUUCUUCAUAUUUGAAGUUAAUUAAUCUAUUUUUUUAUAUACAAUUCAAUAAUUUUCAAACUCUAUACAAUCCAAUAUAGUAUAAUAAUUUGCUGCCACCGGCAAUAUUGACCCUUAUUUUACCCUGCAUUUGUUUGGUUUUAUUGAUGAGUAGACUUAUUCGAAUAGUGAUGAAUGGAUCUUCUAGAUAUACAUUAUAUCCUUUGUUUGUGUCAACUUUCAGUGUUUGUUACAGCUUUCUCUUUGUUUGCUAAUUGGACUUGUUCGGUUUGUAGUUUGUCCACAUACACUUAAUCUAUGAUUCUUCCUCCUCGUUAGAUCCCUAGAAUUAUGAUUAUUUUGACUUCGAACCGGCCGAUUCCUUUCCUGGUGUUCUCUUCUCCUAUGAUUUUCUUGUUUUUGUACUUGUCAGACAAACUUCGGGACUGUCGACAUGUGAAAUUAUGGUGAUACUAUCAUGGAGGCCGAAAUGAUAGAUCAUUUCAAACUUUAAAUCGAAAUUUUUUUGAAACAAAAUCGGGUAUUUGACUACAACUUACUGUAGUACUUCUACCAAAGAUUUGUGGUGUGGGAUUGGAAUUAUUGGAUGCUUGCAUGCAUAUACAUUGUGAAAUAAAUGCAGGUGGUUACAUAUAUGUCCAAGAUCUCGAGCAUAAAUGUCCCAGCAAAUUGAAGUUCCAGAAAGCACUCGUCUGUUCCAGUAGGGUCCUUGACUCAGAUACUAGGAUAAUACAUGACCGACACAUCGUGGUAGCUGCUGGUUUGUGAUCGUGUUUGCCGUAGUGAAAUUAAUAUGGUUGAAAUUUUCGACCAGGAUUUGAAAUUUGGGGUGAAUAUAUAUGAAAGUAGAUAGCCAAAUUUAGAAAUAUAAUAAACAAAAAGAAAUUCGAUCUAAUGAAUUCAAACCAAUAAACUAAAGAUUUAACUGUGGAUAUUAUCCAAUUACAAUCCCUCCGUUCUACCAACUGAGCUAGGUUUGCCCACGUACAUAAAUAAAUGGAUUAUGGGAUUUUCCAACAGAAAAAAUUAUAUCAAGAAUUUCACAUUGGACUUGGGUGAUCAUAUCAAUGUUUUUUCCAAGUCUUUUAGAAAUAUAAAGGUGGCAUUUGGGAAGGUGCAUAUAUUGUUGGGGAAUUUCGCCCAGAUGGCUUUGCAUCUUUCAACUGCUUGCGUAUCAAAGUCUAUAUAGUUCGAGAUUGCGUAUCUAUGAUGAAAAAGUGUAAACAGCUUUAGAAUGUGUUGAUUCGAACUUUAAUAUUCCGUUUCGAAGGUUAAAACCUUUGAAAUCAGUGAUCGACUAAAUUAAGUCGUGACUAGGAUUUUAAUAGAGUCGUGAUCGCAUAUACUUUUCGUAAAGAAUACUCCUCCCCUUAUCCAAAAUCUAGGGUCACAAAGAAUCUUUUCAUAUGAUAAAACUACUAACAAAAUCAAAACUUAAUAAUAAUUGAGAACUUAAAAGAUGAGAUAGGUGUGAGUACACGAAAAUUACAGAACAACAAUGACUAUAUUGUCAUUAUCAAGAAUAAUGAUAUUUACCAAAAAAAUAAAUCUUUUUUUAAAUUAUUCAAGAUGCAGAUCCUUUCCUAAUAUUCUAUAUUUUUUGUUUUUCUAAAAGUAACUAACUCUAGAAGAAGAAAAAUAAAAAAAAUCUAACUAUUAUGAUUAAGAGAAGAUGAAUCGAUUUUGCUCCAAUUUUUACUGUUAGUCUUCUAACUUUGAUUUUCAAUGGGAACUCCUUCGGAUCUUCGAUUAGACUUUUAGGAAUUAAUAUAUGGAGGUUUUUACAGAGAGAACUCUAAAAAAUUCGUAGAAAUUGUUGAAGAACAAGACUCUCUUUCCUCAAAUCGCUUCUCUUGUACGGAAUGCACACCGUGCACCCCUCUUUUGCUACGAGGGUAAUUGCAGUGUGAGGUCCUGCACAGAGUGCACGACGUGCAGCCCUCCUUCUUCAUCAAUUCUUGCACCGUCAUUCCAUUCGAUCUCCAACCAUACUUUAAUCCGCGUCUAUAGCCUCAUAGUCAGACCACAUGUCUCUAAAGUACCCGUGGAUAACAAAUAUUACAAAGAAACACAUUAAUUGGACCGAAACAGUCCAAGUGAACAGAUCUAGACAUCCAAUGCUAAAACGUAAAAUCACACGAAAUUGAAGCACAAACAAACUAGUAUUCACUCAAAAAAUAUGCAGAUAAGGUAAGAUAACACUAACAAUCCUAGUACUAUCAAAUAUUCCUUUUAUAAAAAUAUAGGAGGAGACCUCCUUUUAUAAUUUGUGGAAGAAUGCGGUAGAUAAAAGAGAAAUGUUCGUUCAAACACAAACCGUCUCUGUACUAAUCUUAAAACAAAAAUAAUUUUCCCAUCAAAUCGGACCAAAGAUGGCGUCGGUGAGGUAUGGUUUUUGGGUUGGUUUUUUUAUCAAAAAAUCAGUCCAAAAUUUUGUCAGAAAUCAAUUUGAAACUCAAAUCAAAAUCGGUUUAAAAUUUCGAUUUAUUUUGAAUUUUUGUCUAAAUAACACAAUUCCUAAUUAAUUAUAUAAAAAAACAACUAUGAUUAUAAAAAAAAACAACUAUGUUAUUGAAUUAAUUCUUAAUGAUGCACUAACUAACCUAUUCACUACAAACAAGUAACUAUUUAUAUAUAAUCUAAAAUUCCAACAUAUAUAAUCUCGAGUCUAAACCGAUCACGUAUCGUCGAUUACUCCAUUGUUAAAGUAGCGAUAUAGGAACGAGAGUAUGCUUAUGUGCUUCUUGGACGGUACAUAACUUCGAUUAAUCAAAAUCCACCAAUAAAGUAGAGAUAUAUGAACGAGUCUGCUUUUUAGACCGUCGUGUAUGUUUGAUCAAUUCACUAUUAAGGACGAAUGCUCUGAGACUGAUUGAUUAGUUCAUCAGACUGAUUGAUAUCACUAGCUUGCUAACUAUUGUGUGUUGCAAUGAAUUAGUGAUAAUGAACUUCGAAAGACAUAUUCUUAGCUCAACGUAAGGCAAUACACAAGUUAUUCUAAGCUAGCUAACAUAUGUAAUAACAUGUUAAUCACAAUUCAUAUACAAUAAUAGGCUAUAAUAUUACAUGUUAAUCUAAGCUACCUUUUGAGGGUUGAUAUUCUUGCAUGUUUGCUUCCGGAAAAUAUCCGCCACCCACCGUCGCCGGCAGUAAUAUUUAUCCCUCGUACUCCUCCGAAACUCCGCCGCCGUUGAGGAAUCCCAUCCACCAAUUCGAAUUACAGUUAGGCGCCGCUUGGUGAUGAUGAUCAUUAUUAUAAUUAUAAUAAUUACAAUUACCGUGAUUGUAAUUAUUCAGUACCGGAGCCGCCAAAACAGCAGGGGAAGUCGUUGACCAAACAGGACCAGACGCCGGCAAGGUGUCCACCGCCGAGUAACAAUAGCUCUAACAGCGAUAAAUUCAGAAUGAUUUAAUAUAUAUAUCGAAUCAUAUAAAGUCUAAAUCUUUAGACGUCACAUUAAAAAAUAAUUAAUCAUAGGUUAUUAAAUAUCACAUCCUACAACUACCCGUCCUCUAUGUAUAAUUAAUUUUCUUGUAAAAUUAUAAUAUAUUUUUUGUUAUGAAACUAAACUCAAAGAAAGACAAGAACAAGAGAAAUAUGGAGAGGGAGAGAGUUUCUUAUUGAGGUGUAUGGAAUGCUACAAAUGAGAGCUCUAUUUAUAGGCUCAUAGAUCAUAACCUAUACUCUCUAAUAUUAUUACACAUAAAGGUGGGAAAAUAAAUACAAUGAAAUACAUUGAAGAAUGGAAUAAGGAGUUACACAAUGGUGCAUUCACUAUAGUAAUUAUAUUCAUAACACUCCCCCUUGAAUGACCAUUGGUUAUCCAUCGUUCUUCGAAUACGCUUUUGAUACUGCCUCAUUAAAAACCUUACCAGGAAAACCCAGUGGGAAAAACCAUGGUUAAGGGAAAAAGAGUACAGCUGCGUAUUGACUCCCCCUGAUGAUGAUAUCAGUUGAGAUCCUUCAUAUUGACUCCCCCUGAUGAGGAUAUCAACUCUCGCUCAUCAUUAUAUCAGUUGAGAUCAUUCACUCACCAAUUCCAAAUUUGCUUUCCAACAGUUGAUGCAGAGAGAUCUUUGGUGAAUAAAUCAACCAAGUUAUCACUUAGGUGCACUUAGUUGAUAAAUAUUUCAACUCAUUGAAGUUUGUGCAUAAAAUGUAUGCAUCACAUGAUCGAUGGUCAUCCAUAAUUCACAUGACACUUCACCUUAGAUGACCAUUAGAUGAGAAUAUGUCUCAUUAAAACCUUACUAGGAAAACCCUAUGGGAUAAAAACCUAGUGAAGGAAAAAGAGUACAUAAUCAUCACAUCACGUUGCAACAUUUUCUUGCAACUCAAGGAUAUAUGCAAAAUAAAUAUCAUGCAUGAUUUAUAGGAUCAGAUCUUGAAAUGGUGGUGUAGCUUUAUAAGUUGGUUUCACAGCCCACCAAGUGGUAAAAUUAUCACAUGAGACCAAUUUAUGGUCAACCAACACAAAUAUGACCAAGAUUACUACUUCAAAAUCGAGUACAUCUUGUGUCUUAAUAAAGGUCGAUUAAACUCGACAUAGAGUCACAUAGUGAUCUGACUACCAUCCAGGCACUGAUAGCCAUGUCAUAUCCAUAUAACUUUUUGUUGGAUAUAAUUAGUAUAUCAUUGAUGAUAUACGAAAAUCAUGUUCGAGAGAGAUGCACAGUUGGCAAGUUAGUGGUAAUCUUCCACAUCUUCCAUCUCGAACUCUAGCUAAUCAAUAUUUGAUUGCUUUGAGAAACUCUUUAGGAGUCUCAAUAAAGUGUAUGUCAUCUAUAUAACAAAAGAUGAUGAUGACACUUAAACUCUUAUAAACAAAAGAAAUACAUUUUAAAUAUAAAAUAAAGUAUAGAAAUUUUUAUAAGAAUUUCAAAAUCAUAAAAUAUGACAAAGAUGAUUUUUCAUCAUUCAAAAUUCAACUCAAUAUGAAAAAGAAAUCAUAGUUUUAUGCAUAGAGAAAUGUAUGAUAUGCUAAAUGGACCACUUCUCUCAAUUAUUCAAUCCAUAUGACGUCAAUUAGAUAUAACUUGUUCACGUGAACUUGAAUUGUUUGCUUAUAGCAAAAUAAAUCCUCAAGGGAAUUUCAUAUACACAUGUGUAUUCUAAUUAUGAAAACCAUACAUAUAGGUUGCAAGGACAUCCAUUAGGGGCAAACUCUUUCCCUUCACAAAUUGCCAGACUAAUCGAAUAAUAAAAAGUAGUUGCAUCCACCACAUGAGAAUAUAUUUUCUCAUAAUCAAAAUGUUAUAGGUUUGUUGUACAAAACCUUUCAAAAAUGAGAUGUUUCAUAACUUCUCAUACUCAUACUUUACAUCUCAAUGUAUAAAGACUUGAUGUCUUAAAACUUUUCAUUUCUCUUGGGAAUUUGAAUUUGCCUCAAAUUGAAAUUUUUUGUAGCCAAUCAUUUCUAUCUGUGCAUGCAUUUUGGCUAAUGAUCCUCAUUUUCAACUAUCAUAUUUAGCGUUGCACUAUACGCAAAUAUUUCGUCGACGUUGACUUCAUUGGGGUUCCAAUAUUUUCCAUCCAAGAUAUAGAUAAUUGAGAUAUAUAUUCAUAUCUUUCAGGUACCUGAUACUCUUCUUGAGCACAUUAUUUGUUUCUCUUGGUGGCUUUGUUUAAAUAAUCUUAACCUCAAUUUGACCAUCUUGAUAUAUAGCUCCAUUCCACUUUUGAGGAUUUUUUCUUUGGAACCGAGUGGUCUAUCACGCCUUUGCGGGUUUUAGACUCAUUUGUGAUGUCAGAUUGCCCAAUAUUGGCAUUAUUGUUAUUGGAGCAUUUUGAGUUGGCACAUGAAAACUUUACUCUCGUUGGGUCAGUAAAGUGUCUGGCAGAUAAUGAAUUAUAUAUUUUUGAACUUCAAGCUCAUAUUGCUUAGUGCAAGGAUCAAAAUAAUAUGAUCAUUCAUCUAAUCUCUUGGCCAACUUUUGUUUUCUCCCCCUAAUGUUGGGAAGUUUAAAUAUAAACCUCCAAACGAGUCAUCAAAAUACUCCCGACAACGAUGUGAUACUUUACCAUCGAUGAACUCGUAAUCAAAAUAAUUUCUCAAUCUUCAUUGAGAACCCAUCCUAAUAAAUGGUGGUGGAGCAAUUCAGAUGUGUAUAUCACAUUCAUAUAUCCAUAGAUGGGAAGUAUAAGGUUUUGACCCAAAAACCAAACAUAAUGGAGGAAUUCAUGAUAAUUUCUUGGCGUAAUGCGAAUUUGUGUUGUGCAUGUAAAUGACAUGUUCACAAUAAUAUAUUGGUUUUCAAUGACACAUUUUCGUUAUUGGAUAAUCAUGAAAAUAUGCUCAUAACCAAAAUGGUUGAGCUAGUAAUCUCGCAAAUUUUAGUUUUCUUUCAUAUACACAUGUGACCUUCUAGUUGAUACAUCAAUUAAAAUAAUUGGCUCACAUGUUGGGCGUAUGGAUCCAUAAAUAUCACCCUUGUUUUGUUGUGUGUAAGAUAAAUGAUCUUACUUUAGUUGAUGAUUAUCCAACAAUCAACUCUAUUUGAGGAAAAGCAAUCCAAAAAUGAAUUAUGUUGUGUUGGAGAUUUACCCAACAAUGGGUAACGGAAAGGUGAAAAUGCUUUCCUAGAAACGAAACCUUGUUGACAGAACAGAAAAUCGUUUGUGUUCCCAGGAAGUAGGGGAGUCACAAGGACUACUUAAAUCCCUAUAACCUUAGGAAUCAUUUCUUUAGAAUACCCAAGUUGAGACCAUCAUGCACAACAAUCUUCAAUAGAACAUACACUUUAGAUUAUGGAAUCAUCGAAAUUGACCAUAGAGGUACUUAUCGAUUCGCAUCAUGAUUGAACCGGGAUGGUCUCACCGGUUAUGCCAAAUAAUAGUUGUCAGGACGAGUAAACGUAUAGUUUACAUUUAUAUAUAUGUAUCUCAAUCACAAUAACAUAUGUGUAGUACAAAUUGGAGGAUAAUAUUAUUGAUUAAAUAAUUAUAUAGCCAUAGACCAUAUUAUUGUUCCUCUCUUGAUCCUAAACAAAUUGGAAUAAGGAUUUUGUUCCUUCGUGAACAAUAUAAUAGCUCGAUCUAGAGCUUGAGAGAAAUGUUGUACUACACCAUAUAUCUUGGUGCACUAUCGAUGUGAUAUAUAUCACAAUUAAUUAUGGUGAUUCUCAUCAUAAAAUACUCAUUUUUGUCAUGAGAAUUGGUACAUAGUUUAAAUGAUAAAUAGAUAUAUUUCUCAAUCAUCUAUGUCACCAAUUAAUAGAUCAAUAAUUCUCGUAUAACCACAAUUGUUAUGUCCAUCCGAAUAAAACGGUUCCUUAUGUGAACAAUGAUAAUAUGUUGUCACUUAUGCUUUCAGGAACAAUGUAACAAAUUAAAUGUGUCUUUGCACAAUCACUUUGAGUGCUAAAUUAACAUCAUUUUGAUAUGAUCAUCAAAAUAAAAUUGACAGUUGUACCACCCAUCAUGGGAUAUAUAAUUGUUCAACAUCAAUUCACAACUCUCUUCCACGCGAGAAGAUAAAUUUCUCAAAUUUCUUUCCCAUGACCAUCAUAAGAGGUAUUGUCCUCCACAAUAGUGUAUUGCCGUAUCGCCUUUGUGGGAAUAUAAAUUGUUACAGCGGACACGGUAUAAUAAUAAUCCACUUAGGGGANNNNNNNNNNNNNNNNNNNNNNNNNNNNNNNNNNNNNNNNNNNNNNNNNNNNNNNNNNNNNNNNNNNNNNNNNNNNNNNNNNNNNNNNNNNNNNNNNNNNNNNNNNNNNNNNNNNNNNNNNNNNNNNNNNNNNNNNNNNNNNNNNNNNNNNNNNNNNNNNNNNNNNNNNNNNNNNNNNNNNNNNNNNNNNNNNNNNNNNNNNNNNNNNNNNNNNNNNNNNNNNNNNNNNNNNNNNNNNNNNNNNNNNNNNNNNNNNNNNNNNNNNNNNNNNNNNNNNNNNNNNNNNNNNNNNNNNNNNNNNNNNNNNNNNNNNNNNNNNNNNNNNNNNNNNNNNNNNNNNNNNNNNNNNNNNNNNNNNNNNNNNNNNNNNNNNNNNNNNNNNNNNNNNNNNNNNNNNNNNNNNNNNNNNNNNNNNNNNNNNNNNNNNNNNNNNNNNNNNNNNNNNNNNNNNNNNNNNNNNNNNNNNNNNNNNNNNNNNNNNNNNNNNNNNNNNNNNNNNNNNNNNNNNNNNNNNNNNNNNNNNNNNNNNNNNNNNNNNNNNNNNNNNNNNNNNNNNNNNNNNNNNNNNNNNNNNNNNNNNNNNNNNNNNNNNNNNNNNNNNNNNNNNNNNNNNNNNNNNNNNNNNNNNNNNNNNNNNNNNNNNNNNNNNNNNNNNNNNNNNNNNNNNNNNNNNNNNNNNNNNNNNNNNNNNNNNNNNNNNNNNNNNNNNNNNNNNNNNNNNNNNNNNNNNNNNNNNNNNNNNNNNNNNNNNNNNNNNNNNNNNNNNNNNNNNNNNNNNNNNNNNNNNNNNNNNNNNNNNNNNNNNNNNNNNNNNNNNNNNNNNNNNNNNNNNNNNNNNNNNNNNNNNNNNNNNNNNNNNNNNNNNNNNNNNNNNNNNNNNNNNNNNNNNNNNNNNNNNNNNNNNNNNNNNNUUGCUCGAUGGCAGAACUUCGUGCUGAUAACGUGUUAUAAAACUAAACUCAAAGAAAGACAAGAACAAGAGAAAUAUGGAGAGGGAGAGAGUUUUUUAU